RNAcentral lists this long non-coding RNA (97173 nucleotides) under Olea europaea (common olive). RNAcentral describes it as "long non-coding RNA (OEUR_LNC014637)". Lineage: Eukaryota; Viridiplantae; Streptophyta; Magnoliopsida; Lamiales; Oleaceae. The record is from RNAcentral.
UGCCGGAAUCUUGAGAUGAUCCCUUCCAGUUUAGGUGAUAUUCCAACGUUACGGAAGAUUCGGGUAUAUAUGUGUGCAAAAACUACCAACGAAUCAGCUAGGAAAAUUAAGGACGAACAAGAAAAGAUGGGCAACGAAGAGCUUCAAGUCAUAAUCACUGACAAAUAUUGGUCAGCGAGGAAAUUUAGAAGGUAAUAAUGAGAGAGAUUCUCUUUUUUAAACCUCUUUCGCAUUCUCAGCUUGGUCCUAGGUAUUUUAUGUUAUAUUAAAAUGAAACAUAAAAAACAAAUCCUACUGUAAUUUUUGCUGGCAUUGAAAUUAGGGAAAAUUUCAUAACUAAGAAAUUAAUUAUGGCACAUUUCAAAAACAAGAAAACAAGUUUCAAAUUUCCAAAAUCAGAUUUUUAUUAAAAAUUAUUUAUAAUUUAAUUAGUUAAUUAAUUAUUUUAUUAAUUAAAUAUAUUUAGGUCACAGAUCUAUACAAUUUGGUCACAAAUUAACAAUAUAAUUAGUCACUUAUUAUUUUUUGGUCACAAAUCAAAAAUUUUAUGUCACAAAAUUUUUGAAAAUUUUUUUACGAUCACUUUUCAAAAAUUUUGUAAGUCACGGUUUGUUUAUUGGUCACAAAUCCAAAAAUAAUUAGUCACGGAUUAAUUUUUAGUCACGACUUAUCAUAUUAUUGGUCACAACUUAUUUUUCAGUCACAAGUUAAAAAUUUUAUAAGUCACAUAUUAUUUUUAGAUCACGAAUCAAAAAUUUUAUAGGUCACAGAUUAAUUUUUCGGUCACAACUCAAUAAAUUAUAAGUCACAAACACAAAUUUUAUAGGUCACAUAUUAUUUUUCGAUCACGAAUCAAAAAUUUUAUAGGUCACGAAAUCAAAAUUGUUAUUAGUCACAUCUAAUUUGUCGGCCACAAAUCAAAAAUUUCUUAUGUCACAAUUCAUUGAUUAGUCACAAAAUCAAAAUUUUAAUUGGUCACAAUUCAUUUGUCAGUCACAAAUUAUAUCAAAAUAAUUGGUCACAAUUCAUUUGUCAGUCACAAAUUAUAUCAAAAUAAUUGGUCACAAUUAAUUUUAUAGUCACAAAUUAAUAAAUUACAAGUCACAAACCAAUUUAUUGGUCACAAAUAACCAAAAAAUUGGUCACAAAUACCCCGUCCAAUGCAAGUCACAAAUCGAGAGUCACAGGCGCAGUCACCAUCACCACCGCCACGAUCCAAUUAUUAGUCACAAAUCAACCAAACCGCCACGAUCACCGACACGACCACCACAAUCACCGCCACGACCAACUGUGACACCCAAAUUGUGAGUCACAAAUUGAAAGUCACAGUCACAAUUUUCAGGUCACGAGUCCAAUUAUGUGUCACAAAAUCAACCAGCAGUCACGACCACCGCCAAUCCACCACAACCACCUCGUCACCAAAAAAUCGUGCAUAUCACCACCAUCGGCCCACUAUUGUCAAACUCUGUCAAUAACAAAAACAUCCCCAUAUCCACCACCAUUUUCAUUACAAAAAACUACCACAAAAAAAGGACCAGCAACACCACCGGAUCCGCCUUUGCCAAAGUUCAGAGCCACCAUCUCAAUCACACAACCACCACCAUACCAACCAAAAAAUUCCAAACCCACGAAAACAUCCCCAUAUCCACCACCAUCACCAUUUUCAAUACAAAAACCACCACAGAAAAAAGGACCAGCAACACCACCGGAUCCGCCUUUGAAAAAGUUCAGAGCCACCAUCUCAAUCACACAACCACCACCAUACCAACCAAAAAAUUCCAAACCCGAUUCAGUCGUCGCCGCCACUGCAUCUCUACCCGUCGCCUUAUGCGUUGCUCAUGACGACGACGAGAAAGGUGAGAGAGACAGAAUGUGUUUGGGGGAUCUGCAGCCUCGCGUCACCAUCACCUAGAUUAAAUCGAAAAAUUAAAACGAGGCGGCACAGACCACAGCCUCGUCGAUUCUAUCUACUCCGUCCACAUCGGGGCGGCACCGCGCCUCAUUGCUCGCAGCUCCGCCAUCUACAGUAAGAAAUGCGACGCUGUGCUGCACCAAUUCGACAACAGGAGCAUCACGUUGCCGCCGUCGACGAUGGAGGGAGGCGCCGUUGCGGGGAGAAAUGUAGAGAGGGAUGGUUGUGGGAGAAAUGUAGGGUAGGGAGGCUUUGGUUGUUGGGAGAUAGGAUUAGGGUUUGUGAUUAAAAAUAUUUAUUUCAUAAAAAUAUUAAUUAGAAUAAAAUUUCUGACUAUUGAAAUGUCAAACCUCUGCCCUGAUUUUAGAAUUGAUGAUUUUAAUGAUAGGGUUUCGUGUAAUUUCCACUUGAAAUUAAGCCACUGUUUGGUAUGAAUUAAAUUAAGAUUUUUAGUAUUUGGGACCAAACUGGGGCUAAGUUGAUUCUAUUUUAUGAGCUUGUUGAUGUUAUUCUAGGAAUUACUAAACCAUAAGCUUCUAUGUUUGGACAUUGAUCUAUAUUAUUUCUGCAUUUCACAUUUUUUUUACCGUAAAAUCGAUUUUACAUAAAAUCCCAAUGGUCACAAUUUCACUUCUAGUUUGAUUUAGUAGUCGGAAUGAUUUGAUUGUUUAGCCCAAGUCCUCAGCUAAUUGCAUGGGAGGUCCUUCAACUUCUAAACUUGUUAUCUUGGUCCUUGAUUCUAGAUUCCAUCCAACUUCCAUUCUUCUCGAUCAAAUAUCGUCCCUUUUUAUUGUUUCCUAUUCAAUACUGGUUUUUCUCCUAAAAUAAUAAUCAAAUACACAAAAUUAAGUAUAUGCUCAUAAAAGUAUUUCCAAACCCCCUCUUUUGAUUCCUUGGAUAAGUAUAAAAUCACACUUAUCGUAGAUAUGCAAUUUCAAGAGUCGAGUGAUUUUUUCAGGGGUAAAUAGUGAUUUAAUCAUUUGUAUUGCACGUUUGUGUUCAGACAAUUUACUAAAGGACAAGUGAAUUCAAUUGUGUGAGUAAUAUGUUAAAGAUUUUAAACCAAUAGAGAUCUUGGCAUUGAUGAUCAAAUUUAGACAUGUAUUAUUGAUAUGCACACUCUAGAGAUUUUAAUAGGGUUCGAAGACCUUAAUAAUCUUGCAGAAAAAUUUGUUCUGUCUUAAAAAGGCGAACCCAUUACUUUACAGACUUGUAAUAUUGGUGUUAAUUAUUUCAGAUGCUAGAGGUGGUACGUUCUUGGCAAACAAGAUGAUCAAGAAUCGAUUGCAUAAUUGGAAGCUAGAUCAAUGGUUGAACGACACUUUGGUGGCGUAUAUUAGUACGAUGUAUUUGAUGAUAUUGAUAACGAUAAUUAUACAAUGUUUUCAAAGUAUGAAAACUUGUAGGCUACAAUUGUAGUGAUCUAUUGGCUAUUUUUAAUUAAUACGUUGUUUUAGAAAAAUUAUAUUUUAAUUUUUAAUCCUACAAUGAAAAAUGUGAGGCUUCGCAAUCAUAUUAGGCUUGACAAAACCAAUUAUCUUCAGUGGGAAAACCAAUUUCUGAAUGUCGUCAUGGCUAGUGGAUUAGAAGGUUUUAUAGAUGGUACAUCUACUUUUCCAUCAAAGUUUGUUGUACAGCUGCUCAUUGGGUCGAAAUUUUUAUUAACUUUUCAGUAUUAUGACUUCAAGCUUUUCAUUUCCCAUCUCUUCUUGUUCUUCCUGAAUUUGCUUAUCAGAUUCUUAAAUUGCUUGCUCAGACCCUCUACCAGAGAAGUUUCCCAAUCAAGAAUUUGCUCAUAAGAUUGUUGGUUAAGGGAUUCCUUCAAAUAAAAUAGAAGAAGAUGGUAAAUUUUCAUGUAUAUCAAAUUGAAACAGCAAUCUCUACAUAUAGAUGUUAGUACGCCUUUCCAAGGCGUUACAAUAUUUCUAGAACCAGCCUAGUUGAUACGAAACAAAUACAAAAAGAAAAUUUUAUUAUUCGAAAAUCUUCCACCCUGUCUAUCCCCAAAGUUCAAAACAGGAGGGGGUGUUUCUCCUUCUUCAGUAUUAUUAUGUAAUUGACUCUUCUUUUAAAGAGUUGAUUGAAUUGAUUGACUUAGACGGAUAAUAAUAUACAUGGGGGCGCCAACAAUAAAUGAUUAUGUAAUUAUACUUGCUAAUGCAAAAUAAGUAUAACUUCAUUGACAUAAACGAUAGGCAUCAUUUUUUACUGCUAUGCCAUCGAUUUCCAAGUGACAAACUAGACUAAGAGCAUUUAAACAUCUGAAUUCUUGAACACGCCAUUCUUUCAAAAGAUUUUCAAUGUGUCAAAUUUGAAUAAGGUUCCUUACUAUUCAUCAAAUUAAACUAUUGGCUCUAUCACAUUUAUCGACCUUUAGUUCAUUCUUCUGGAUGUACUCCUUAAGGGUUAUCUAACAUAUUAGGCCAAUAUUGUAGAUUACAUACUUGUCCAUGUAAAUUGAUUUAUCAAAUGAUCUUGUAAUUGUCCACCCUCAACUCCUCAAGUAAUUUGUCUUGAAUGUCCUAUAUUUCAAAAGCGUUAAAGCGUCCCUUGUGGUAUCCAGGUUCGAACAAGUAGCCAUGGACGUGUCUUCGAUUUGACAUUGAAGUACCAAGAAAUGAAAUUAAAUUGCUUACAAACUAAUUAACUCACGUCUACUCUUCUACAAUAUAAAGAUAGCUUACUUGAGCUUGGUAUUUUUCGCAACAUAUUCCAACUAAUCCAAUUUUGAAGUCAAAAAAACUGCAAAAUUGUCUAUCAACUCAAGUACAUAUUUUCUUUGAUUAAAUGUAUGCUUUAGGAAAAAAAUAAAUUGUCACGAGUUGUGUUAUCUAAUCAUACCACACUUGCCACGAUGAAAUCAAAACUUAUCGCGACCAAACUACUGUUAUACGCAACAUCAUGCACAUAAGAUCAUGAAUUUUAUACACAAAUCUUUCAGAAGUCUGCAGCUUCGAUUUUCAAACCAUAUCUGGAGGAAGCAUGAUCCACGUCUUGAAAACAUAUUAAGUGCUUUCAAAAUUGCUUUGAGCAAACCUAUCAAACGAAAUAACACGCAAUCUAAUAAAUGUUUUCUUGAUAUGAUCUGGAACCUGAGAUGUUAACCGGCAUAAUACCUUAGACAAUUGAGACAUAAAAACUAUUGUUUCGAAAGCCAGUGUCACAAGAUGGAAGUACUCUUGACCUCCUAGCUAGACAGAGGAUCAGGAUUCGUCUUCGUCCUUAUCUUCGUCCUCGUCUUCAACUUCAACUUCAUCUUCAAAAUCUACAUAAUCGACCUUUGCAACAGGAGAUGCUCACCAAAACUUGUUCAACUGUUUCAGAAUCUGAAGUCCUUUGUCAAUGACAGUGUUGAAAAUUGACCAGAUCACCAUUCUUUUCAGCUUCGGCGAUUUUUCUAUCAAAAGCUUAGUGACUGCCAUCUCAGCAACUGUGCCUAAAAUAAAAGCAGCUUCACUUUUUGAAGUCGAUUUGAAGUUACAUCUGCGUAGUCUUGCACUUACAUAAAAUCUAGAAUAGGACUAGCAUCAGCAUUUGCACUCUCACAAAUCUAGACAAUAAGGCAAGAUAUCACUCAGCUUAAACUUUUGUUUUAAAAUGGAGAAUUGAAGAUGUAAAUUGUAAUGGUCAUAUCCAUCACUUACCUCGAAUCUCAGUUCCUAAAGGUUGGGGGCGCUGCUGAUCAAACACAAAACACAAGAGAGUUCAUCCAAUAAAUUAAAAAAUAUAUAAAAUAACCUCUGAUCAAGCACAGAACACAAGAGAGUUCAUCCAAUAAACUAAAAAAUAUAUAAAAUAACCUCAGAACUUUAAGGUGGAUUAAAGUAGCUGGAAGCCUUUCUUGGACUUGACCUGCAGCCAAAAUCUUGAAAGCAGUGGUAAAAGCAUGAUCUAAUGUAGUUAACUUGACGAUUACAAGGGAUUGUAUUUAUAAUCAAAAAUACCUUAAUGACAGUAUAGUUCAAGUACACUUUCUGAAGGCCAGGCAGAGAAUAAAAAAAUGAAUGAAGUUACAUUUCCCAUCUUCCAAAAUAUUGUCAACCACCCAAUCAUUAUGUGAAGCAACCAAAAUUAUUGCAAGAAGAGUGAAUUUCUUAAAACAAAACAAUGAUGUAGGGAAACAUGUCAAUUCAAAGUGUUUUAGCAUAGGAGCAUCAAUUUCUAAGUAGUCAAAUUUGUUUGAAACAUUCAGCAACAGUUUCUCCAGUAAUGGGCAGCUAGAUAUCAAACUUCCUAAUACAUACAUCAUAAUCAAUUGUCACGUCAAGCAAUUCCAGCCAAAUCAUCCUAUUAAAUCCUUCAAAGCUUGGUGGAGGUGGAUUGAUCAAACAAGACAACAGCUUCAAAUGUUUCAAAUGUAAACACAUAAAUAGUGAAGAAGGCAAUGUGUACAGUUCUCCGCUCUUGAUUUUAAAGGUGAAUUCUUCAACACUGUUCUUCCAUAAGAUAUGUAUCAAGUCGUCAAUUUCUGAGCAAUUUUAAGUUUCAGAAUAACGAAGCUCAAUUUUGUUAUGGGUCCUUUACGAAGCAAAAGAACCUUGUAAAGGAUCAACAAGAACUUCAUUCUAGCUGAUUCUAGGUUUCCCUCAUAUUCUUGCCAUAGCGUCUCAUCAAAUCUCAGUUGGGGUAGUUUGACCCAUUUAUACCUCCAUUGUUUUGAAUACUUGUCUUUGCAGCAUCAUGUAAAGUCAAAUGCAUUAGAAUGCUAUCAGCUACAUUGUCAGUAAGGUUGCUUAUCCUAUCAACAGGUUGGAACUGGGUAAUAUCCAUUCUGCAGUGUUAUUGAAACGACAACCCUUUAAUGACACCUCACAAGUAAUAAAUAUAUAAAAAUUACCUUAGAAGUAAUAAGCAUGCACACAGUAGAUAUUAAAGAUCCAACAUGAAGGUUCCCCAUUUUCUUGCAUUAUUUUAAUAAUCCUACGCAAAAGUUUUAUCAUUUGUAUUUUCCUUAUUUUAUAUCCCAAAAUUUGAAAAAUUGGGGAUUAUAGUUUCUCAAGCAUGGAGACACUUGCCCUCAUGCGUUAGAAAUUAAAAAAUUAAAAAAUAUUGGACAACAUGUGGUGUGUUGAACACAUCUGCCUCAAGUCUCGGAAAUUUAAAAAUGAUAUAUAAAAGAAUAUACGCCAAGUGACAUAUUGGUAGUAGAAUGAGUGUCAUCCUUCAUAGCUGGUUAAAUUACCGAAACAUUCAUAUGUUACCCACCAGGAAAAUAGAGACAGGUUUCACAAUUGAAAUUUACAUUUGUACAUGCCCUCGACAAAGUGGUUGUUAAGGGAUAUAAACCCACAUCGAAUAAAGAUAAAAAUAUAGAUCAACUUAUAAGAUUUUGCGCUACUCCUGUUUAUAAGGUUGACCUUUUAAGAUGGAAUUCCCAAUCUUAACAUAUCGAAGACAUUAAGCUCUAUCAAACAAUUCGAUCCGAUUAAGAAUAAAAAAAAAAUGAGCAUACGGAUACCAAGAUUGGUUUGCUCAAAAGAGCCACAAUCUUGCGGUGGGCUUGUUAAGGAAUAUAAUCUCAUAUCGAAUAAAGAUGUAAACUUGGACUAAUUUAUAAGUUUUGGACUACUUCUCUUAACAAAGUUAACAUUUCAAGAUGGACCCAAGUCUUAAAAUGGUAUGUUAAGGGAUAUAAUCCUACAUCAAAUAAAGAUGGGAACAUAGACCAACUUAUAAGGCUCUGGACUACUCCUCUUAACAAGAUUGACCUUUUAAGAUGGACAUAAAUCUUAACAUGGUAUUAAAGCUCAUUAAGCUCCAACGAGCGAUUCGAUCCGAUUAAAACUAAAAAAUGAGUACACGAAUUUCAUGAUUGGUUUACUCAAACGAGCUAUCAUUUUGCGGGGGGUAUGUUAAGAAAUAUAAUCACAUAUAAAAUAAAGAUGAAAAUAUAGACCAACUUAUAAGGUCUUGGAUCACUCCUCUUAACAAGGUUGACCUUUUAAGAAGAAACCCAAAAUCUAAACAGUGGCAACAAAAUAUUCAUGUAGUCAAUCCCAAAUUUAUUGGGAUUAAAGUUUAGUUUGUAGUCAUAGAUGCAAAUCUAACAUAAAAAUGUGUACUGCUCUUCACAUAGUAUGCUUGAUGAUGCAGUAGUGCCUACCUGUUAUAAUUCGAUGGUUAAACUAGUUGUGAAUCCUGAUGACAGAAAGUGUGCUAGGAUAAUAGUUUGUAGAGUGUUCUAAAAAAAAAUUCUCUCUUGUAUAUGACCUAGGCGCCACUUUAUAGGUAGAGACUACUUAUGCAGAUGGUGUGUUUCUUCAUUUUAAUAAACCCGUUGCUCGAGUUUUCUCGAAAUUGAGUCUACCGUAAAAUAGGUGAUCGAAUGGAUUGACUCAGUCAGAGAAUUGAUUUAGAUAAGGAAAGAGUCUGGUCGAAUAUCUAUGUCCAGUCUGACCAUAAGUUAAGAAACAAAAAAGAAAAUCAAAAUACCGUCUAUAGCUACAAUGUAACUGCUCAGAAAAAUCUAUUGUUUGAAAAUUAGAAAAGCAAAAUAUCAAGGAAAGUUAAACUUAACAAACUGACUAAUUGCUAAACUAAUUCUAUUUACAGUAGCCUACAGAGUUGAGGGUCAUUUUUAGGAUUUUUCUUCCAUCCUCAUCAUCACCAAAGAAGUCAAUCUUUAUAUAAUGUAUGUAUCAAUAGACUAUGCAUUUUCCAUUCAACCCCACCCCAUUAAAAGAAAGAAGGCAUCUUCUGGUAGUAUACACUACUUCUGAAUCCUCUUUUAUCCUGUCAUAAUACUAAAGAUUUCACUCAUAAAUAAAACACUACACAUUUCUACAAAUAUUUCAUAUAAAAAGUUAAUGGGAGGGACCGUACAAAAACUGUUUCAAUUUAAGAAAAUAGAAUCGUACCUGUAAUGGAGAGAGUGAUGGCACCGCGGCGGAGAGGGUUUUGGGUUGCAAUCUCAAAGGAAAUUAACGCGCAAAGGGGAGCUGAACCUUCAAUGGUGGAUUAAAACACUUGGGUCUAACUUAAAAGUUGCUGACAUUUUUUGCUAACUGCUAAACUUGAUUAAAAUUUUGGGAUGUACUCAGAUUGAGAUCGUAAUGAAUUUUAAAAGUCAUUCUAAAUUUAGAUCCUUGUUUGAGCCCUAUUUUUGCCAAGAAAAUACAUUUUUAAAUAGUAUAAUGAUGUGAAAUGUAUGGUUAAAAAAUAAGGAAAAGUUUUAGAUUUUCGUGUAAUAUUAUUUUAUUGAAGAAUGUGUGGUUGAAAUGAUGUCAAAAUAUAGUUUAAGAAUGUAUUUUGUCAAAAAAAUGGGGCUCAAACAAGGGCUAGGUAUCUUCAAUUGAGAUUUUAUUGGAUUUUAAUUAAAUUCAUUAAAAUUUAGGUGUCCCCAAUUGAAAUUUUAAUGAAAUUCUUAAAAAUUUAGAUAUCCUCAAUAAUUAGUGGAUUUAUAAAGAUUUCAUUGAUAGAAGGAUUUUAGAAGAUUUGGAUGGAUUUCAAGCUUAAAAAUACAUAUAAGUAAAUCUUUUGAAAUUUCACCAUAUUUAAUUAGAUUUUUUUUUUUUUGAAAUUUGUAAGAAUCUAUUUAAAUCCACCAAAGUCAUUAGAAUUUAUAAUCAUUUAAAAUUCAUUAAAAUCUUAGUUGAGAACACCUCCGUUAAUUUUAAAUUUUAAAUAACUUCAUUUUGAAAUAUAACUAAAGACCUUGUUUAGUAGGGAUUAAAAUCAGUUUUUUAGUAAAUUUUGAUAAAAGUCAUUGAAAUGUAGCUAAAAAGUUGUAGAUCCCUUAAAAUGUUUGAUUAAAAAUAGUUAUUCACUUUGACUCAAAUAAAAAUCUAAAUUUUAAUUUGUAUCAAACAAGUUUUUAAAUAAUUAAUUACUUUUUUCUUAAUUAAAAGCAUUUAGCCCCUGGUUGGUGGGUAUUAAAAUCGAAUUUUGAGUAGGUUUUAAUAAAAGUUAACGAAAUGUAUGGUUCAAAAGUUGUGGGUCCCUUAAAAUUAAUUUUUGGUUAAAAUUAGUUAUUAACUUUGAUUUGUAUUAAAAUCUGAAUUUAUGUAUAAAAUAGGGGCUCAGUAUAAAAGUAACUUUUAUUUUACUAUAAACACAACAUGUUUGCUAGUGAGAAUGAAAAGAAAAAAGAAUAACAUACUUGGCUGAGUUUAAAAAAAACAUAAAAGUAUCUAAGAUUUACAAAACACGUCAUCUUAUCAACGUUUUAAAAUCGGACUGACCCCAAUCCGUUCAACCGCAAGAAUCGAGAAUCGAGUCCAAAACCAAAACCGAUCCAGUUAGGCUUAUAAAACCUCUAAUUAAAAAUCCAUCCCAAAACUAGUUAAACCGCAAAAAUCACUAGUUCGAUUCUGAUUCAACCUUUUGAUGCUUGACUCUCUUUUUCAAGUAAUAAGUCGGGUCGAUUCUUAAAACAUUGCAUAUUACUGAUUUGAUAUCUUUAUUAUUCAUUUUAUUUUGAUUUUCAAAUUCGCUAUAGACUUGUAUGAAAAUAGGAUUUACUUUAUUGAACUCCUCGACAAAAUCAUACCAAAUGGGGGUUGAAACAUAGCUUCUUUUGAUUAUUCGUAAGCGCCAAUUAGCUAAAAAAUUACAUUAAUAAUUUCUACUCUUGCCCUAGCUCGUCCAAAAGCUAGAUUCAUAUCUAUAUUAGUAAAAAAUAUAUUUUAAAACUAUAAAUAAAUAAUUUUUAUUAAUCAUUUUUUUCUAAUUCACUGUAGACUUGUAUGAAAAUAGGAUUUACUUUAUUGAACUCCUCGACGAAAUCAUACCAAAUGGGGGCAGAAACGUAGCUUCUUUUGAUUAUUCGUAAGCACCAGCUAGUUAAAAAAUCACAUUAAUAUUCUCUACUCUUGUCCUAGCUCGUUCAAAAGCUAGAUUCAAAUCUAUAUUAGUAAAAAAAAUAUUUUAAAACAAUAACUAAAUAAUUUUUUUUUAUUAGUUUUAUAAAUAAAUUAUGUUAUUUAUUUGAACAAUAAAAUGAGAAUUACUUUAGAUCAAGUAAAUGAUUUUAGGACAUGUUUAAAAAUAAAAAAUGACUACAAAAUAAUUAUACAUGUGAAUAUCACACUUAUUUUUUGCAUAGUUAACAAGCUUUUGUUGAUUAUUAUAUUCAAUUCUCUAUUUUUUUAGAGUGAAUUAUUCGAUUCUAUUCUCAGUUGAUUUGUGCAAUAUUUUCGUGUUAUUGGGCAAACAUUUGAAUUUUGACAAAUUUAUGAUAUAGAGUGAAAGAGGCAAAAAGAGGACUAGCUUUUGAUGGUUUAAGUUUCACUGUGACAUUUUGAUAUUGAAAUUGAAUAUAAAUUGAGUCUUUUUUUUUUUUUUUUUUUUUAAAGGGGGGAAGGGGGGGUUCCCAAGUAUGCAAAAUUAUGGUUAAAUUCCUGGAAAUUAAAUUCCCACACAUAGCUCUGCUCCCUUAAUCUUGAAUGAAAAUUUGGAAGUCUGGGGACACUUAAUUUUGUGGAAAUUUUGAUGAGAAAAUCGGACGGGAGCAAGACAAACAACCUUGGGCUCCCAUUAAAUUUUCAUUAUUUGAGAGAGAUAGAGAGAGAGAGAGAGAGAGAGUUAUUAUUAUUAUUUUUUCUCUUUGUUAGUUUAAUCCAAUAAAAAAUUUGUUCCCUUACACUACCCCUUAUUAUAUUCAUAUUUUUAUCAACUUGUGAAUGGUUUGUGAGCUUGGAAUAAAAAUAAGAUAAUUUGUCAAUUGUUGUAUUAAAAAUCAUAAAUCCAGUAGAUGGUAAAAAUAUGCUUUUAAAAUUUGUGUGGGUCUUGUAAUUGAAUUUCUUUGGGUCCUAACGCACUUUAAAUUGUUGAAACUUAUCAAGUGAUGUGGUCGUUUCACACAUUAAAGUAGGUUUAAUUUUUCUUGAAAGAGAGAUCAUCAAGUAAAUUUGAGAAAUUUGACUGUCAGCAUAUGUGAAAUUUGUCAAAGUGUAAUAGUUAAUGUUAAAAAAAUGUUUGAAUCGGUAGAUUAUGAGGAUAGCCAAUCUAAUUGGGAAGUCUCGGCUCACUCAUUACUAUCGCUAACAUCCUUACGCAAAAAUAGAACUGUAAAAUUAUAAAGUAAAUAACUUUUUUAUUUUACGAGAAUUAUUAAGAAAAUAAGUUAUUAAUUUUAACAAUAAAUUAGCACAUGUUUAAAAGAAAAACAAAUAUAAGGUUACGGAUUUGAAAAUAUAUUUUUUAAAUUGAAAAUUUAAUCCACAACAAAAUCAUAGAAACACUACGUGUAAAUGAUCAAGAUGUCCAUUAACAUGCUCCUUUUAUGGUGAAUUUCAAUGUGUAUAUUGUGAGUAUGUCUAGACAUAAGAUACCUUAGCUAAAAAGUUGAUAAAAAUUUAAGUUUGAAAAGUCAACAAUUAACUUUAAUCACACAUUUCUUAGGAUCUUCAAUUUUUAUCAACUUUUCUAUCACACAUUUAUCGACUUUAUUAAAAUUUACUAAAAAUAUAAUUUUUAGCUAAAUCAAAUGGGGGCUAAUUCGUAUGUAGUAACAUGCAAUCCAAUGCGAACACUAGAAGUCAAUCUAUGAAUUUUCGAAGCUAUUAUACCUUUGAUUUUACCCCAAUACAAGGAAUCCACAUAAAAUCUUAAACUCAACCAAACAGGAGCUAAUUUGUAUCCAAUAGCAUGCAAUCCAACGCAAACAUUAGAAGUCACUAUAUGAAAUUUAAGAACUAUAUACCUUUAAUUUUACCCAAUACCAGAAGUAAAGCAUUCGUCCACGGCUAGCAACAAUUAAGCCCUUGUUUGAGCCACAUUUUGGGGGGAAAUCUAUUUUGGAAUAGUUUAUUUUUAGAGAAUGUGUGAUUAAAAAAUAAAAAAUAAAAGUUUUCGAUUUACGUGUAAAAUUAUUUUAUUGAAUAAUGUGUGUUUGAAAAUAAAUUUUGAAAAAAAAAUGAGUUUUUGAUAAAAUGGGGCUCAAACAAGGACUAUGUGCUUCACCAUUGCAUUGUGUCUACUUGCUUUUAUAUUGAUCUAUCCAACGAAGUAAGGCAUUAGCUCAAGAAGACUUUUCUUAGCCCCCGUUUGUUUUUCAUUUUUGGAAGAAUGAGAAUGAAAACUAUAGGCGUUAUGGGUUCCACACAAGAGAUAGAAAUUCAAAUUCGAUGGCUUGAUGUGAUGGAUAACGAUCGUAUUUUUCAUUUUAAUGAUGAAAAAAUGGAAACCAAACAGGGGCUUUAGACAGUUUGAAAUCUGAGAUAUAGCUCGCAUAAUAUUAUGCGCCAUUCAGAUAAAAGAGAGAGGGGAGGGGGAUUUUCUAGUCCCAAGAAGCCCACGUCAUAAGAUUUCAAGAACUCUUGACCUCCUUGAGCUAGUAGCUGAGCCAAUAUUAAGCUAAACUACUAAAGUUCAUUUUCAUCCAAAGCUUUAAAAAUGACAUUUGCAUUUGGUGAAGGACUAAUCGAACAAUUCCAGUGUAAUUAGUAUCAAUGAUGACAUCAAGCAAUUCCAGUGUAAUCAGCCUAUUAAAACCUUUGAAGCUUGGUGGAGGACUAAUCAAACAAGAAGAAAGUUUCAAAUGUUUCAAUAGUGAACACAUAAACAGUGAAGAAGGCAAUUUGCACCUUCAUUUUCAAAAUGAAUUCUUUAACACCUUUCUUCCAUAAGAUAUAUAUCAAGUGUUCAAUUUCAGAACCACCUCUGAGUUUUGGAAUGUAGAGAAUGAAGUCAGCAAAACUGAAUUCAAGGCUGAAGAUCAGAACCAAAAUUACAGCAACAGAUUUGGUGAAAUUAUAGCAGCAAAUCAGGAGCCUAAUCACAGCGGCAAAUUUGAUGAAAUACCAGCAGAUCAGGAGCUUAAUCACAGCAGUAGAUUUGAUGCAAUCUCAACAAAUCAGGAACGUAACAGAUGAGGAAGAUUCGAUCCUGCCAUUAUGUUAAAAUUGUAUAACUGUAAAGAUUGGUUGUAAAAUUUCUUUAUAAAUAUACUGCUGUACAUAUACAAUUGAAUUCAAUAAAAACAGAGGAAUUAAUUCCUUUACAUGGUAUCAGUAUAGCCAUCAACAGACCAACGUCUAAAUGUCUUCCUCCAAUUCUUAAACCCAAUCUCCCUCUGUUAUCUCCAUGCCUAAUAUUUCUACUAUCAAACUAACCCAGGAUAAUUACCUUCUUUGGAAGGCCCAGAUGGUAUCAUAUUUCAAAGGUUAGGACCUCUUUGGUUACCUCGACGGAACCACACCAAAACCACCGAACUCAGUUUCUGCAUCCCACCCUGAAACCAAUGUUGUUUCUGAAACACUCAAUCCGGCUUACUCUCAAUGGGUCAAGUAUGACAACCUCAUUCUUAGCACUCUCAUAUCUUCUCUUACCGAAUGAGUGCUUGCUUAGGUUGUUAAUUAUACCUCUUCCCAUGAUGUCUGGUCUGCCUUAAAUGAAACCUUUUCCUCAAAAUCUCGUGCACGCAUUGUUCAAAUUCCCACACAACUGGCCACUGCUACUAAAGGUAGUAAAUCUGCCACUGAAUACUUUCACUUCACCUUGAGGCUGGGGGACGAACUAGCAAUUGCAGGCCAGCUAAUGACACGAGAUGAUAUUAUCGCAUAUAUUCUUGCAGGUCUUGGCCAUGUAUGACAGUUUUGUGGCCUACAUUUUCGCUCGCACUAAUAGUGUGACACUUGAAGAAAUUUAUUUUCUUUUAAUAACCACAAAAGCUCGUCUUUCUCGACACCAACUCACUCCAGCAAUUCAACAAAUUCUGCCAACUUUGCUCAAUGCCAAUCACAACCAUUUGCAAGAAAUGGCCAUGGUGGCCCUCGAGGAAGAGGACGAAUCCAUCGUGGUGGCUUUAACUCUUUCAAUCGAAACAAUGAUCAUUCAUCUAUUAUCUGUCAGCUCUGUGGUAAGUCUGGACACUCAGCUCGUAAAUGUUAUCAUAAAUUUGACCUUUUUUAUCAGGAUGCUCCAAAAGACACACCCAAGCAAGCUAUGGUUGCCGUGAAUAAUGGCAAUCCUAAAAAUUGGGAGACUGAGUGGCAUGUGGAUACGGUGCAACCCAUCACCUUACAAAUGAUGCUUCCAAUCUAGACCAAUAGAACAAUGCAUAUAAUGGUUUAAAUACCGUUCAAGUGGGAAAUGGUAAAGGUUUGCACAUCUCUAAAACUGGCUCUUCUAAAUUCAAAACCCCCUCAUCCACCUUUGUUCUUAACCAAGUCCUUUUAGUUCUUGAGAUUCAAAAGAAUUUGAUAUAUGUUCAGCAAUUUUGUAAUGACAAUAACGUUUAUUUUGAAUUUCAUGCUCACUUCUUUCUUGUGAAGUAUUACUUGGGGAAGGUCCUUCACCAAGGAUAUCUCAAUGAUGGCCUCUACAGUUUCACAAACAAAACAAGUCUACCUCAAGCACACUCCAGUAUUCGAGUUUCAUUUCAUAAUUGGCAUCGUAGGCUUGGUCAUGCUCUAAUCCCAUAGUCCACAAAGUUCUCUCCACUUUCAACGUUCCAGUAGAGAAAAAUAAAUUGCACAUUGUGUGCCCUGAUUGUCAAAUGGCUAAAAGCCAUAAUUUGCCCUUUAAAUUAUCUAUGUUUGUUUCUUCAAAACCCUUGGAUUUAAUUUUUACUAAUGUAUGGGGACCUGCUUCUAUUGCUUCCACUAUUGGUGCAAAAUAUUAUGUGAGUUUUCUGGAUGAUUAUUCCAAAUUUAUUUGGUUAUUUUCUCUUAAACUCAAAUUUGAUGUGGAACAAGUUUUUCUUAAUUUCCAACAAUAUGUGGAGAAACAUUUUGAAAGAAAAUAAAAGCCAUCCAAUCCGAUUGGGGUGACGAAUAUAGGCGGUUAAACACAUAUUUUAAAAACACAGGCAUCAACCAUCAUCUAGCUUGUCCACAUACACAUCAACAAAACGGGUCUAUUGAAAGAAAACAUCGACACAUUGUCGAAGUUGGUUUGAGCAUGUUGGCACAUUCAAAUCUCCCAAUGAUCUAUUUCGAAGAUGCCUUUCAAACUGCAACUUAUGUGAUUAACAGACUUCCAACGAAUGUUUUAGACCAAAAAUCACCAUUUGAGAUGAUAUACAACCGUGUUCCUGAUUACAAAUUUAUGCGUGUGUUCGGGUGUGCAUGUUGGCCUAACUUGAGGCCUUACAAUCAACAUAAACUCAAUUUUCAUUCAAAAACAUGCAUUUUCAUUGGCUAUAGUCUUUGCCAUCAAGUGUACAAGUGUCUUGAUCUCUCUACUGGUAAGAUCUAUGUCUCAAGAUAUGUCAUUUUCGAUGAAAACCUUUUCCCCUACACUUUCAAAAAUAAACUUCAAAAUCCCAGUCAUCAUGUUUCGAACACUAUCCUUCUUCCCUUGCAAAUUAAUUCUUCCCCAUCCAUAAGUUUCAGAGAUUUGCCUCCCAAUCCGAUUCCCACAAGAAUUGAAUCUGCCCCAUUAUAUUCUACUUCUGCAGGAAUAGAUUUUGGAACCUCUUCGCACCCAGCAACCAAUGCACUUUGACUUUUCUGAUGCAUUACAAGAAGAUGAACAGCCGCUCCUACAAAUACUCAUCCCAUGCUCACCAGAUCAAAGAAUAAUAUCCAUAAGCCUCAGCAACUAAUUGAUGGCUGCACUCGGUAUCCUUUAUCGAGAGCUUUGAUAGCAGAAACAAUAACUCUGGCAAAGGAGCCAACUUCAUAUACUGAGGCCUCCAAAUCAUCUCAUUGGCGAGAUGCUAUGAAUAAAGAAUUUACUGCAUUGCUACAAAAUGGCACUUGGUCUUUGGCAUCACCUUCAACUAACACCAAUGUUGUGGGCUGUCGUUGGGUGUUUAAAAUUAAAAAGAAGGCAGAUGGAACCAUUGAACGUUAUAAAGCACGACUAGUCACUAAAGGAUUUCACCAACAAGAAGGUGUCGAUUUUUAUGAAACUUUCAGUCCAGUCAUCAAACACACAACUCUUCGGCUAGUGCUUUCUCUUUCCAUUUCUUAUAACUGGCCUAUAAAGCAAUUGGAUGUACAAAAUGCAUUUUUGCAUGGUGAGUUACAGGAGAACGUGUUCAUGUCACAACCCCAAGGCUAUAUUCAUCCACAAUAACCAAAUCAUGUGUGUAAAUCACACAAGUCGCUCUAUGGAUUGCGGCAAGCCCCAAGAGCAUGGUUCUCAAAGCUCUCUGACAAACUCAAAUCUUUGGGCUUUCAAGAAAGUAAAGCUGAUACUUCUCUUUUUAUUUUUCGAAAAUUAGCUAUUAUUACUUACAUACUCGUAUAUGUGGAUGAUAUUUUGAUAACGGGGUCAAAUUUAGAUGCAAUCACUUACGUGAUUAAAUGCUUGAAAAAUACUUUUGCUGUCAAAGACUUGGAUGCACUAAAUUUCUUUCUUGGUGUCGAGGCACUUCGGUGUUCAGAUGGAAUUUACCUCACUCAACGCAAGUAUAUUGUUGAUUUACUCAAAAGGAGCAACAUGGACAAAGCAAAACCUUGCACGAGUCCAAUGGCCCCUAAUUGUCAUCUGACUUCCACCGAUAGACAUCCUUUUGAAGAUAUAAGUCUCUACCGAAGCAUCGUAGGAAGCAUACAAUAUCUAUCAUUCACAAGGCCUGACUUAGCCUUCACAGUACAUAAAGUCAACAAAUUUAUGCAUCGACCUCUUAAUACACAUUGGAUGGCAGUCAAGCGCACAUUGUGCUAUCUUAAACACUCGGUAUCCACUGGUCUCUACAUCACCAAAGCUCCUGAUAUGAGGUUGCAAGCUUACUUAAAUUCUGAUUGGGCUGCUGAUAGAGAUGAUCGACGCUCGGUUGGUGCUUUCUGUGUCUAUAUUGGCCCCAAUUUAAUAUCUUGGAGCUGUAAGCAGCAGCCCACAGUUGCAAGAAGCAGUAUCGAGGCUGAAUACAAGACACUAGCAAACACAGCAUUCGAGCUCACUUGGAUAAAAUCUCUUCUCUUUGAACUUGGUCUUUCUCAAACACAGCCACCAGUUCUUUGGUGUGAUAAUAUUGGAGCCACUUACCUCACCUCAAAUUCGGACUUUCAUGCAAGAACGAAGCACAUAGAAAUUUAUUUUCACUUCGUACGAGAUCAAGUUUUCAAUAACCAAUUGACGGUUCAAUUUAUUUCAAGCCGAGAUCAGUUGGCAGAUGUGCUUACAAAGUCGUUACCUCCAUUAAAGUUCAAGUAUGUACUAGACAAUCUCCAUGUCCGUGAACUACCCUCCAGAUUGAGGGGGCAUGUAGAGAAUGAAGUCAGCAAAACUGAAUUCAAGGCUGAAGAUCAGAACUGAAAUUACAGCAACAUAUUUGGUGAAAUUAUAGUAGCAAAUCAGGAGCCUAAUCACGGCAGCAAAUUUGAUGAAACACCAGCAGAUCAGGAGCUUAAUCACAGCAGUAGAUUUGAUGCAAUCUCAACAAAUCAGGAACGUAACAAAUGAGGAAGAUUCGAUCCUGCCAUUAUGUUAAAAUUGUAUAGCUGCAAAGAUUGAUUUUAAAAUUUCUUUAUAUAUAUACUGCUAAACAUAUACAAUUGAAUUCAAUAAAAAUGGAGGAAUUAAUUCCUUUACAUGGAAUAAUGAGGCUCGACUUUCAUAAGAUACUGAGAUGACCUUUCAGCAUUUAAUAUCUUGUAACUAAAAGUUUUAUUGUCUGUCAAAGAAUAACAGUGAUGUUUAUCAUCACUUGGUUUUUUGCAAAGUGGCACUAUUAUAUUAUUUGUUGCAGUAAUGGCUGUAGAUUUGUUAGGGUGAGAAGGGAGGAAAAUCAUGAAUUGAAGGCAAAAUUAAUUUUUUCCCCUACUGUUUUCUCUUUCUUUGUAAUACUAUAACGCAAGGAGUGACAUUGCAGAUAGAUAUCUACAAAAGAUGGCUGCACAAGAAGGCUCGCCUAUUAAUUUUUCUAUGAGCUCGUACGCAUUAAGAUGCCGAUACCUGCUAUUUUCAUCAAUUUCCUACAAAGAUUACGGAAGCUCCUUUGAAUUUUCUGUGUUAGAAUCUAUGUGUUGGUAAUAAUUCAUUUGUUUUCUUUUAUUCCAAUUUGAAGGCGUGAUUAUCUGAAUAGAUUGUGUCCGGGCAACUCUAAUGAGAACUUCAGAUCUAAAGUUCCUACAAGAAUGUAUCUCGCUACUGGUGAUGAAUACUGUUUGUACACUAAUGAGGCACAUUUUCAAUCAAAAGAUGUCUUUUGAAUUGUUUCAGAUGCACUAGAAAAUUCGAUUUGUUGUUCUUCAUCUUGUUUCUAGAAAUUUCCGUGCUACAUUUUUGAAUGUUUCGUUGAUUGGUAUAUUUACAAGCAUUCCAAAGUAAACCUGUUUGUGAAUGUAUGGAUGAGAAGACAGUUGGAAAGUUCUCUGGGUACUUGAGUUGACUUUAUAUUCAGUUUCUCAUGAAUAGUGUUUUCACAUGUCUAUCUUUUGCUCUCAACAGAUUAUUGACAUUUAGAUUCAUAAUUUGGCACUGAUAAUAUCACUAGAUGGUAGUUUUGUAGCUUGUAUGGUAGUAUUUCUCAUCGUUCAUGGACAUUUUCAUUUAAUUGCUUCACAUCAUUUCUUGAGAACCGAAUAGGUUAGAUGAGUCAUGGUGUUGGUACAGUUGUUUGGUUUUACACGAACGGCUGGAUGGUUCAAGACAUCGUGUUCACCAACUAGCCUAGUAAAUCCGAUUGUAUUCAACUAAAGAAGGUUCAAGGCCACAAGCUACCUAUCUUGAUGCUACGACUUGUCGUGUGUACUCCGUUUGUUAGAGUCUGCAUUUCAUUUUCAUUGCAUUCGCUUUGUGUUGCGCAUAUCGAGGAAUUUCCAUUCAUGUGGGGGAUUGUUGGAUAUUGGUUAAAUAAAUUGAGAAUUGAAAAUCGAUUAAAGUUCGUAUCGAAUUCGGCCAAAUACUCAAAAGCUCGACUCAAUCCGUUUAGGCAAAAUUGUUUGCCACUUCGCCGCUUCGGGGCGCACAAACGGGGAUCGACCUGCCCGGUCAGGUCGCGAGGGUCGAGGGGGCAGCGCCCCUCGUGGGGGGUCGGGGGCAACGCCCCCGAAAGAGAAUUUUGAUUUCUCUGCAUGUAUUGAAGGGUAUAUUUGGCAUUUCGAAAACCAAUAUCGGAUGAAUGAGAAAUUACGAAAAAGACCUCAACCAUUAGUGAAUAGACACCUUUUCAUAAAGGUGCAUUGUUUGGAAAUGGUGCAUGGUUUGGUCUCAACCAUUUCGUCCACACCCCUUCAUGGUCUAUAAAUAGGACCCUUUGGGUGUCCUAUUCCUCACAGUUUGAUAUGCAAAAACGUCUCUCAUCCUUUCUUCUAUCCAAAAUCAAAAUCAUUUCAUUUAUUUUGAUUUUCUUUCAUUUCAUCUGUGGAGUACAUAAGCCUACAUUGGGUUCGUUGUACUUGUGUUUUGGAGUGCUACAAACACAAGUGUAGCCGUUGUAUCUUGGGAGUCGAUUGGCGAAAUCCGUAGGCACCGUUGCGGGGCAAAUUCGACUUAAGGACAAAGAGUCCAACUCUUGCCUCGGCUUUGUCACCAUCAUUAUACUUAUUUCGGCGUCACUUUUCACAAAAUUCUUCCAACAGAACUUGUAUCCUCGUGAAUUCAAUUUUUCUUUUCAUCAUUUGCUACUGCCAUAACAGUGACUAAUAUGGAUAAUUGUUAACGUGCCUUUGCUUUUCCUUAGGAAAACAUUGCAUGAUACUUGCAAUUGUCUUUACACCUGUAUAUGACUUAAAAAAUCUUCAUUUUGUAUGUGAUGUCUCAGGUUUUUGGAGACUUUGCCAUUGAAAAACGGUGCAAAACUUGGCGUCUUGAGGUCUGUUCCUACUCACUUUGAUCUCAAAGCUGUAUUCUAUCCUUCUGGUCUACAUGUAUAACAUGGAUUAAACAGCAAUUUCAGAUUGCGCGAUUGAUGUAUGAAGUUGAUGGAACAGGGUUCUCCAAAUCAUGGAUUUGACGCUCUAAAAGCACCUAGCUCUAGAUGAGUCUGUUGAAGAAGUUUUGGAAGUCCUGCAGGAAUAUGCUCGAUUAGUCCAAGGACUGUGGGUUCCAAAGAGUUCGCUGGGACAUGGAACAGAUUCAGGAAUUGAAGUUUUAGCCAGGGACUAUGUUCUUCUAUUGUUUAGAAAGAAUCCACUAGGUUAACGACUGACAAAGACCUCAACGUCCUCAACUUCCUAAAGCAAUGAAAGAUGUCCUAAAUGUAUUGGCGUUGAGAGACCCACCCUCCUUCAGUGAUUGGCAACUCAGAGAUCUUCUUGAUCGAAGAUUCAUAAAACUCGAUCCUAUUGUUGCAAAGAAAUAAGAAGAAGAAUGGGAAUCCUUGGAAAAGAAGAUAAAUGAUCUUCUGUUUGGAGGAAGAAACGGACCUGGUACAAAGACUUCUUCAAAGUCUAAUGUCAUGAACAAUCCGGUCACGUCAAUGAGUUCCAGUAAAUUAGCUCUCAAAACUCCAAAUGAGGCAUCCUUGAGGACGCCAAUGCCAAAAGAGACUCGAGAAGCUUUAAUGAAGGCCCUUCAGAAACUUUUAAAAGGCAUCAAGGUUUGCAGGUGAGAUCACUUUAUUACAUCAAGCCUUUAGUUUCAAAUAGUAGUUAUAUGUGGUCAUAUUUUUUAUUGAAGAUAGUUAUCGUCACUGCAUUAAAAGUAUUCUAAAUCACUAGGUCACAGUUAUAUUGCAUUUUAUUUGAUUAGUAUUUGACAAUUUUCUUUGCAUGCAAUAAGUGUUGCUGUGACCUUGACAUUCAUGGCCUGGCUCAUUAAAAAAAUUGAGACACAGUAUAGUAAGUAGAAGAGAUGAGGAAGACGAGUGGUCUUGUGAAUUAGUUCUCUGCUUGCACUUAGGACACUAGUAUGAUUACAUUUUUGCAUUAACUGGGCUGGAGCAAUUGACACUGUUUAACAAAAUGCCAAUGGACCAUAUUUAAACAUUUUUUGCUAUUAUUACUUUUGUAUUACUUAUAUUCUCAAUGCAAACGCAAAGAAACUAGUUUGAAUUUUCUUAUUUAAUCAAAAUUUAAUUAAGCUAAUGUGCCCUUUAAUCUAGGAAACAUAACUUCACGCUUAGAGUGUUAUGGUUAUCCCGUGGCAGUUUAGUUUGAUUGUCAAUAGAUAAAAUUUUACUUGGCGCUGUGUAUGCCAGUUUUCAACAAAUUUGCCAGCGUUUGAGGGACUUGGCAGAUUCUGAGUCCGCCCGUUCGAGGGGAUUUGCCAAAGAGACAGUUGCUGCAGCAAACAGCAUUUGUGCUUUUGCUGAUGAGCUUCAGGCAAUCAUUAGUCGAUUUGCAUUUAAUAUUCAUGGUGUCUAUGUUCCAAAAUUACUCCAGAUCAUCCACAAUAUGAUCCAUUCAGGUUACACCUGCCUUCAUUUAUUUUGGUUCUAGAACAUUGAUAUUUUUCUUUUAUUAAGUUCUCUUUAUAAGAAAGGAUCACCAUUUUAUAUUGUUCAUUAUUGAUUUGUGGUUCUUUCUCUUCCAGGAAGGUUGUCAUUGAUCUUCUUAUUGCUGAAGGACCAAAAGCAAAACUCAAAGAGGUUCCCAUAGUCGAGGCUGCUAAGAUGGAACUUAAAAGGGAUAUACCUCAGAUUGGAUAUCAGAAGGUCAGAGUCAAGCUUACAGAUUAAUUAUGACGAAAUUGUAAUUAGGUGUUGAGAUCAAACACGCUCUCUCCUUGACACCAUUCAGGCGAACUUACUAAUUCCUGAAAUUUUUUUAAUUAGGUUUUGAUUAAUUUUUGAGGCCUUACGAAAGCACAAACAAGAUUGAGAAACUGAGGAGAUUGUCACAGGAGAUAUAGGAGAUUUCCACUCUCAUUGUGUGGGGGUGUGUGGUUGAGAGGGAGGUAGCCCUAUUUGCCUUGCCCUUAAUCUGGCAUCUAUCUUACCUGCCUAUCAUGACAGCUUCCAAUGUUUUUCCUUCCUAUGAAAGAUUCUUAAGCGUUUCACAACCUUUGUCACUCACUUCUUUUAAAUGAGCAGUAAGGACUUAAUCUAGCAUUAUUCUCAUGAGAGGAAGCUAAGCAAUGGAAUUAUAAAGCAGAGAAAUGUGUAGUGAAUAUACUUUUGAGAGCUGGUGAUAUGUGAUGUGAGGAAAGAUAUAUUAUGCUUGCUCCUAGAAGUUUCCCCAUGCAUAUGCUCUUAAAAUUCCCUCAAUAAUUUAGAAUACUCUUAGUGACCACCGAGCUAAUUUUCUGAUUCUCGUGUGAAUGUCUCAAGUCAGACCUCCUUGUGGGAAAAAUAUAUAUACACAUGGUUUCCUGAGCACACAGUCUUAUAGUUUCUUAUAAGCUUCCUAUGCCGAACCUUAGUUACUGGGAAAAGAACGGGGAUAUAUUUUUCUGGUCAUGUCCUCUUCACUGUCACUCUUGGUAUGUUCCAGCACUUCAAGAUAAAUAUUAAUUGACCUUUUGAGCCUCUUGUCCUCUUCCCUAUUAUCGUCGAUGGAAGCCUCAAUGACUUAUUUGUGAUAAAUUGCUUGCUAAUUUAGGUUAUGUAUUCCCUUAUGUGCUGCAGGUUUUACAGGAACUAUGUCUAUCACAAGGUUUUGAAUGGGUCCUUAAAAGUGGCGAUGGAAAUCCACAAAAGUAAAGUUCAUGCAACCAAAUUCUACGUUAGUCUACGAGGUAAGAAUUAGCAUAUUUACUAUGUAUUACGAUAAGUAAUAAAGUAGACACAUCUCACCACAAGACUUAAUGGAAAAUUUCUAAAUUGCAUGAAAUUCUUGAGCUUUGUGUUCAAGAAAGAAAAUCUCUGCUUAUUCUGUUUACAUGGAUCAUUGUGAUCUGUUGUUGUUUGUCUGAAUUUACCCUUAAGUGCCUUGGUAAUCGAGUUGAUGUGAUGUCUGAGUUUUGCAGUUUGAAAAGAGGAUUUACAUCGUUCCUUGAAGUUAUAUCAGUGCAUAGCAUCAGUUUAAAUCAUCCUUGAAUAUUGCCUAAUUGAUUCUCAUCACAUAUUGGAAUUUGAAAAGUUAAUAGGUCUGUUUAAUGUAAAUGCAGAAGUACAUAUACACAGAACAAGGAAUGUGUGUUUAUAUAUACGUAUUUGUGUUUAAACUACUAUUAAGAUGGCUGAGGUACAAAAGUCAUUUGUUGAAAAUGGUAAGGAACCUGUUUCUUUGGAAGCAGCAAGGGAUGUAUUCUUGAUAUCUCGAGUGGCUCUUUGAACAUUCAACCUUCAGUGCAGCUAUGAUGAUUUAAAAUAUACAAAGGAUACCAAAUACACUGGGGAUGAGUGUUCCAUGUAAUUAAACACAUUAAUAUAUACCAUCAGAAAUAAUAUUUUGUUAAAUAUAUAUGAUUUCAUGCUGCUACAAUAUUGUAUCCAUCUGUUAUCAUUAAUUCUUUUUCCCUUUAAAAUGUUCGGCCUUAUUGUCACUUGUCAAUACCGUGGUUCAUCCAAACAAUUCAUAUUUGAUAUUGACGAAAAUGAAAAAUUAUAAUGACUUGCAAAUGUAUUAAUUCUCUUAAAUGAAUUAAAGAACCUUAGUGCUACAACCUUACUCGUGGUCGUGGUUGUCGUAUUCAAUUUAAUUUUGUGCACCCAACCCUUGUACCUAAGUCGAAGUGAUGCAGUAGACACCUCGUGCUAUCAGAAUUUUCUUACGAGUGCCUUUGGAAAUUAAACCUUAUAUGUGGUAUCGUGUUUGCAGGUGCUACACCAUUAUUAUACUUCUCUGCCAACUUUAUUUAUUCACUAUCUGGAAUUCUAUUUGGCCGGAUUAGGUCACCAGAGUAUGAUUUGCUAUCUAGCAUGAUCUUGUAUGGAGUGAUGAUCUCAGACCAUAGGAAGGCAGGCAAGAUAAAGAAAAAGACAAUAGAUCUCGAAAUUUAACUUCCUUUACAUAUAUGGUUAUUCAUUGUACAGCUAAAUUAGUCUCUAAGCCAAGGAUCGAUGAGUCUUUUCCUUGUGUUGGCUAUUGGUUGACUGGGCAUUGUAAGAAUCUUUUUAGAGGGUAAUUUUUCAUGUCCAUUGCUUCUAACGGCUCUUCUCUCAACAUUGAUAUAGGGUAUAAUAUUGAAAUGUUGUGAACUCUUUAAGUCCCUCAAAGAAACCCAAAUGUCGAGUUGUUUAAUGGCUUGUUUGGUUGGACUUUGAAAAAGUCAAAGCUGUUUAUAAGAUUAUCGAUGUUUUUGGAUAAUUUUUAGAAAAUGAUUUGACUGGUUUGAUGAGCCUUUUAAAAUUGAUAACUUUUUACAAGUAAAAGUCUUGUCAAACAGGUGUUAAAGUAUAAGUCCUGUUAAUUGAGUUGAGUGAGGAUUAGUUUGUUAUACUAAAAUGUGCUUUUUAUAAUAAAAAGUGGACUAAAGUAGAUCAUGAUAAAUUGAUCUAUAAACAGCCCAUCUAACUUUAAAAAAAUCGAGUCAUUUUUACAUUGACAUUCAGUGCAUGUUUGGGAAAGUUAAACGGUUGAUUUUGUUAAAAGAAGUGGAAGGUCUUUUGAAAUGAGUGGUGGAAAAGAGAGUAAUACUGGUGAAUUUUGUGUAAUGUAAGAUUACUAUUAAGGGUGGUUAUAUUAUCAUCACAAUAAAUGUUUGGUACCCUAUAAUUUUCUUAUUUAUUUUAAAAAAUCACUAGUAAAAUGACAUAAGUACCCUAUCUUUUAUUCACUAAUAUAUUUAUUCAUACAAUCACUAUCAUCCGCACACAAAAAAAUACCUAAAGUCCUAUUUAAAGAUACAAAUGCCAAGAUCAAAAGAUCCAAGAUUGAAGAAAAGAGCAAGAAAUUUUAGGAUAUGGUAUAGGCAUUUUAGAAUAUUUAAUCUAUUAUUUUAAAAGUUCGCUAUAUUUUUCUGAAGAAACUCGUCAUUAUUGUGGAACAUGCCAUUAUACAACCUGCAAGAGGCAUUGGAUUUGGAGGCUAAAUGUUAUAACCCAUUCACUUAUAGUCAAAGUCAGGAAAAUUAUUUAGUCAAAGUCCAAAAUUCAAUUGGUUAAAGUCAAUUUCAAAUAGGGAUUUAAAUGAAAUAAAUUAUUUUAUUAGGGUUUAAUUUAUUAUGAAAAAUAGUUAAAGGUUUAAAAUGGAUAAAACUUAAUUUUAGGGAUCUACUUAUAUAUUAUUGGAAGUAAAGGACUAGAUGUUAUAUUAAAUUGAAGAAUAAGGACUUCCUAUGCAAAAAUGGGUUGUGGAGUGCAUGUGGCAAGUAAUUAACCCAUUACCAUUUUCAUAUGAUAUAUACAUACGGAGAGAUGAGGCUGGAGAUGGGCAGAAGCAAGAAAAACCAAGAAAGAGAAGGAAAAGGAGAAAAAGAAAGGGAGAGAGAGAGAGAGAGAGAAAAGGAGAAGAAAAGGAAGUGGGUCUUCAAGCUUGGAUUCUCCAUUUCUUCAUUGAUUUAGAGAGGUGGGUGUAAGUAGGAUGAGUUAUCUUUUUGAGUUUAUGGAAAUUUUCUAAAAUUUAAGGUUUAGCAAAAUUAAUGAUUGUUGAUAUAUGUUUGAGGCAUUAAAAACAACAAUAAUAUUAGUGUUGAAAGGAAGGAAAUGUGAAAUGGGUUUGUAAAUUAGAGUUCCAAUCUUUGAAUUAUUGUGUUUACACUUGAUUUAUGAUGAAUUAGAGUGGUGAAAAAAUAUUUAGGUUAGAUUUUGGUAUUUAUAAUAAAUUUUCGAGCAAAAUUCAUGUGCAGUUGCUAUUCAUGAAAUUCUGCCCAGAAAAGUGCCAUUUCUGUCAAUGGUUUUGAUGCCAGAUUUUAAUAUGCAGAAAUUGGUGCCAGGUUUCAAUUUUUUGGGAUUUUAGUGCUGUUUUUGACAAAACUCUUUUUUUUUUUCAGAUUUUUAAAGGCUUCAAUGAAGUUAUAUGAUAAGUAUUGAGGUUUAUGUAUUGGAAUAAAUUAUGUAUAGGGCUUGUAAAUGUAUAAGUUAAUGAUUUUAAGGAAGUGUGGUAAUUUAAUAGAUUUGAUAAUGCAUGGUGUUUAGUCGAUGAAUUAAUAAAGAGAAUAAAAGUUGGGGAUUAGAGAUGUAAGAGUAAAUAUAGAAGUUGAGGAGUUAAGUGGUGGAAUUGUAUUGAUUUAAUUGUCAAGUUUCAAUUUGAGUAAUUAUUAUACCGUUAUUUCAGGUAGUGACGUGAAAACUUGAAAAGACUUGUCAAUUUAGCUAGAUUUCUAUCCAUAAAUCUGUGAAUGGAAAAAAGAUAAAUAUUUUUAAAGUAUUUAUAAAUUAAGUAUAUUGUUAAAGUAUGUGCAAUUAUGUUCUCGAAGUAUAUGGUUAUUAUGAAAAUAUCUUUUAUUACGAUACAUGUGAUAUUUUAAAGAUUGUAUAUGGUACAUUGUGAAUUGGAAUAUCAGAUAUGAUUUUGAAAUCGACCAAAAAAGUACCCGUGAUUAUAUAUUUCUUCUAGUUCACUGAGGAGCCUUGGCCAUGUUCUAUACUACACUGAAGGGUUUUGGACCGGGGAUGAAAGAGUCUCGACCGUAUACAUAGGGUUGCACAAAAAAAAUAUGAAACCGCAAAUCGAACCGAAACCGUUGAGUUGAAACCAUUGGUUCGGGUCCACAUGGACCCAUGGUUUCUUUUUCGUCAAACCGAACCAAACCGUUUCAAAAUAGUUUGAUUUAGGUUUUGAUUUUCAAAAAUCGCACAAACUGAACGGAACCGUUUUUAAAUUUUUUAAUUAAAACAUUAAUUUUAUUAACUUAAAAAUUUUACAGUUUUUUCUAUUUCUUUUUAAAUAUCAAUUUAGUAAUACAAAUUAUAACCAACUUAUUGAAAUAAUCAUAAAAAGUAAAUUAUGUUCAUUAUUAUUGACCUAUGAUUUAACAGGUUCACAACAAAUGUCUUACCCGAUAUCUAAACUAAACUAAAAUUAUUUCAAAAUCAUAUGAAAUGAAGAAAAAACACAUAUUUUCACAAUCCAAAUCAUGAUUCAACAAAAUUACGUAAGUAAAUCACGCCCAAAACUUUAGAAGCCCUAACAUAAACUCUCAUUUUUCUAACAUUUGAUGCUUUUCUGCCACUGUUGAACGAUUACUAAUUGCAUUUGUCUGUUUCUGUUAGUCUACUAAUCUCUUCCUGAGUCGUCUCUUUCUCUCUUCUCGUCUUAGAUUCUUAUUCAAUCCAUUUUUCCAUUGUUCUUUCUUUUAUUUUAUUUUUUUGAACUUAUUAUAUAUUUAUGAGUUCUGGUUUGGAUAGAAAAAUGAUUAUUCGUGUGCCUAGUUGAUUAAUGAACUUGUUUGUGAUUUGGAAAAAACAAAAGACGGAAUGUAUUGAUUAUAUGAAAAUGUUAAAGAUCCCUAACUAGUGUUACUACCUUCUACUUUCAUAAAAUAGUUAGAGGAUAAAAUUCCUCAAUUUUCAAUAAGUCAAAAAUCAAUCAAUCCUUGUACAUCUAAAGAUAUCACGUUCAAUUCUUAUUUUACAUCUCACUAGCAGGACGAAAGGAAUUUUAACCAAACUAUAAUAACAAAAUGUAACUCUACCUUUACCAAUAGUUAUAUGACAAUGCGAAUGUCAAAUAAGAAAAGAUAAAUAAAAAUGAAGAAAGAUGUAUUUGUUCUAUUAACAUCUUUUAGAAAACAACUUUGAAAAUAAUUUAUUCAUGGGUUUCAUAGUAAUUAUAAAUGUAAUUUAGCAUUUAACAUAAUUAGUUAUUGUUUAAACUUAUAUUUAACUUACGUUAAAUACAUUACUAUAAUGUCGAAAAGUAAACCGCAGAUUAAAACCGAACCAAACCGCAAAUUAUGGUUUGGUUUGGUUUGGUUUGAUUUGAAAAAAUUUCAAACUGCAUAAAAUGGUUUGAGUUGAAAAUAUAGCACAAACCACUCAAAUCGAACCGCGAUCACCCCUACAUGUACAUAUAGUUCACUGACGGGCCUUGACCGUGCUCUAGAAUUGAUUAUGAGAGGUCUUUGAGAUCAUCUUUCGUUCAUGGAGGGAGUCAAACGCUCGUGGUAAAAGUUCUUAGACCGAGGGGCGGAUUACAUAUUUCAGCCAGAGGGUACAUUUUUAGUGAAUUUUUCAGUAUGCUUGAUGUGCUGAGAUUAUAGCGUGGUUAUCAGCUGAUAUUUAUAUCAUGAUUUUGAGAUGAUAUUUUACAAUGUUAUGUGAAUGUUUCACUUUUAGUUAUAAUUACAUAAUGUUAUCUUGUGAAUUAUUAAAUGAUAUGAACUCGAUUUUUGAUAGAAAUGUAAAAUUGAAUAAGUAUAAUUAUUUUUGAACUUCUUCAUUCACUGAACUAUCAACUCAUAUAUUUUCCCACAAUUUUUCCUAUAUGUAGCAAUUGAUUCUUUUUAACUGAAGAGCCUAAUGAUUUUGGAAUGAGAGCCACACAGUAUGUUGAAUAUUAUAACUCAUAUUGAUGAAACAUGAAGUAAAUAUUUUGGGCCCAUCGCAUUAUGUUUUACAUAAGUAUUUGAUUUUGUUGCAUUUUUUUUGAAAUAACUCAUAGUCAGCCUUGGUGAUAGAUUUGACAUCUAGUCAACAUUUAUCUUCGGUGCACGUCUCGUCUCGUCUCGGGUUCACUAAGGUGAUUCGGGACGUGUCGUGUCAGAGUGGUAUCUAAGCAUGGUUUUGAAAAUUUUUAUGAUUUAUGCAUGCUCAGUGGGUAUGAUCACAUGUCGUGGUGACAGAAAUCAUAAGCUCUCUAACUCAAAUGUAUGAAACCAAAAAUAAUAGAAAAAUAUUUUUUUAACUGAUUUAGAAACGACUCGUAUGUAAGUAUGGUAGUUGUAAUGAUCUAAUGGUUGGAAAUGAUAUUAGCUAUUGGGUUGAAACUAUGUGUGUAUGUAACCUAUUAAGAUUUGAACAUAUUGUGAUGAUUUUGUAGGGCAUUUGAAGUUACAGAUAUUACAACCACUUAAUUAUCAAUUUAUUUGUAGAGCUACAUGAUUAUUUUUAUGAGUACAUAGGAAAUUUUUUAGCUAUAGCUUGCACGAUAAAUACAAGGAAAUGAUAUGAUGUGUAAUCAGUGACAAUCAGUGGGGAAUUUUAAUUAUUCUUGAAGCCAAAUGGUUAUUAGUGUUAUCAAAUUUUGUGGUGAUUUAAGGCCACUUUAAUGGGAUGAUAAUAGAAAUCAUGAUGAUGUAUAUUUAUGCUAUAUGAUAAGGAAUUGUGGAAGACAAAAUGAUAAUUUGUUGAUUGAUAGAUAACAAUGUGUUAUUGUAUACUUUAAGCAUCAAGGAAAUUAACGGUAAUUUCAAUUAUUUAUGAGUAGUUUGAUUACAAGGAAUGUGAGAAUAAUAGAGAUGAACUUCACAAUGUUUACCUAUUAGGGGGUGAUUUGUUUAUUUAAAAAUAGAAUUAAUUGGAUAUGUGCAUUUAGGUAUGUUUAUGUGAAAAAAAAAUUGAAAUUGAGAAUGGUAGAAUUGAAGUUUGUUGAGAUUGGGAAAUUAACAUGCGAUAUAUUGAUAUGUGAAAUGUUCAAGUGAUAAAUAUGAAGGUUAUCAUCUUGUGAUAUUAAGGGAAAUUUAUAUAAUUAAAUGUUUUAGGUCAUACAAUAUGACGAUAAAUGCUAAGGUUACAAGAUCAUAACAUGAUAUGGUGAAUAGCAUGAAAAUGAAUGUAAUGGUUGUCCUAUAGCAAAGUAAUGUGAUGAUUUAUUUGGGUUAUUUAAGUUAACAAAUUUUGUUAAGGCCAUUUGUUGAUUAUUGUGUUACAUUUCAUACAAUUUGGAAGCGUUGAGUUAAAUUUUGAAGUUAAGAUGAAUUUAUUGAAAUGUUAGUAUGUAAAUUUUGGGCUAUUUUUAAUUGUAUUUUGGAUCAUGAACAAAGUAUUCAAUUUUUGUCAAAAUAAAUUUGUUAAGGAAUAUAAGUAGGACAUGUUAGCUAUGUCUAAAGUUUAAGAUGAUCAUCAAAUAUAGAUUUUACUCAUUGUGAACUAGUAUCUUUUGGUUACAUUAUCUUAAUUAAAGGUCUUUAUGUGAUAUACAAAAAAGAUUAUGCAUUGACGAUAGAUCAACGAUCUAUUUAUGAAAUAAGAGUAUAGAUUUUUAUGGAUCAAAUGUUAUUAUUGUCUCUUUAUAAAAAGAAAGAACAAAAUUUGUAUGUGUAUAGAAAUGUCAAAAGUUUUGCUAUCAGGAAAUAUUGAAAAAAUAUUUGCUCUUAUAUCUAAAGAUGAUAAGCGAUUGAUUCACGAUAAUGAUUUAUGUUAUGGUUUAGAAAUUGUUUUCUAAGUGGAAUGAUAAAAUAUGGAUUAUGUUGUAGAUUGAUAAAGAGAUAUGAUUAAAUCAUGAUAUAUGGUUGAUUAUAUUGGGAUUGACAUUUAGGAAUUGUGGCGUUAUCACAUGGUGGGAAGAUCAAUACUUACGGACCACAUGAGUUUAAGGAAUAUUUAUAUUUAAAAAGGAGCCGAACUUAAAGCUAUGUAUUUAUUAUCGUUAGGUGAUAAAAUGAAAAGUUAAAAAUAUCACAUAUUUAUAUUAGGAUGAUAUUUAAGGUAUCGGUUCAACAUGUAUUUCAUAUGUUCGGUGGUUAGUAAAUGGACGUCAGAUUUAACUAAUGCUAUAAGAUCAUCAGUGGAGUUGGUUGAAAAUCUUACAUAUGAAGAAAAAUCAAUUCGGAUCUUGGAUAGGAAAUGAAUAGAUUUUGUGCAGAAAGUCUAUUCCGCUAGUUAAAGUUUGUUUGGAAAAAAAAUAAUAAUAAAAAAUAGAGGCUUCAUGGGGCAAGUAUUCAAAUAUAUGCUCUAUAUCUUUGUGCUCGAAUCCUAAUUGAUUGAAUUUCGAGGACGAAAUUCUUUGAAGGGGGUAAGAUUGUUAUAACUCACUCACUCAUAGUCAAAGUCAAGAAAAUUAUUUAGUCAAAGUCCAAAAUUCAAUUGGUCAAAGUCAAUGUCAAAUAGGGAUUUAAAUGAAAUAAAUUAUUUUAUUGGGAUUUAAUUUAUUAUGAAAAAUAGUUAAAGGUUUAAAAUGGAUAAAACUUAAUUUUAGGGAUCUACUUAUAUAUUAUUAGAAGUAAAGGACUAGAUGUUAUAUUAAAUUGAAGAAUAAGGACUUUCCAUGCAAAAAUGGGUUGUGGAGUACAUGUGGCAAGUAAUUAACCCAUUACUAUUUUCAUAUGAUAUAUACAUACAGAGAGGUAAGGCUGGAGAUGGGCAGAAGCAAGAAAAACCGAGAAAGAGAGAAGGAAAAGAGAGAAGGAAAAGGGGGGAGAGAGAGAGAGAGAGAGCGAAGAAGAAGAAGAAGAAGAAGAAGAAGAAGAAGUGGGUCUUCAAGUUUGGAUUCUCCUUUUCUCCAUUGAUUUAGAGAGGUGGGUGUAAGUAGGAUGAGUUAUCUUUUUGAGUUUAUGAAAAUUUUCUAAAAUUUAAGGUUUAGCAAAAUUGAUGUUUGUUGAUAUAUGUUUGAGACAUUAAAAACAACAAUAAUAUUAGUGUUUAAAGGAAGGAAAUAUGAAAUGGGUUUGUAAAUUAGAGUUCCAAUCUUUGAAUUAUUGUGUUUACACUUGAUUUAUGAUGAAUUAGAGUGGAAAAAAAAAAAAUUAGGUUAGAUUUUGGUAUUUAUAAUAAAUUUUCGAGCAAAAUUCAUGUGCAGGUACUACUCAUGAAAUUCUGACCAAAAAAGUGCCAUUUCUGUCAAUGGUUUUGAUGCCAGAUUUUAAUAUGCAGAAAUUGGUGCCAGGUUUCAAUAUUUUGGGAUUUUAGUGCUGUUUUUGACAAAACUCUUAUUUUUCAGAUUUUUAAAGGCUUCAAUGAAGUUAUAUGACAAGUAUUGAGGUUUAUGUAUUGGAAUAAAUUAUGUAUAGGGCUUGUAUAUGUAUAAGUUAAUGAUUUUAAGGAAGUGUGGGUAAUUUAAUAGAUUUGAUAAUGCAUGGUGUUUAGUCGAUGAAUUAAUAAAGAGAAUAAAAGUUGGGGAUUGGAGAUGUAAGAGUAAAUAUAGAAGUUGAGGAGUUAAGUGGUGGAAUUGUAUUGAUUUAAUUGUUAAGUUUCAAUUUGAGUAAUUAUUAUUCCGUUAUUCAGGUAGUGACGUGAAAACUUGAAAAGACUCGUCAAUUUAGUCAGAUUUCUAUCCAUAAAUAUGUGAAAGGAAAAAAUAUAAAUAUUUUUAAAGUAUUUAUAAAUUAAGUAUAUUGUUAAAGUAUGUGCAAUUAUGUGCUCGAAUUAUAUGUUUAUUAUGAAAAUAUCUUUUAUUAUGAUAUAUGUGAGAUUUUAAAGAUUGUAUACGGUACAUUGUGAAUUGGAAUAUGAGACAUGAUUUUGAGAUCGACCAGAAAAGUACCCGUGAUUAUAUAUUUCUUCUAGUUCACUAAAAGGUCUUGGCCGUGUUCUAUACUACACUGAGGGGUCUUGAACCGAGGAUGAAGGGGUCUCGACCGUGUACAUAUAGUUCACUGAAGGGUCUUGGCCGUGUUCUAGAAUUGAUUAUGAGAUGUCUUUGAAACCAGCUUUCGUUCAUGGAGGGGGCCAAAGGUCCGUGGCGAAAGUUCUUAACCCGAGAGGCGGAUUACAUAUUUCAAUUAGAGGGUACAUUUUUGGUGGAUUUUUCAGUAUAUUUGAUGUGAUGAGAUUAUAGCGUGGUUAUCAGCUGAUAUUUAUAUCAUGAUUUUGAGAUGAUAUUUUACGACCUUAUGUGAAUAUUUCACUUUUGGUUAUAAUUACAUGAUGUUAUCUUGUGAAAUAUUAAAUGAUAUGAACUCGAUUUUCGAUAGAAAUGUAAAAUUGAAAAAGUAUAAUUAUUUUCGAACUUCUCCACUCACUGAACUAUCAACUCAUAUAUUUUUCCACGAUUUUUUCUACAGGUAGCAAUUGAUUCUUUUUAGCUGGAAGAGCCUAAUGAUUUCGGAAUGAGAGCCAUACGGCAUGUUGAAUAUUAUAACUCAUAUUGAUGAAACAUGAAGUAAAUAUUUUGAGUCCAUCGCAUUAUAUUUUACAUAAGUAUUUUAUUUUGUUGCAUUUUUUUGAAGUAACUCAUGUUAGCCUUGGUGAUAGAUUUGACAUCUAGUCAGCAUCUAUCAUUGGCGCACGUCUCAUCUCGGGUCCACUAGGGUGAUUCGGGACGGGACGGGUCGUGUCACUAAAGGACAGCAUUUAGAAAUGGAUCAUUGCAUGGAUCGUGAUAUCCCAUUUGCUGAAGAUUGGAUAAAAGUUAGAGAUAUUUGUAAACUUGUUCAAAAUGUAUAUGAUGUUGCUGAAGUUCUUUUCGAGACAAAACAUGAUAGUGCAGGCAUCUAUGUUCACAAAUUUCAAGAAUUACAAGCAAGUUUUAUAGAAGAAUCCAGAAAUUCAGAUAAAUUUGUUAGAAUCAUAGCUCGGAAGACACUAAAGAAGUUUGAGAAGUACUGGAAGAACAUGUUCCUUGUACUAACCGUUGUUACGGUUUUGAAGCCUCAAUAUAAAAUUAAGUAUAUUGAAUUUUCUUCCUUGAAGUAUGAUACUAGUUCUAGUAUAUCAGAAGUGACAACCAUUUCAAAGUCCAUUCACUCGCCUUAUGAUGAUUAUGUUACUAGCAAAACCAGAUAAGAAUAUACAUCAAAGAAAGAUGCAUACACCUAAAUGUUGGUUUUAAUUGUUGAGAUGAGUAUAACCAGUUUAUCCAAUCUAAUAGUCAAUCUCGAUCCCUAGGCAAGAGCUUGAAUGCUACUUGGAAGAACUUGUCGUGCCUUGGAGCAAAAAUUUCAGAGUGCCAUCACGGUGGCAAUCUGUGAGCCCCAAAUAUCCUACCAUGUCCAAAAUGGCUCGUGGAUCUCUGCACAUAAAAUGUUGAUAUUUCAUGUCCAAAAGAACAAAAGAUCCAAAGAUUAUUGAGCCAAUGGAUGAAGGAAAUGUUGAUAUUCCAUGUCCAAAAGAACAAAAGAUUCAAAAAUUAUUGAGCCAAUGGAUGGACGAAGAAUGGUUGGGGAAAAAUGAGGAGUAAUUUUGGGACGGAGAAUACAAUACUAUUAUUAUUAUUAUUAUUAUUAUUAUUAUUAUUAUUAUUAUUAUUAUUAUUAUUAUUAUUAUUAUUAUUAUUAUUAUCAUCAUCAUCAUCAUCAUCAUUAUUAUUUUCAUUUUUAGUUCUUUUUGGGGUUAAGACUAUAAUUGUAAAUUUGUUAUGGCAUUUUUAUUGGAAACAUGUUAUUAUUGUGGUGGUGUUAUAAUGUGUGUAGCAAGUAAAAUUUGUGGUGGCAAUAUAAUUACCCUAAUGUUAAUUGUUACUUUUGAUCCCAUCUUUUUAAUCUUUUUCAAACAAGCAUUUGCCUAAUUUUUUUAAUUAAUUAGACAAAUAGUCAAGUUGAAUAUGGUCUUUACUAUUAAAAAAAUGUAAAUAAACAAUAAUUAUUUUUCAUAAGACUAAAUUCUCCAACUCAUAAAAGGAAUGGCAAUACGACAGGUGAUUUUCCUUGUCUUUUGUCGCGUUGGAUAUUCUUGGGUAGAGGAUAGGAAAUUAGGAAUAGGGAAUUUGCUACUCUAUUUACUCAAUUUUCUAAUAUCAAAUUUCAAAUAUGAUUUAAGUUUAAAAACAUAAAUAUACAUAUAAAACUAAGAGUCUGAACAAGUAUGAAGUGAGUAAAAUGUUCUCAGUCCCUAUAUCGAUUUUCUAUUCGAUGGGACGUAACAAGACAUUUGCUGUCUUUGCCCAUAAAGAGCUUUUUAUAUUCUAAAAAAAAAAAGUCAUUUCCUCACUGUCAUUUAAAAGUAAAUAAGAUUAUUCAUAGUUGCUUACUAUUAGUAAUUGCUCUACGUGAAAGUUUGUUAUUUGAGACAUUAAUUUUUUAUAAUUUUAUUUCGUAAAACCAACCUUUCAUUCUUUAGCAGAGCUCUCUCUCUCCACCAUUUCAUUCAAUUUGAUAAUAAACUCAUCCUUGUCGAGGGUUAAAAUUAAAUUUUUAGUUUAAUUUUGAUAAAAAUUGAUGUUUAGAGCUCAUUUUCAUCUUAUUUAUGGACAAUUUUUAAACGUUGCACAGUACAAAACCUUUAUCGUGAGGGAUCUAUACCCUAGGCUGGCAGCUCUGUUUCUUUAUUUCUUAUUUCUGAUACCCAAUUGACAACGAUUAGUCAAAGUGAACCUGGAAAAGUGAAAAAACAAUGCAUGGCUUUUGUUUGGAGCAAUUCGCGUUCACAUUUCAAGAUAGGGGUAAAAUUGGAAGUUGGACAUAUAUAUGCAUAACACCAUUUGGACUAGCUUUCACAUGGUGGGCCACAUGAUGUGAUAGAAGAAUGCAUUUUUUCCACAAUAAAGGCGUCCAAACGUUAGCUUUCACAUGGUGGGCCACGUGAUGUGAUAGAAGAAUGCAUUUUUUCCACAAUAAUGACGCCCACACGUCAAUAAUGGCGCCCAAACGUCCAUUAUUGUAGAAAAAAAUGGAUUCUUCUAUCACAUCACAUGGUCCACCAUGUGAAAGCUAACGUUUGGGCGCCAUUAUUGUGGAAAAAAUGCAUUCUUCUAUCACAUCAUGUGGCCCACCAUGUGAAAGCUAGUCUAAAUGGUGUUAUGCAUAUAUAUGGUCAACUUCCAAGUUUAAAAAAAGGUGGAACCUCAACCUUGAGGGGCUUCACUGCCUCGCUCUUGGAGUAUCGUGAGGGAGGUAAAUUGCGGGAUGUGCCCCAACAGAUCAGGGAACAAGAACUUGUCCGUACACUGGUGCUUACAAAGAAUCCAAUUCCACAUCUUAGGAAUCGACCCCUUUGCGGCUGCCAACAAAAUUGAGAUUACCUCACUCCUGUCCUUUGCACCACUGGGUUAUGCCCCGGGGGCGUCAACUUCCAAGUUUACCCCUAUCUUGAAAUGUGAACACGUAUUGUUCCAAACAAAAGCUAUGCAUUUUUUACUUUUCCAAUGAACCAAGUUUCCAUUAUUGAGGAUAGAGUGUUGUAAAGCUCAUAUAAAGCAAAUGUCGAUAAGAGGGAAUUAAAAUUUUAGAGGGUAUUUGGUGGGGAUAAAAAUUAGAUUUUUUAGUAGAUUGUGAUAGAAGUUGUUAAANNNNNNNNNNNNNNNNNNNNNNNNNNNNNNNNNNNNNNNNNNNNNNNNNNNNNNNNNNNNNNNNNNNNNNNNNNNNNNNNNNNNNNNNNNNNNNNNNNNNNNNNNNNNNNNNNNNNNNNNNNNNNNNNNNNNNNNNNNNNNNNNNNNNNNNNNNNNNNNNNNNNNNNNNNNNNNNNNNNNNNNNNNNNNNNNNNNNNNNNNNNNNNNNNNNNNNNNNNNNNNNNNNNNNNNNNNNNNNNNNNNNNNNNNNNNNNNNNNNNNNNNNNNNNNNNNNNNNNNNNNNNNNNNNNNNNNNNNNNNNNNNNNNNNNNNNNNNNNNNNNNNNNNNNNNNNNNNNNNNNNNNNNNNNNNNNNNNNNNNNNNNNNNNNNNNNNNNNNNNNNNNNNNNNNNNNNNNNNNNNNNNNNNNNNNNNNNNNNNNNNNNNNNNNNNNNNNNNNNNNNNNNNNNNNNNNNNNNNNNNNNNNNNNNNNNNNNNNNNNNNNNNNNNNNNNNNNNNNNNNNNNNNNNNNNNNNAGGUAAAUUGCGGGAUGUGCCCCAACAGAUCAGGGAACAAGAACUUGUCCGUACACUGGUGCUUACAAAGAAUCCAAUUCCACAUCUUAGGAAUCGACCCCUUUGCGGCUGCCAACAAAAUUGAGAUUACCUCACUCCUGUCCUUUGCACCACUGGGUUAUGCCCCGGGGGCGUCAACUUCCAAGUUUACCCCUAUCUUGAAAUGUGAACACGUAUUGUUCCAAACAAAAGCUAUGCAUUUUUUACUUUUCCAAUGAACCAAGUUUCCAUUAUUGAGGAUAGAGUGUUGUAAAGCUCAUAUAAAGCAAAUGUCGAUAAGAGGGAAUUAAAAUUUUAGAGGGUAUUUGGUGGGGAUAAAAAUUAGAUUUUUUAGUAGAUUGUGAUAGAAGUUGUUAAAUGUGUAGUUGAAAAAUUGUGGAACCUAUAAAAGAUGUGGUUAGUGUUGAUUGUUUGACUUUAACUUAGAUUAAAAUCAGAUUUUAAUCCAAAUCAAAUAGUCUGUUAAAUCCUUGUCAAAGUCAAAGUCAAUAAUUCAUUUAAAUCACGUAUUUUAAGACAUUCAUAAGUUUUUAAUCAUAUACUGCAUCAAAUUUUAUCAAAAUUUACUAAAAAUUUAAUUUUAACUUGUAACAUCACAUUUCUCUUUUCCUAAUUUUUGCGAAUAUGAUAUUCCCUAAUGAUAUAUUUAAUGCUUAUUAUUAAUUUAUUGUCAAUGUGACUACUAAUAUGUUGUAGUGGAUUAUACCUUGAACGUCCUAGGUGAUUGACAUGCCAAUUAAAGCUAAUUAUAUGAAAAUCAAAUGAAAAUCUAGAAAAGGGAAGGAAAUGUAAAUAGAUGAAGAAAGAGGACUAGUAAUUAUUGAGGAGAGUGUGCUGUACAGCUCAUAUAAAGCAAAUGUCAGUAAUGGGGAAUUAAAAUUUAAAUAUUUACCAAAGUUGGAGUCAAUAAUUGAUUUAAAUCAAGUACUUUAUGAUAUUCAUAACUUUUCAAAUAUGUUAUUGAGUUGUGAAUAUCACAGAAGAAUGCAUUUUUGGAAAAAGUUUUGUCUGAUUUGAUGAGCUUUUUUGAAGGAAAAUGAUAACUUUUUUACAAGGAGUAGAAGUCUUGUCAAAGCGGCGUUAAGUAUAAGAUCUAAUAAUUAAGUUGAGUGAGGAUUAGUUUGUUCUACUCAAAUGUGCUUUUUACAAUAAAAAAUGAACCAAAGUAGAUCAAGAUAAAUUGAUCUAUAAACAGCUUCUCUAACCUUAAAAAAAUCGAGUCAUUUUUACAUUGACAUUCAGUGCUUGUUUGGGAAAGUUAAACAGUUGAUUUUGUUAAAAGAAGUGGAAGAUCUUUUGGAAUUAGUGGUGGAAAAGCGAGUAAUACUAGUGGAUUUUAUGUAAUGUAAGAUUAAUAUAAAGGGUGGUUAUAUUAUCACCACAAUAAGUGUUUGGUACCCUAUAAUUUUCUUAUUUAUUUUAAAAAAUUACUAGUAAAAUGACAUAAGUACCCUAUCUUUUAUUCACUAAUAUAUUUAUUCAUACGAUCACUACCAUCCGUACACAAAAAAUACAUAACUCCUACUUAAAGAUACAAAUGCCAAGAUCAAAAGAUCCAAGAUUCACUAAUAUAUUUAUUCAUAUGACCACUACCAUCCGUACACAAAAAAUACAUAACUCCUACUUAAAUAUACAAAUGCCAAGAUCAAAAGAUCCAAGAUUGAAGAAAAGAACAAGAAAUUUUAGGAUAUGGUAUAGGCAUUUUGGAAUAUUGAAUGUAUUAUUUUAAAAGUUCGCUAUAUUCUUCUUGGAAACUCGUCGUUAUUGUGGAAUAUGCCAUUAUACAACCUGCAAAAGGUAUUGGAUUUGGAGGCUAAAGGACAGUAUUUAGAAAUGGAUCAAUGCAAGGAUCGCGAUAUCCCAUUUGCUGAAGACUGGAAAAAAGUAAGAGAUAUUUGUAAACUUGUCCAAAAUGUAUAUGAUGUUGCUGAUGUUCUUUUCGAGACAAAACAUGCUAGUGCGGGCAUCUAUGUUCAUAAAUUUCAAGAAUUACAAGCAAGUUUGAUAGAAGAAUCUAGAAAUUCUGAUAAAUUUGUUAGAAUCAUAGCUCAGAGGAUGCUAAAGAAGUUUGAGAAGUACUGGAAGAACAUGUUCCUUGUACUAACCGUUGUUACUGUUUUGGAUCCGCAAUAUAAAAUGAAGUAUAUUGAAUUUUCUUCCUUGAAGUAUGAUACUAGUUAUAGUAUCUCGGAAGUGACAGCCAUUUCAAAGUCCAUUUACUAGCCUUAUGAUGAUUAUGUUACUAGCAAAACUAGAGAAGAAUAUUCUAUGAGUGAUUCGAAUUCUGAGUUUGAAGAAGAGAUUCCUACAAACAUCAAAGAAAGAUGCCUACUCCCAAACUUUGCUUUUAAUUGCUUAGAUGAGUAUAAACAGUUUAUCCAAUCUGAUAGUCGAUCUCGACCAUUAGGUAAAAGCUUGAAUGCUACUUGGAAGAACCUGUCGUGCCUUGGAGCAAAAAUUUCAGCGUGCUAUCUUGAUGGCAAUAUGUGAGCCCCAAAUAUCCUACCUUGUCCAAAAUGGCUCGUGGAUCUUUGCACAUAAAAUGUUGAUAUUUCAUGUCCAAAAAAUAAUUGAGCCAAUGGAUGAAGGAAAUUGAUGAGGAAGAAUGGAUGGGGGAAAAUGAGGAGUAAUUUUGGGAAGGAGAGUACAUUGUUAUUAUUAUUAUUAUUUUUUUUUUUUUCAUUUUCAGUUUUUAUUGGGUUAAGGCUAUAAUUAUAAAUUUGUUAUGGUAUUUUUAUUAGAAACAUGUUGUUUUAAUGUGUGUAGCAAGUAAAAUUUGUGGUGGCAAUAGAAUUGCCUUAGCAUUAAUUGUUACUUUUGAUCCCGACUUUUUAAUCUUUUUCAAACAAGCAUUUGCUCAAUUUUUUGAAUAACUAGACAAAUAGUCAAGUUGAACAUGGUCUUUACAAUUGAAAAAAUGUAAAUAAAUAAUAAUUUUUUUUCAUAAGAUUAAAUUCUCCAACUCAUAAAAGGAAUGGCAAUACGACAGGUAGUUUUCCUUGUCUUUUAUGGCGUUGGAUUUUCUUGGGUGGAGGGUAGGAAAUUAGGAAUAGGGAAUUCAUUACUCUAUUUGCUCAAUUUUCUAAUAUCAUUUUGAAAAACAAUUUAAGUUUAAAAACAUAUAUGUACAUGUAAAAAUAAGAGUCUGAACGAGUAUGAAGUAACUUGUUCUUCCUAUAUUGAUUUUCUAUUCAGUGGGAUGGAACAAGACAUUUGCUGUCUUCGCCUAUAAAGAGCUUUAUAUUCUUAAAAAAGGUCAUUUUCACAUUGACAAUUAAAAGUGAAUAAUACUAUUCAUAGUUGUUCACUAUCAAUUAUUUCUCUAUAAUUUUAUUUCUUAAAACUAACCGUUCAUUCUUUAGCAGAGUUUUGUGUUUCUCCACCAUUUCAUUCAAUUUGACAAUAAGCUCAUACUUGGAGGGGUUAAAAUUAAAUUUUUAGUAAAUUUUGGUAAAUAUUGUUGUUUAGAGCUCAUUUCAUCUUAUUUAUAGACAAUUUUGACCACUGCACAAUACAAAACUCUUUCUUUAUUCUGAUUUAUGACACUGAAUUGAAAUAAUCUAUCAAAGCCCUUGUUUAGGAGAGCUUUCGUUUUCAAUUGUAGCCAGUGACCAUUAUACAUAUAUGUUAAAUAAGGCAAGUUGAGUGGGAGCCCUCAAGGUUGGAGUUCAACCUUUCAAAUAAGGCAAAUUGCAAUUUUUGACUAUUUUAAGACAGAAUGAUCCCUUAACAUUUCAUUCAUUCUUCAUGAGACAAGGACAUUUUUGGUAUUUAAUUUUGAGACAGUAAAAAAUUGCAACCAAAAUGAGACCCAUGUUCAACUGUGUAAGGGAGAAAAAUUGCUAAAAAUGGAAAAAAAGCUCUCCCAGACAAGAGCAAAGUGAACUUCGAAAAGUAAAAAUACAUUUUUUGUUUGUAACAAUACUUGUUCACGUUUCAAUAUAGGGGUAAAAUUGGAAGUUGCCCAUAUAUAUUUAUAACACCAUUUGGAGUUUGGACUAGCUUUCACAUGGCGGGCAAUGUGAUAUGAUAGAAGAAUGCAAUUUUCCACAAUAAUGGCGCCCAAACGAUGACCUGCUAAUGUUAUUGAAUGAUUUAAUUGAAUUAUUAACUUUUACUUUCAUAAAAAUAUAAUUGCUACAUUUGCUUUAUAUGAGCUGUACAACACACACCAAGAAUUACUAGUUUUCUUUCUUCAUCCGUUAACAUUUCCUCCUCUUUUCUGGGUUUUCAUUCGAUUGUCAGAGCUGCAACAUCCAUUUCCAUGACUUCAAAGCUAUAUGCUAAUCAGAAUUUUCUGUUUUUGCUUUAGUGGUAGCGUCUAUUAUUCUUCAAACAAGCAUUUGCUCAAUUUUUUGAAUAACUAGACAAAUAGUCAAGAUGAACAUGGUCUUUACAAUUGAAAAAAUGUAAAUAAAUAAUAAUUAUUUUUUAUAAGAUUAAAUUCUCCAACUCAUAAAAGGAUGGCAAUAUGGCAGGCGGUUUUCCUUGUCUUUUGUCGCGUUGGAUUUUUUUGGGUAGAGGGUAGGAAAUUAGGAAUAGGUACUUUUACCCAAUUUUCUAAUAUCAUUUUUUUAAAAAUACAAUUUAAGUUUAAAAACAUAUAUGUACACGUUAAAUUAGGAGUCUAAACGAGUAUCAAGUAACUUGUUCUCAAUUCCCAUAUCGAUUUUCUAUUCGAUGGAUGGAACAAGACAUUUGCUGUUUUUGCCCAAAAAGAGCUUUAUAUUUUAAAAAAGUUCAUUUCCACAUUGACAUUUAAAAAUAAAUAAUAUUAUUCACUCACUGUCAAUUAAUUUUCUAUAAUUUUAUUUCUUAAAACCAACCGUUCAUUCUUUAGCGGUGUUUUGUCUCUGUCCACCAUUUUUCCCACUUCCACAUGGUGGGCCAUGUGAUAUGAUAGAAGAAUGAAAUUGUUCCACAAUAAUGGCGCCCAUACGACGACACGCUAUGUUAUUGAAUGAUUUAAUUGAAUUUUAAUUGCGACAUUUGCUUACAACACUCAAAAUUACUAGUCUUCUUUCUUCAUCCGUUUACAUUUCCUCCUCUUUUGUGGGUUUUCAAAGCUAUAACAUCCAUUUCCAUGGCUUCAAAGCUACAAGCUAAUCAGAAUUUUCUGUUUUUGCGUCAGUGGUAGCGUCCAUUAUGCUUUAAACAAAAGUUUAGGGGGUAGACAACUCACAUACACUAUCUUUCUCUUUCCCUGCAAUUCGACCAUCCUUUCCUUUCCUUUCCUUGCAAUGGAUAUCUCACUCACUAAUUCGUUUACUAGUCCUGCAGAUCUCUUUCUAAUUGUGAGCGAUCAUAUAUUAUAUAUCUCCUCCAAACAUCAUCCUAUAAUUGAUACGUUACUUGGUUUUAUACCUUUACAAACGCACGGUUUCUUUGAUGAAUUUCACAGAAACAUUUUCUAUGAAUCAGUGUUAGCUGGACUUGAUCAAGAGCUUAAGGUGUUCUUUACAGUCCCUGACCAGCAAAUCUUGUCCAAGUUAACUCCUACUCUCAAUUCUAAUGAAGUUGUUGCGGCGUUCAUCAACUUUCUCCUCCUGAUGGUAGAAGUCAUUCUACAUUUUGAGGAAGAUUCGAUUGCUCGUGUAAAGGGUUCGUUCCAAAAUCUCCGGACAGAGCUUGGAUUUCUUAUCACUUUUCUUGGGGAUACAGCAAUGCAUUUGCAGCCCACCGAGACUAUAGUGAUAGAUAUUGAAGAUGUGGUCAAUGAGGUAGGAUGUUUCUUGUAUUCCUUCCUUUGGGCCAUUGUUAUGUUCAUUCUAAUCUGUAAAGAGAAAGAAUUAUAUACUAGAAUGUACGGUUGGAAAGUUGGGGUUAAUGAGGUAGGAAGUCUCCGUCUUUCUGACUUUAUCCACUUUCUUGAGGAUCAACCAUUGCUAAACACUAUGUUGAAAGCAACGAAAGAUAUUAAAGCUUCGCUCCAUAAGAUAGGAAGUUUAUUAGAUUCCUUCAUUUCCAAGAAGAAUGAUCAAGCUAUGGAGCCAGGAAACUUAAAUCUUGCUCUUUCUGAUUUGUUAGCAAAGUUUGAGACCUUGAAAACAAAGAUCAAGGAGCACUGCAUCAGAGUCUCAAAGAUCCCAAGUGAUAUGGCUCCUAAGACUGGUGUGGUUUCACUCUUCAUUGUUGAUUCCGUCCUCGAUGAUCUCAUGGAUCUAAUAAAUAACAAGUCUGACUCGACUGGUGUUGUGAAUGAUCAAAUUGUAAUGCUUCAGACGCUUCAGAAGGAGCUAAUGUUAUUGGGAUCAUCCAUCACAGAUAUAGCAUUGCAGCAGGAAGCAGAACAUGAAGAACUUGUGAUACGGAGCAGAGACAUAGCAUAUGAAGUUGAAUAUGUUAUCAAAUCAUUUCGUCAAGCUUGGUAUCUUUCUCUCCGGCUCCCUCAACUCAUUGACAAGAUUCAGCUUAUUACGAUGGCUAUCGAAAAAAUGAAGAACAAUGUUGAUAUAUCUAGAAUGUCAAUUUUUUCGAAACAUCCACAUGAACAUGUAGAUCCACAGUCAGAAGAAUCUCCCAUUUUGGAAGACUUUGUUGUGGGAUUUGACAAUGUAACAAUUGAAAUUGUAGAACAACUUGCUCGAGGAAUAGAAAAGCUACAAAUUAUUUCCAUAUUUGGGAUGCCUGGACUUGGUAAGACGACCUUGGCAAAUAAAUUAUAUAAUCAUCGCUACGUUUUAUACCAUUUUCACAAUCGUGCCUGGUGUGCUGUUUCUCAAAUAUAUAAUAAGAAAAAUGUGUUGAUUGAAAUUUUGAGCUCAAUGAGUAACAAUAAGAGGGAUACAUACAUGAAAAAGGAGGAAAACAGCUUGGUCGACGAUCUUUACAAAAACUUAAAAGGAAGGCGAUACCUCAUUGUGAUAGAUGAUAUAUGGGAUAUCAAUGUGUGGAAUGAUUUAAAAAGAUGUUUUCCAGAUGACGGAGUUGGAAGCAGAAUCUUAUUCACUACUCGAAAUAAAGAAGUGGGUUUGAAAGCUUUACCUCAUAAUUUCACAAAGGAACUUCCUUUUUUGUCGGAAGUUGAAUGUUGGGACAUAUUACAAGGGAAAGUGUUCCAAGAUAAAAAAUGUCCUCAAGAAUUGCUAGACAUUGGCAAGCAAAUUGCAAAAAAUUGUCAUGGCCUACCACUCGCAGUGGUUGUGAUAGCUGGAGUUCUUGCAAACAUGGAGAAGAAAAAACACUUGUGGGAAAAAGUUGCCAGAAAUUUAGGUUCUCAUAUAUCUGAAAUACCAGAGAAGUGCAUCCAAAUAUUGCAGCUUAGCUACGACCAUUUACCAAUGCAUUUGAAAACGUGUUUUCUUUACUUUGGAGCAUUCAAAGGAGACAUGAAGAUCCCUGUACGGAAGUUGAUAUCUCUUUGGGUUGCCGAAGGAUUUAUAAAGAAGGAAGAACAGAAGAACAUAGAGGACGUGGCACGAGAAUAUUUAAUGAAAUUGAUUGAUAGGAGUCUAGUACUUGUUGCUGAAAAAAGAUAUGAUGGAGGAGUCAAAACAUGCAAGAUUCAUGAUCUAUUGCGUGAAAUGUGCUUGAAAAUAGCUGAAGAAAAUAACUUUUUGAAGUUUAUCAAACAGUAAGUUCAAUGUCUCUUCUUUUUCCUUUCCUUUCCUUUCCAUCCAUUUUUUAUUUUAGCUUACUUAGAAGGUUAUUAUAUUUGAUAAUCGUAACAAUGAUGUGAUUAUGUUGUUUUUGUUGCCAGUAAUGAUGAUGAUGAAGAUAAACAACGGUUCUUCAGUCAAGUAUCAACGUAUCAGCAGCACCAUUGCCUGAGUAUCAACUGUACGAUACCUCCGAGUUCACUACCUUUUGGCCUACACGUACGCUCUCUUCUAUAUGAUAUUCAUUUUGUGGGAUCGAGCACACCAAGACCGACCACAUCAAUCUCAUGCAGCCACAAACUUCUUAGGGUCUUUGAUUUUAGCAGCAGGUCACUACCCUGGGGUCUAAUAAUAGGAUUGGAACACCUGGUUCUAAUAAUAGGAUUGGAACAUCUAGUUCACUUGAGGUACUUGGCACUUUCAUGUACACGGCCACCAUUAAAUUUGGAAAGGUUCCACAAACUAGAAUUUCUUGUUGUGGACAAUGAUGUUGAAGUUGAAAUACCUGAGAUCCUCCUUAAUACAGUGAGUUUGAGACACAUGGAGUUCAAGGGCGGUGCACGCUUCAGUGAAUCUAGUUGUCAGCUGGCAACUAACAGUAAGAACUUCCAAAUAAAUAACCUACGAAGUAUUUCUAGACUCUCAAUUUACGUUGAAUUGGAUGAGAAAGUUUUGGGACGUUCGCCCAAUCUUCGUAGACUGAAAGGCAGGGUGGAUAAAGAUUUACUAAAUCCUUCUUUCGACUUCCUUAAUCAGCUCGAAUCACUAAAGCUAUAUGAAAUAUUUCAUUGUUCUUUUAGUUUGCCCUUAAAUUUGAAAAAAUUGACACUAGAUCAUGCAAAGGUGUCUCGAAAACAAAUGGAGAUAAUUGGAAGGUUGCCUUGCCUUGAGGUUCUCAAAUUAGAAUCGGUUGCCUUUGAGGAAGAACAAUGGAACACAAGUGAGGGUGAAUUCCCACAACUCAAAUACUUGAAACUUGCAAAUGUAAACAUUGCAGAAUGGAAUGCCUCAAGUGAUCAUUUCCCGGUACUUCAACGAAUAGUAUUGAAAUCUUGCGGGAAUCUAAAGAAGAUCCCUUUCAGUUUAAAUGAUAUUCCAACGUUACAGGAGAUUUGGUUAUAUGGAUGUCCACCAACUACCAACGAAUCAGCUAAGGAAAUUAAGGAAGAACAAAAAGCGAUGGGCAAUGAAGAGCUUGAAGUCAUGAUCUCUGAAAAACAAUUGGAGGAAAAUGAAUACAACGAACUUCUGAAGGUAAUAAUGAGAGAGAUUCUCUUCUUUAAAUCUCUUUCACGUUCUCAUCUUGGUCCUAGGUAUUUUGUAUUAUGCUAAAAUGAAACAUCAAAAAUAAAUUCUACUGUAAUUUUGGCUUGUAUUGGAAUUAAGCCCCUCUUUGGUUUGGGUUAAAAUAAGAUUUUUAAUAGAUUUUCAUAAAGGUCAAUGAAAAGUGUGAUUGAAAAAUUAAUAAAAUUUAUGAAUUUCAUAAAAUAUGUGGUUGAAAAUGAGCUAGGGGAAAAAAUUAGUUUUAAAAAUUUGGGACCAAAUAGGGGGCUCUAUUUUAUGAGCUUCUUGAUGUUAUUCUAGGAAUAAUGAUAAGUGCGUUUUUAUGCACUUAUGUUUGAAUUGUGGCUUAAAUUUGUUUGAUUCUUGAAUUGCAGGGUAAAUUGAUGGACACGGUGGAACUCAUGAGAAAAAUGAAGCGACAAGAACCAAAAGGAAUCAAAGUGCCAAAACGAAUCAAAGUGAAAGUUCAAGGACCAAAGCGCAAAUAUCCAAAAGAUGAACCGAAGGAGCAAGAAAAGAUUUGAUAGAGCCAAGUACCAAUUGGAGGUUAAUAUUGGUAACCUCUGUCAUGGUGAAUUCAAUUUUAUUACUGUACACUCAUGGUGAUUUAAAUCAAAAGAAAAUAUUUCGUGAACAAAUUACUAAUCCAUAAGGUUCUAUGUUUGGACAUUGAUCUCUAUUAUUUCUGCCUUUCACAUUUUUUACCAUAAAAUCGUUUUUACAUAAAAUCCCAAAGGUCACAAUUUCACUUCUAGUUAGAUUUUGUCCUUGGAAUAAUUUGAUUGUUUAGGCCCAAUUCCUUUGUUAAUUGCAUGGAGGUCCUUUAACUUCCGAACUUCCGAACUUGUUAUCUUGGUCCUUGAUUCCAGAUUCUGUCCAAUGUCCAUCCUUCUUGAUCAAAUAUCGUCCCCUUUUAUUGUUUCCUGUUCAAUAUUGUUUUUUCUUCUAAAAUAAUUAACAUAUACACAAAAUUAAGUAUCUGGCUCAUAAAAGUAUUUCCAAACACCCACUUUUGAUGGCUUAUAUAAGUGUAAAAUCAUACUUAUCAACUGUCAUAGAUAUACAACUUCAAGAGCCGAAUGAUCUUUUUUUGAGGUAAAUAGUGAUUUACUCAUUUGUAUUGCAUAUUUGUGUCCGCACAAUUCACUAAAGGACAAGUGAAUUCAAUUGUGUGAGUAAUAUGCCCAAGAUUUUAAAUCAGUAGAAACCUUGGCAUUGAUGAGCAAAUUUAUAUAUAUAUAUAUAUAUAUAUAUAUAUAUAUAUUAUUGAUAUGCACACUCAUGAGAUUUUAAUAGGGCUAGGAUAGGAGACCUUAAUGAUAUUGCAUAAAAGUUGUUUCUAACGUGAAAAGGUGUAGCAAUUACUUUACAGGCUUGUAACAUUGGUGUUAGUUAUUUCAGGCUUUAGAGAUGAUAAUUCUCGGCGAUGAAGUUUGUGAAGAAUCGAUUGCGUAAUUAGAAAGGAGAUCAAUGGUUGAAUGACACUUUGGUGGCGUAUAUUAGAACGAUGUAUUUGACGAUAUCGACAACGAUGUAAUUAUACGAUAUUUUCAAAAUAUGUAAGCGUGUAGGCUAUAAUUGUAGUAAAAUAUUGACUUAUUUUCAUCAAUACAUUGUUUUAAAAAAGUGUAUCUUAAUUUUCAAUCAUACAAUGAAAAAUGUCUGGCUUUGGAAUGAUAUUAGGCUUGAUAAAAUCAAUUAUCUUCGGUGGCAAAACCAAUUUCUGAAUGUCAUCAUGGCUAAUGGAUUAGUAGGUUUUAUAGAUGUUACAUUUACUUUUCCAUCCAAGUUUGUUGUACAACUGCUCAUUCGGUCGAAAUUUUUAUUUUUUCGAUAUUAUGACUUCAAGCUUUUCAUUUCCCAUCGCAUGUUGUUCUUCCUGAAUUUGCUUAUCAGAUUCUUAAAUUGCUUGCUCAGACCCUCUGCCACAGAACUUUCCUUAUCAUGAAUUUGUUCGUAAGAUUGUAGGUUAAGGAUUUCCUUCAAAUAAAAUAGAAGAAGAAAAAUGAUAGAUUUUCAUGUAUAUCAAAUUGAAACAGCAAUCUCUACAUAUAGAUGUUAGUACGCCUUUCCAAAGCGUUACAUUUGUCAAAUCUAUUCAUGAUUACAAUUAUAUAUUCAGCAAUACUGAAUGAAAAUAUUCAAGCUUCCCUUCUUAAUUUCUGUACAACUUUUUUAAUUUGCUAUAUGCAUAUUUCCAGAAGCAGCUAAGUUGAUAUGAAACAAAUAAAAUUUUAUUAUUCAAAAAUCAAAAAAACAGAAGAACUACAAAGUUAGCAGUCAUUUUCAAGAUUAUCUUCCACUCUAUCCAUCCCCAAAGUUCAAAACAGGAGGGGGUGUUUCUCCUCUUUCAGUAUUAUUAUGUAAUUGACUCUUCAUGUAAAGAGUUGAUUGAACUGAUUGACUCAAACAAAAAAUAUACAUGGAGGCACCAACAACAAAUGACGACGUAAUUAUAGUUGAUGACGCAAAAUAAGGAUAAUUUCAUUGAAAUAAAUGACGAGCAUCAUUUUUUACUGCCAUGUCAUCGAUAUCCAAGUGACAAAACUAGACUAAGAUCAUGUAAGCAUCUGAAUUCUUGAACACACCAUUCUUUGAAAAGAUUUUCGAGAUGUCAAAUUUGAAUAAAGUUCCUUUGUAUUCAUCAAAAUAACUACAGGCUCUAUCACAUUUGUCGACCUUUAGUUCAUUUUCAAAAAGCCCGUGUUGCAAGAUUGAAGUACUCCUGACCUCCUACCUCCUAGCUAGACAGAGGAUCAGGAUUCGUCUUCAUCUUCAUCUUUGCCCUCGUCUUCCACUUCAUCUUCAUCUUCAUCUUCAUCUUCAGAAUCUACGUAAUCGACCUUUGCAAUAGGAGAUGCAAGCCAAAACUUGUUCAACUGUUUCAGAAUCUAAAGUCCUUUGUCAGCGUUAGCGUUGGCCAUUGACCAGAUCACCAUUCUCUUCAGCUUAGACGAUUUUUCUAGUAAAAGCUUAGUCACUGCCAUCUCAGCAACUGUGCCUGAAAUAAAAUGCAGCUUCACUUUUUGAAGUUGAGUUAAAGUUACAUCUGAGUAGCCUUGCACUUACAGAAAAUCUAGAAUAGGACUACAGAAAAUCUAGAAUAGGACUAGCAUCAGCAUUUGCACUCUCACAAAUCUAGACAAUAAGGCAAGAUAUCACCGAGCUUAAACUUUUGUUUUAAAAUAGAGAAUUGAAGAUGUAAGUCGUAAUGGUCAUAUCCAUCACUUACCUUGAAUCUCAGUUCCUCAAGGUCGGGGGAGCUUCUGAUCAAGCACAGAACACAAGAGAGUUCAUCCAAUAAAUUAGAACAUAUAUAAAAUAACUUCAGAACUUUAAGGUGCAUUAAAGUAGCUGAUAGCCUUUCUUGGGCUUGACCUGCAGCCAAAAUCUUCAAAGCGGUGGUGAAAGCAUGAUCUAAUAUAGUUUAGUCGACGAUUUCAAGGGAUUAUAUUUAUAAUAAAAAAUACCUUAAUGAAAGUAUAGCUCAAGUACACUUUCUGAAGGCCAGGCAGAGAAUCAAAAAACUGAAUGAAGUUACAUUGCCCAUCUUCCAAAAUAUUGUCAACUACCCAAUCAUUAUGUAAAGCAACCAAAAUCAUUGCAAGAUGUGGGGAUUUCUUAAAAUAAAACGAUGAUAUAGGGAAACAUGUCAAUUCAAAGUGUUUUAGCAUAGAGUAUCUAUUUCUACGUAGUCAAAUUUGUUUGAAACAUUCAGCAAUAGUUUCCCCAGUACCGGGCAGCUUGAUAUCAAACUUCCUAAAUUCCUAAUACAUCAGCAUCAAUGGUCACGUCAAACAAUUCCAGCCUAAUUGGUCUAUUAAAUCCUUCAAAGCUUGGUGGUGGAGGAUUGAUCAACCAAGACAACGGCUUCAAAUGUUUCAACUGUAUACACAUAAAUGGUGAAGAAGGCGAUGUGUACUGUUCUCCACUCUUUAUUUUAAAGGUGAAUUCUUCAACACUGUUCUUCCAUAAGAUAUGUAUCAAGUAGUCAAUUUCUGAACAAUUUUUAAGUUUCGGAAUAACGAGGCUCAAUUUAGUUAUGGGUCCUGGAUGAAGCAAAAGAUCCUUGUAAAAGAUCAACAAGAACUUCAUUCUAGCUGAUUCUAGGUUUCCCUUAUUAAGGGAUAAAAAUCCAACAUCGAUUAAAUAUCGAAAUAUUGACCAACUUAAAAAAGAUCUUGGGCUACUCCUCUUAAUCAGAUUGACCUUUUAAGAUGGAACCUCAAAUUUUAACAUGGUAUCAACUCAUUAAACUCCAACGAGCAACUCAAUCCCGAUACGACUCUAAAAAUGAGCACACAGAUUUCAAGAUUGGUUUAUUCAAACGAGCCAACAUCUUGUGGGGGCAUGUUAAGGGAUAAAAAUUUCACAUCGACUAAAUACUGAAAUAUUGACCAAUUUAUAAAAAUCUUGUGCUACUCCUCUUAAUAAGAUUGACCUUUUAAGAUGGAACUCUAAAUCUUCACAUGAUAUCAGAGCUCAUUAAGUUUCAACGAGCAAUUCGAUCCAAUUAAAACUCUAAAAAUGAGCACACGAAUUUCAAGAUUGGUCUGCUCAAACGAGCCACCAUUUUGCGGAAACAUAUUAUUAAGGGAUAAAAAUCCAACAUCGAUUAAAUACCAAAAUAUUGACCAACUUAAAAAAGAUUCUGUGCUACUCCUCUUAAUAAGGCGGACCUUUUAAGAUAGAACCCCAAGUUUUAACAUCCCUUAUAUUCUUGCCAUAGGGUCUCAUGAAAUCUGACGCAUAUUUGUGUGGGUCUUGUAAUUGAAUUUCGUCGAGUCCUAAUGCACUUUAACUUGUUGAAGACUUAAAGGUUGAAUCCCAACCUUGAGGGCCUCCAUCGCUCCGCCCCUGAAGCAUCAUGAGGGAGGUAAAUUGUGGGAUGUGCCCCAACAGGACAGGGAACAAGAGCUUGCCCGUACACUGGUGCCCACAAAGUGUUCAAUUCCAUAUCUUAGGAAUCGAACCCUCACAUUGCGACUGCCAGCAAGACCAAGACUAUCUCACUCCUGUCCUUUGCACCACUGGGUUAUGCCCCGGAGGCUAACUUGUUGAAGACUUUCCUAGUGAUGUAGUGGUUUCACGCUUUAAAGUAGGUUUAAUUUUUCUCAAAAGAGAGAUCAUCAAGUAAAUUUGAGAAAUUCGACUUUCAACACAAGUACAACUUUGUUAAAGUGUUAUAAGUUAAUAUUAAAAAAAUGUUUGAAUUGGUAGAUGAUGAGGAUGGCCAACCUAAUUGGGAAGUCUAGGUACACUUAUUCCUACCUCUUAACAUCCUUGUGUAAACAUGGAAAUGUAAACUUAUAAAGUAAAUAACUUUUAGUUUACGAGAAUUAUAAAUAAAAUAAGUUAUUAAUUUUAACAAUAAACAAGCACAUAUUUAAAAGAAAAACAAAUAUAAAUCGUAAUCAAAAGUUUUAUCCACAAAAAAAUCAUAGAGACACUGCAUUUCUUUAACACGCUUCAUACACGGUGAUUUUGAAUGUGUAUAUGGCGAAUACAUCUACACAUUAGAUAUCUGCAUAUAUAUUAUCAUUUAACAUAUAAAUUAAGCUCAUGUUUGGAAAGGUAUAGCUAAAAAAUUGAUAAAAAUUUAAGUUAAAAAGUCAAAGAUUAAUUUUCAUCACACAUUUAUUAGGAUCCAUAAUUUUUAUCUACUUUUCUAUCAAAUUUAUAAAAUUUAUCAAAAUCCAAUUAAAAUCUAAUUUUCAGCUAAACCAAAUGAGGACUAAUUCGUAUGUAGUAACAUGCAAUCCAAUGCGUAUGCUAGAAGUCAACAUAUGAAUUUUCAAAGCUAUUAUACCUUUGAUUUCACCCAAUAAUAGGAAUCUAUUAAAAAUCUUAUUUUAAGCUAAAUCAGACAGGGGCUAAUUCACAUGUUGUAGCAUGCAAUCCCAUGCGAGCUCUAGAAGUCACUAUAUGACAUUUCCAAACUAUACACAUCUGAUUUCACCCAAUACAAGAAGUAACCAGUCCAUGGCUAGUAACAAUUAAGCCCUUGUUUGAGCCUCAUCCCCCCCCCCCCCCCCCCCCCCCCCCCCCCGAGGGGUUUUUAUUUUGGAAUAGUUUUCCUGGAAAAUGCGUGGUUAAAUUUUUUUUAUUUUUAAAAUCAACUUAUGUGUAAAAUUAAUUUAUUGAAGAAUGUGUGGUUGAAAUUGAGUUUUGAAACAAUGAGUCUUUGGUAAAAUGGAGCUCAAACAAGGGCCAAGUGCUUUCACCAUUACAUUGUGUCCACUUACUUUUAUAGUAAUCUAUCCAACAAAGUAAAGCAUUAGCUCAAAAAGACUUAAGACAGCUUGAAAUUGAAGAUGUAGCUAGCAUAAUAUUAUACGCCAUUCAGAAAAAAAGGGUUUCUAGUCUCAAGAAGCCCACAUCACAAGAUUUCAAUUACUCCUGACCUUUUUGAGCUAGUAAGCGAGCCUGCAUUAAGCUCUACCACCAAAGUUCAUUUUUAUCGAAAGCUUUAAAAAAUGACCUUUGCAUUUGGUAAACACGCUUAAAUUUGUUCGUCUCGAUCAAAAUCCCAAAAUUCUUCGUCAGCAAGUUUCUCUAAUGGUCAUUUCAGCCUGAUCACCAUCUUAUCAAGCUUCGGCGAUUUCUCUAAUAAAAGCUUGACGAGUGUCAUCUCAAGAACUGUUGAAGAAAUACAUUCCAGCUUCACUUUUUGAAGCCGAUUAAAGCUACAAAAAAAUGCUUUCCAACAGCCAAAAAAAUUGGUCGCUAAAAUAAAAAUUCUGGUUGGUAAAAAGUAUCAGCAACCAAAAUUGAAUGAUCGCUGCUUGGUCGCUAAUUCACCGUCGGUGAAUGUGUUUAGUGACCAAUGUUGUUUGGUUGCUAAUUAUGUAACGUUCACCAACCAAAAUCAACUUAUGUGUAAAAUUAAUUUAUUGAAGAAUGUGUGGUUGAAAUUGAGUUUUGAAACAAUGAGUCUUUGGUAAAAUGGAGCUCAAACAAGGGCCAAGUGCUUUCACCAUUACAUUGUGUCCACUUACUUUUAUAGUAAUCUAUCCAACAAAGUAAAGCAUUAGCUCAAAAAGACUUAAGACAGCUUGAAAUUGAAGAUGUAGCUAGCAUAAUAUUAUACGCCAUUCAGAAAAAAAGGGUUUCUAGUCUCAAGAAGCCCACAUCACAAGAUUUCAAUUACUCCUGACCUUUUUGAGCUAGUAAGCGAGCCUGCAUUAAGCUCUACCACCAAAGUUCAUUUUUAUCGAAAGCUUUAAAAAAUGACCUUUGCAUUUGGUAAACACGCUUAAAUUUGUUCGUCUCGAUCAAAAUCCCAAAAUUCUUCGUCAGCAAGUUUCUCUAAUGGUCAUUUCAGCCUGAUCACCAUCUUAUCAAGCUUCGGCGAUUUCUCUAAUAAAAGCUUGACGAGUGUCAUCUCAAGAACUGUUGAAGAAAUACAUUCCAGCUUCACUUUUUGAAGCCGAUUAAAGCUACAAAAAAAUGCUUUCCAACAGCCAAAAAAAUUGGUCGCUAAAAUAAAAAUUCUGGUUGGUAAAAAGUAUCAGCAACCAAAAUUGAAUGAUCGCUGCUUGGUCGCUAAUUCACCGUCGGUGAAUGUGUUUAGUGACCAAUGUUGUUUGGUUGCUAAUUAUGUAACGUUCACCAACCAAAUGUUUGGUCUGUAUUUGGUGGCUGAUAAUAGCAAAAAAUUGGUUGGUAUGUACCCUUUUGCAACCAAGAGUUUGGUCAGUAAAGGUGUAGGUCAAUGAAGGUGUAGAAUUUUUAUUUAUUUAUUUUUUACCAAUGGUUUAGAUGGAAUUUCAGCAACCACAAGUUAGGUUGUACCUUAUUAAAAUUUCUAAUUAAUAAAGUUAAUAAAUAAUGCAAGAGAAAAUAAUAAAAAAAUAUACAAUAACUACAAAAAAAUAAUUGUGAUUGCAUACAUAACAAUUACUAAUAGUUAAUACAUAAAUUAAAAUGUCAUUGUAUAUUUAUCCAACAACAUAUCAUAGACCCUAAUAUAGAAUGUGUCAUAUAUCUCACCAAAUCUAUCCUAUACCUUACAAAAGAUGUCUUAUAUUUUUAGUAACAUAAGUGUCCUAGACUUUAUGAACAAAAGGUAUGUGCAGACAAAAAAAUAAAAAAAUAAAAAAAAUCUAGUUAUAGACUUUUGUUCCAUUCAUACUCUAUAUCUUGCAUCAUCAGUAUCACUGGAUCAAUGAAUUUGCAGAAUUUGAUGCAUGCAAAAAGGGACACCAGUCACCUUUUAAAUAGCACCCUUUCCGAAAGAGUAUGCAGGGCAUCCCUUGUUUAUUAGAGACAUUAGGAACAUCAGAAGGUGUAGAGACAGUCUGCAAUGGAAGUAUAGAAGAUGAAGCAGAAGUUCGUUCUUGUGUUCCCAAUAGUCCAUCCAAUGACUGAAGAACAAAAGAAGAUCAAUACCCACUUUGCUAAUAAUAAAAACGAAUAGUUAAGAAUUGUGAUAUCACCGAAAAUAAAAGAAGAUCAGUAUCUAUGUUUGCAUAUGAUAUAAUAAUACACUUUCGGAUGAUAGAAUAAUGCAAUCUAUGUUAAGAAAGAGAAGGAUGAUAGAAUCCAUACUUGGGAUUCGAGCAAUUACCAUCAAUGCAAUUGAACUUAAAUUAAAUGUAUUUCUACUAGGUGUGCAUAAAGUAGACUAAGCCCUACAAUAAUAAAGUUCUUACUUUAUGUAUUCUCAAAAUAUGAUGAAUGCUAUGUUUUCCUUUUGUAAGGAUCCCGUAUAAUUGAACCUUCACAUGGGUGCAAAUAGAAGCUGCAUCUAUAGCUAAAAAGGACUUCAUAUACACUGUGAACUACAGAGCAUAUAAAAAGGAAUAUAGUAGAAGAAAUACCAAGUAUAAUAAAGAUCACAAACAUUACUGAACUAAACUCAGUACAACAAACCUUCCAGUUGAAUCCAAAAGCAGUGCUCUUAUAUUAUCAGUGUCCUCUACGCUUCAUAAUCUUAGAACCAGAUAUUGGGUACCACACACCCACAACCUAUAAGAUAUAAAAAAUUUGUAGGCCAAUUAUAAGGCAAUCCAAAGAUUAUUAUAUCGUAAGUGUGUUGAAACCAUUACAUUUGAACAUUUGAAAAAACAGGAUACUCCUUAGUAGUCUCUCACAAUAAAGCAAUACAUGAAACAGAAGUAAUAGGAUACUCCAAAGAUGACUAGUAAUAUAUUUGGUUGAAAGAGGCUACACCAGAUAGCAACCAUCAUGCCAGUACACAAAUUUCUCUUCCUUGAACAUCAAGUGGAUCUGCAAGCAGGAAUAAGGUUUUACUAGGUUGAAUGGCUUAAAAUGAUCUUUCCAAUCCAUCUAGACGGAAAUACAUGGGCAAAGCCUAAACAACGAUUGGUUCGAUCCAUCUUAUUGAUUGGACUCAUAAGAAUUAAUGAAUCUAUCAAAUAGAUAAAAUGAUCUAAACUAAUCCAGCAACAUUCAUUUCCUUUUCAUUUUAUUGUUUCCUUUUCAUUUUAUUAUCCGUUCUUUGUUAAACCUUCUGUCUACACACAAAAUGAAGUAUUUUACCUUGAUUUACAGCAAUAACUUCCUCAUUGCUUAUAACUUCAAAUGUCUCUGAGUCACGUUUCUUAUAUCACAACCAAUCAAAAGAGGUGCCAGCACAUUCAACAAAAUGCCAAUUAAUUCGUGGAGGAUUGAGAAGGCGAAUGUUAUUUUAUGUUGAUUACAAGAAUACCUCAUUGUUUGACAAUGGUUCCGAUGAAAGAUUCAUGCUUUUAAGCUGGUAGAUGACAAGUUAUUAAAAAGGAGACACUAACAAAGUAUAGUAUUAUAUUUGGUUGAAAUCUAUGUUUUAUCGGAACCAAAAGUACAGUUGGGAGGUAUGCAUUAGUGACAGCAAUGAAUACCGAUAUUUUUUUAACAGUCCCAUAAAAAAACAUUAACCUCGAAAGGAAAUAUAGAGAUACACAAAAGAGUUAAUCGAAGAAGAGAGAAAGUAUACCCAAUCCACAAGCAAUUUGAAUGUAGCAGAGUAGGCAGCAACAUCUUCAGCUAAUGCCCGUCUCUUUAAUGUUCCAUCACAACUCCUAGUGAAGAGAUAAUUAUACGCAUAUAGAACUGCAAAUAAAGGAACUGCCCAACAGAAGAGACGACAAAAAUUAGUACGCAAUCUGCAGUAGCAUAUACUUGUAGGGACAAUUACGAAGAUUCAUAAUUGGUUGAAAGAUUGACGUACUCAAACCUCUCCAGUUUUGGGUAAUUGCUGUGAGAACUGCGAGUAGGGAGAGACGAAAUGUCGAAGGGAGUGUAAUUUGAAAAUUUAAUUUAGCCCCUGUUUGAGCCCAUUUUUACCUCAUUAAAAUGAAAAAUAUGAUCGUUAUCCAUCACAUCAAACCAUCAUUUUUAAAUUUCUAUCUCUGGUGUGGGGCCUAUAACGGCUCUAUUUCUCAUUCUCAUUCUCAUUCUCAUUAUAACGUGGCUCAAACGGGCUCUUAGGGUUUCGAAUGGGAUAGGUCUCAUUUUUCCGAUUUAGGCUAUUCAUUCGGACAUCAACAAUUAUAUUAUAUCUGAAAAUUGUGUUAGAUGUAUAUUAUAUUUUUAUUUAUUACUUAGCCGAUGUUUAUUUUUUAUUAUUUGUCCAUUAAAAUGAAAAAUAUAAUUAUUAUCCAUCACAUCAAGCCACCAUAUUUGACUUUAUUUCUCUUGUGUGAACCCGUAAUGACAAUAUUUUUCAUGCAUAUUCUUACAUUAAUGUGGCUCAAACAGGGCCUUAAAAAUAUUUAUAAAUUAGUAUUAAAAAUGACACUUUUGUUAGGAAAUUAAUAAUUUUAUAGAUAAUUUAUUUUAAUUUUUUUUAUCGAAAGUACUAAUAACUAAAAUAUGGCUGUUGAUUUAAAAGUGCAUCUCCAUUGACCAACAAAAAUAUGUUCAUUGGUCGGUAAAAUGUCUAUACUAAAUUCUCCAAUGAUAAAAAUCAAUGUUGGUUGCUAAAACCCAUUAUUGACCAAUUCUUGAUCGCUAAUUAAUUCUUCAAAAAUAUCACUAGCCAAAUUAAUAAAUAAUCUAGACGACAUCCUUCGGUGACCACAUCAAAUUUGGUUGAUGAUACACAAAAUCAGCAACCAACCCUUGUUUGGUUGAUGAAACAAUCUUCCAUAGACCAAAUAUUGGUCGUUGCAUCAUCAUUAACACCAACCAAACAAAGUGAUUGCUAUAACUUCAAAUAAAAAAUGUCCACUCCUUUUAGGGGUUUUAGCGACCAUUUUGGGCAUGGUUGCUGAAACAUUCCUCCAAGGACUAUAAAUUGGUAGCUAAAUCAUUACAUAUUUCCGACUAUAUCACAAUGGUCGCAAAACCCCAAUAAAAAAGGUGGGAUCUAUUCCCUCCAAGGGCUUCAGUGACCAAUCUAUAUAUGGUUGUUGAAACAAUCUUCCAGCGACCAAAUAUUGGUUGCUAAAAGUGCCUGUCGCGCAAAAUAAUUUUGCUUGCUUUUUCCCACCUAUUUAUUAGCGACUAAAUUGUGUUUGGUGGCUAAUACAUCGAAUCGGCAACCAUUUUUUGGUUGCAAUAGGGCACAAGAAAAAUAAUACAAUUCUAUCCGACCAAAAAUGUUACCAACCAAUAAUUGGUCGGUAAAUGUGGCUUUUAGCGACCAAUUUUAUUUGGUCGCUAAAUCUUUGGUCGGUGGAGCCCUUUUUUGUUGUAGCAUAUAUAUCCGAGUAGUCUUGCAACCUCAAGAAGUCUAAAACAGGAUGUGCUUCAGCAAGUGGGAGUGGCCUAUGCAAAAUCUACACAAUAUGACAAAAAGUCACUUAUCUUAAACUUUUAGGUUAAAUUGGAAAAUAGAGUAUCGUAAACUGUAUAGUCGUGUCCAUUACUUGUCUGGUGUUUCAGUUUCUCAAGAUUCGGGGAGCUUUUGAACAAGCAAAGAACAUAAGAGAGAUCCUCCACUGAGUCUAAACAUACAUAACAUAAAUUUAGAAUUUUAAGCUGGACUUCAGUAGCUGGAAGCCUUGUUUGGAAAUCUUGGAAGCGGAUGGCAAAAGCAUGAUCAAAUAUAGUUAAAUUGAUGAUUUCAAGGAAAUUAUAGUUAUAAUCAGCCAUACCUUCAUCAUCUGAUAGUCCAUGCACAGUUGAUGGAGUGAGGGCAGGGAAUCAAAAAACUCAGUGAAGUUAUAUUUUCUAUGAAUGAUAAAAUUGUAACGGAGAGAGUGGGGAUUUCUUAAAAUAAACAUAUGUGCAGAAUAUUUCAAUUUAACGAGUUUUAGCUUGGGAGCAUUAAUUGUUAAGUGGUGAAAUCCAGCUGGGACAUGCAACUCCAGUUGCUUCUAAUACUUCAGUAUCAAUGAUGACAUCAAGCAAUUCCAGUGUAAUCAGCCUAUUAAAACCUUUGAAGCUUGGUGGAGGAUUGAUCGAACAAAAAGAAAGUUUCAAAUGUUUCAAUAGUGAACAUGUAAAUAGUGAAGAAGGCAAUUUGUACACUUCACCCUUCUUCAUUUUCAAAGUGGAUUCUUCAACAUCUUUCUUCCAUGAGAUAUAUAUCUAGUGGUCAAUUUCAGAACCAACUCUGAGUUUUGGAAUAAUUAGUGAUGUCAAUGGGCUGAGCCCCUUAAUCUCAUGAGCUCGGCUCGCGCUCAUGGCGAGCCGAGCUCGUGGCUCAUUUUCAACGAGCCAAGCUCGACCUCGGCUCACAAGCUCGUGGCUCGUCCGAGCUCGUGGACCUAGCCGAGCUUUGGCUUGCGAGCUCGUCAUCUUUUUCUUUUUUUUUUAAAUAGAGAAAAGCACAAAUAAUGUAAUAAAAAUACUUUUUUAAAAAAUAAAAAAUGUUAAAAAAUACAAAUAAUUUAAUGAAGACAUUUUUUUCUUUUUUUUAUUUAUAUCAUAUUGUAAUAUUUUUUAUAAAGUAUAAAAUAUUUAUAUAAUGAAAACGAAUUGUUUUUUGAAAUACAUUUACAAAAAUACAUUUUUUUCAAUUUCUUUUUAAAGUAAAUAAAAUGUAAACCCUCCUUCUUUAUCCGAGCUUGGGACCAAUUACAUCAAUUUUAAGUAGACGAAGUUAAAAAUUGUACACAAACAACUUGUUAUAACGUGUAUAAUUUUUAAAGAAAAUUAAAUUUAACGAUUAAAAAAUAAGAAAGUUUUGAUUAAUAUAAUUAAAUCAAAUAUCACUUACUUGACGACAUGCAAUUUCAGCACAUUUAUCUUGUAAUCGAAAAUGAGCAUCCUGUCAAUCUUUCACGCACAUUAAUGCUUCCAAAUAUCUUCUUUCAGUCGGCUCCUGAUAUCGAUCAAAAUACAUUUAUCUGCACUAAAAGUAGACUCCGAAACAAUAGUGCUAAUCGGAGGUGUCAACAAAUCUUUCGCAAUUACGGAAACAAUUGGCCAACGUCUUUCAUACUUUCGCCAGAAUUCAAUUACUUCCUCUGAACUUUUUUAAUUGUUCCGUUUGUUGGUAUAUUAUGAUUGAAGUAAUCAAUUAAUUCGGAAGACAUCACACUUUGAGUUGCGACCGAUGUUUGAUGAGAUGCAAAUGUAGAUGACAUGACACUAGAUGAACAUAUUGCAGUUGCAUCAUAUCUAAAUGUAUUAAUGCCUUGAAAUAAAUUCAUUAUUUCGACAUCAUCUUUUUCAAUUUCAGCCGAAUGAGUAGGUGUAGAGAGUACCUGACUAAUAUUCCCACCUAUUCUUUUCGCAUAUAAAUCAUACAUUCCACAUAAUAUUUGCUCUAAAUUAUUAUAAGUGAUAGGUAUAUCAAGCAUUAAGACUUUAUUGAUUUGAUCAAUUAGGUAUUUAGUUCUCGAAAUAUUAUAUCGGGGGUCCAUUGCGCAUGCUAAAGGAAAUAACAUAGGCAGUUUUUCCCAAUAUUUUUCUAAACUUUAAUUCCAUUGCAAUUAUAAUUUCACUAAUAUCAGGAUUAUUUGUAUAUUUAUGGAAUGUUCUUACAACUAUAUAAAGGAGUUCAAGCACCAUAUAGCUUGUGGGAUAAUAAACGCCGGACAAAAUCUUUGUGAUCUCAUAAAAAGAUGUCAAAAAUCGUUUAACUUUCAAAGCCUAAACCCAAUCGGAUUCAUUCAACAUACCAUCGUCAUCACUUCUAACGUGUCUAUUAUUAUAAAAGUCAGUUAUUAAAUGUUCAAAACCUUCAUAUGACUUUAAUAGCAAGUAAGUAGAGUUCCAUCUAUGGCCUACGUCGCUAUCAAAUGUUUUAGCAGCCGUCACCCCUAGUUCGGCAUAAAAAUCUUCAAAUGCUUGUUUUCUACUAGGAGAGAUCGUAAUAUAUACUAAUACAUUCCUAAUCCUUUGAAAUUCAUCAUUUAUAUGUCUUAGGCCAUUUUGCACAAUUAAAUUCAAGAUAUGGCACACACAAUGAAUAUGAAACAAAUGCCCACCAAAAUUAGGUUGAAGUGUCCUACACAAUUUAUCGACGACUACUUUAUUAAUACUAGCAUUAUCAAAAGUAAAAGACCAAAUUUUAGUCUCACAAUUAUAUUCUCUAACAAUACUGGCAAUAUCAUUAUAUAUAUUAUUAGUAUUGUGAGGAAAUUCAAUAAUUCUAAAAGCAAUAAUUUUUUUAUGCAUGCACCAAAGUGGGACUAUAUAGUGUGCGGUUGCGGCUAUAUAUGAUCUUUUAUUAACCUCUUCCAAUAUAUCAGAAGUUAAAGAUGUAACACCCCAUAUUGUUGCAAAUCCAUAAUUAAUUGUUGUUUUGAAUUAUUGAAAAUAUUGCAUUAUAUUGGCACGAAGAGUAUUUCGACUUACCCCAACGUACCUUGUUUGCAGAUAUUCUUUCACGAACGAGACGAAGUGUUGGUUGUUUGCAAUAGCCAAAGGCAACUUAGUGGCGGCAACAAAUUUCACCAUUUCGGUUCGAGUAUUGUCUUCCGAAUAAACCCACGUGGAUAGGGGUGAAGUCGUAGAACCAACGCCUGGAUUGCCAAAUUGCAAUUGUGUUUGACCAGCUGGAAGAAGUCCAUGUUUGGCCACACAUGCUUUGUAGUGGCGGUUGAGAUAGGUGGUACCAAUUCCUUUUUGCCAUACCAAUCUUUGUUGACAGUAUUUACAUACUGCCUUAGAUUCUGCAAGGCCAUCGAUGACUUUUUUCGUUGAAAUCAGCUUAAAAUGAUCCCAAAAUAUUGCUUGUUUUUUGUCCUUUUGCUUUUCCCUUGCAUUUAGAAUGUUUAAUUCAGCAUCUUCGUUCUCAUGUUCCACUUCGGAAACGUUAAUAUAAUCCAACUCAAUUGGAUUGUGGCUUUCCUGAUCGUGAAUGUGAAUAUCUUCAGUAUGAAUACGUCAUUUAGACCGGCAAAUUCAUUUGAAAACUGACUUUACAGCGUCCUAGGCGAUUCGCCAUGUGGUCCACAUUCCGUAUUGAAUAAGCUUUUAACAAAUGAGCGUUGAUCCAUUUUUUUGAUUGUUUAUGAUGAAAUCCAAAUAUAAUAACUAGAACAAUAUAAAUGUAGUGAGAAUUGAGAAUUGGAUGAAUUGAAAUUGUAACUGAAUAAACUGUAAAAAAUGAAUCGAUAUUGUUUAUUUUGUAGCACAAGAGAGUAAAAAUUUGACAAUUGAUAUAAUAAAAGAGAGUUGAGAAAUGAGAGGUAGUGAAUUAGAGGAGACAAUUGAUAUGAGAAAAAAAAAGACGAGUUAAAGGGUAUUUAUAGUAGAAGGGAAAAAAAUUUAAAAAAUUUCAGCGACCAUUUUGGUCACUAUUUUCACGAGCCACAAGCCGAUCGUGGGUGGCUCGUCUUCAAGGUGAGCCAAGCGGGCUCGGCUCGUUUCUCGACGAGGCCAGCUUGGCUCGUGCUUGGGCUUGUGAUUGUACGAGCUCGAGCCGCCCACAAACUCUAUUUCGAUGAGCCAAGCGAUCGAGCUGACGAGCGGGUCGGCCCUUUUGACAUCCUUAGGAGUAAUGAGGCUCGACUUAAUUAUGGAUCCUUGGUGAAGUAAAAGAAUCUGGUAAAGAAUCCCUACAAACUUCAUUCUAGCCAAUUCUUGGUUUCUCUUUUGAUUCUUGCCAUGUUGUAACAUCAAAUAUCAGCUGUGGCAGUUUGACCCAUUUGUUGGGAAUCUACUUAACGUGUGCAGCGAAAAAUUAAAAAAAAAAUUCAAUUCCCACGAGGAAGAGGUUGUACAUUUUCUAGAUCUGCAAACUUCUUUGCCUUAUCUUUGUUCCAGCAACUUGGAUCUAUCUCCCACAGCUGUCUAAUUGUUCAGCCUCCAACGGUCAUCCACAUAGAGAACAAGAUUGUAGGAUUAAGGUUUUUCUUGUGCUAGAAAGAAUAAUGAAAAAUUUCUAAAGUUUUUGAAAACCUUAAUCAUAUUUAUAUAAGCCCGAAUGGGCUGGGCCGGGCCUGACCUAGUCCAAUAUUUAAUUAACCCAUUUAAUUAAAUCCGGUUCAUGAAUUGAUUAAUCUAAUUAAUCAAUUCAGGCCUAUAAAUAAGCAACCUAAUUUAUUAAUUUAUUCAACACUUGUUAAAUUAAUUAAUUGACAAGUCACAAUCUUCUAAUUCUCCUUUUGUGUGCAACCCAUUAGGUUUCCGAUCACGAUACCUAACGAUGUGAAAUAUUAUUUUGAUCUAAUCAAAAUUGAUAAAUUAAAAUAUCCUUUUAAUUUAUCACCAAUUCACACUCGUUGUCCAAGCUUGACAUAUAACAAUGUGUCAGGGCAAUACAUGUGAUGAGAAAUGUUACGUGGUAUGAGAAAACCAAACUCGUUCAUUUACCGUCAAACUAUAAUCCCUUCGUCAAUAUGAUCCGAUCAAUUACGAGAUAUAGAAGUGUGUCAAUCUCGACUAUCAAUCAUAUCUUUUACUCCACUAAUAAGUCAAUAUAAGUCAAAAACUCCUUUUCGACUUAUGAGUACACCUUGGCCAAGAAUUUUAUUAUUGACUUAAUUGAAUGAAAUGCAGAUCAUAAUCUCUUACUAUGUAAGAGUGACGAAUCCUCUAUUAGUCAUUCACAACCUUCACAUGAUUCUUGACAUACUCGAACGAUGUGGUAUUAGUGGCCCUUGGCAGAGCAACAUCCAACACUGUCAAAGCAUUACUAUCCUCAUAUAAGGUACUAUGAUGACAUCAAGUCAAAGAACAAAUUCCACUACCGAACGUUAGAAAUUAACCACUGACAUUCAGAUAGUUAUCCAUAUAGAAUCUCUCGACGGGUCACCAAUGUUUUGUUCUAUAGCAAAAUAUCCACGGGUUCAUUCAAGUGUCACCACACUUUAGCUUGUGAGAUCAGCUACUUACUUCAUAAGUAAGAAAUAUCACACGUGAUGGUCUAUCUGUAAUAACGAUAUAUAUAUCUCGUUAUUACUUACGACCACAGACGAUUUAAGAUUCAAUCACAUAUAACUUGUAUCUCACAAUCACAACUCCUUGUGAUUAACAAAUUACGAAAAUUUGAAUCUGCGGACUCUAUUAUAUAAUUUAAUUGUAUAUUAAUUAAAUAAUAGAUCUAACAUUAAAUUGCAUUAAUUAUGUAUUAAAAGUAUUUAUAUACAAAGUUGAUUGGAACUAGGACAUAACACUUACACCAUUUAUACCUCCAUUGCUUUCACAAGACACAAGUCUUUGCAGCAUCACGUACUAUCAAACACAUUAAUAUGAUCUAUAUGACAUUAUCAGGAAGGUCACUUAUCAUAUCAAUAGGCUCGAAUUGGGCAAUCUUCAUUCUGCUAUGUAAUUGGCUAACAAAAUUCUGUAACAACUCUCAAUUAAUAAAAAUUUCAAAUUGCCUUAAACUAACUUGCAUGCGUGUAGAAGAUAUAAACAAAUUCUGCAUUAAGUUCACAAAAUUUUGUUCGCUUUAUUUUAAUUUUUUACACCGAUAUUUUUAAUAGUUAUCGAAUUGGUCAUAUCACUAAGAAAGUAGAGAUAAUAUUCAUAGUUGAUAUUUACAUUUGCAUAUGCUUAAAAUAUACUUUUGAACAGAAUUUCAAUAAAAAAAAAAAAAAAUUCAUGUAGCCCAUCCAAACUUAUUCACAACAAUCUUUAGUUGUUAUUAUUAUUAUUAUUAUUAUUAUUAUUAUUAUUAUUAUUAUUAUUAUAACUCAGAUAUCCAAACUUCGCCUAAAUAAUCCUGAGCAGUGGCGGCCUUCCCCCCUGGUUUACCACCCGGCUAAAUCCGGAUGCGAACACAACUUAUACACAAUUGGGCUGGACAUUCAGGAUGCUGCUCUUCUCCCUGUAAACUUUCCUUUACGACGUGCGGACAAGACCCCCGAAGAGGUGACAAAGCGCACCAUAACUUUGCCUCCAUAGAACAACUACCUUCCAACAUAAAUGUUGCCUUCUAGCUACCAUGGGGAGUCGAACCUCCGAUAUCCGUGUGGAACCCUCCUGCUUUACCACUACACCAUGCCCGUGAGGGCACAAUCUUUAGUUUGUUGUUAUUCUUAGUGGUGGACAAGGUGGCCAACUGCUCAUUCUAAUAAAUUAUGAGCAAACAAUAAAAUAAGCACCUCAUAUAUAUUGUUUCAAGUUUUAUUGAAUUGUAUGCAUAUUAUAAUUAACUUUAAUUGGCAUGUCAAUCGUCUUGGACUUUCAAGGUAUAAUCCACUACAACAUUUUAUUAGUCACAAUGAAGAUAAAUUAACAAUAAACAUAUAACAUUUCAUUAGGCAGUAUUACAUUUGCAAAAAUUAGGACAAGAGAAAUGUGAUGUUACAUGUUAAAAUUAAUUUUUUAGUCAAUUUUGAUAAAAAUUGAUGUAAUAGGUGAUUAGAAAGUUAUGAAUAUCAUAAAAUACGUGAUCUAAAUGAAUUAUUGAUUUUGACUUUGAUAAAAAUUUAAAUUUAAAUUCCCAUCCCAAUACCUACUUACCCACAUGAAUAAUGAUUGAAAAUUAGAUGAUGUGGCAUGGCUUAUUAAAACAAAAGAAAAAGAAACACUACCUCUACAAGUGUAAAAAAUCGGGAAAUGGGAAUUCAUUCUACCAUUUUAACCCUACUUUGCGUCGACUCGCGCCACUGCCAAACCCACCCAUCGCUAAUUUUCAAUCCAUCUCCGACGCAACUCCGACCACUGGGUAAAUAGAAAGACUACAUUUCACACCAUUUUUCCCAAAUUUUGUGUCGAUCUUACAACCGAAAACCCAUCCAUAUCGAGUCAAAAUCCGGGGAACUGACCGGAGAACUUUGAGCUAUUUGUAAACAAGAGGUUGGACGUGUUCCUUACAUCCCACCACUUUCAUCAGCAAGUCUGAAACUUGCUCUAACCCUAAAUGAUAGAAAAAGGUAUUUUCUCAUCCUUCCUUGAAUGCAUCCAAAUUUGUUUAAAUUUAUUGUUAAGUGGUCACAUGAGUCCAUAUGUUGUCAUCCUUCGCCUAUUACCCACAACAGAUAACUGAGUUCUAUUGACCUGAGUUUGAAAACUUGAACAGAGCAUAACUUAUACGUCACUCAUUUUUGUUCUAUUCUGGAUCCGAAAUUAUGGAAGAUGAUAACCAUGACUUGUUUAUCAAAGUGUGUACAUUUGAAUAUUUAACCUUUGUUGUAUUUGUUUUCAUCAAUGUCUUUCUUGAUUUCUUCAUGUAUGGAACCGAUCUUUUUAUGACAAACAUAUCUCUUCUCAUUGACAGAGGCAUUGAAGCUAAACAGCCAAACUCUGCUAUUGGUAAAUGUGCUGGGGUUAAACUCAUUAAGAAUAACAAGAAGAUUGCUGCUUUUGUCCCCCAUGAUGUUUGUUUAAAUGUGCUUUACUUUGCUAGUGAAAUUAGUACAUCUAGAAAUGUUCAUACUUCUUAAGCAUGGAUGCCUGAUAUGUAAUUUGCUGGAUAUUAUUUCGUAUUUUCUUUUAAUUUACUGUAUCAGAAUUUGUGUUGCUAUGUGUUGAUAUUUAGAUAAUCAUUUUCUGGUCUCUCUCUCUCUCUUGCAGUUGGAACAUUGCAUGCAUUUUUUUUUAUUGAUAAUCAAGUAAUAUAUUUUGGCCAAAUUAAUUGAAAUCCUAUGUAACUUGGGCAUGCUUUUCGGCCGUGUGAUAGUCCUUUCUAAAUGUGGACAAGGCACAAUGUUGGCUUAAUAACUCAGCUUGGUCGAGCUCGCCUGUACUAGUCGUGGAGGAUCGGCACAACUAUUUCUCCAAGGCCACAACUACUAUUUUGUCCUAGGAUAGAAGGCUAAUAUAAGUCUGUUGUCACAAAAAAGUUUGUUGAUUCAGUUUGUAUAUUUGUUUAUCAAAGUGUGUACACACUUUUGAUAUGUUAGUUUUUUACUUUUGAUAAAAACAACUCUUUCUAUUACACAAUAGUUUGGAUUACGACUAUUCAACUUCGUUCAAAUGUACACGUAUUUGCAUUUUAUUGUUUGACUAUUCAAAUGUACACACGUCACAAUAUUAUUUAUUUACGUGCUUUAUGGUAACCAAUUUUUAUUACCAUUAUUGCAUUGACAAAGGUUUUCAACAUACAGUGAAUUGAAGCACACAUUGCAGUGAGUCUAAUGUCUAAACACAAUAAGAAGAUACUUUGGUUCUUUUCAUUCUUUUAACCGUGUUCUAAAGUCUAAAUAUUUGGGCUUGUCUUAACUUAAUGAGGAAACCGGUUCUGUUGCCUUGUCUUCUACACUUAGCAAAAUGCCCAGUUUAGUAUAGGAAACUUUCAUUUUGGGACACAUAACAAAUGUUAUCAACUACACAACACAAGCAACUUUUGUCAAAUAAUUUGGCCGGGAUGUUUGAAAAUAUAAAUGAGAACAAUUACAUGACAAAUUUCUAAAACCAUAACAUAUGUUACAACGAACCUCAUAACAAUCAUAUGUCAAACGAUCGAACAAUUAUGACAAGAUUAACCGUACAUCUAAUAUCCUACAAUGACCAAACCGUUCGUUCAUUAUGAUAAUCCAUAAAGCAAAUUCAAAUAAGCCGUUUAAGUCUAACCCUUUCCUUUCCCUUCCCAUCACACUUUGCGAUUUCCUAUCCUUUAAUAAAACUCAGGCGCAAUGAUAUGUCCACGUCUAGUUUCUCGCUAAUUCGAGCUAGAUUGUCAAAGAGUUUUGGCAACUCUUCAUAUUCCACGUUCGACGCAUGAUUCACCGCUUCAUUAACGGAACUCGACUCCAUGCUUAACACUUCUUCUUUUACCCAGUCAAAAUAUUCACAAUCAUUACUACAAGUGAAGAACAAUCGUCCUUUGUUACUAACAUCCCAUUCGACCUCAAAACAUUUUCGAUAACCGUGUUUACACGAAGGGCAUCGACGUUUUGAUUGGCAUUGUCCAAAGUAGCGAGUGUCAAAUUCCGGAAUUCCUUCCUCUCAUUCUAGUCGAUCCUAGCUAAAAAAACAAAUAAACAAGCAUGAAUGCAAUUGAAUCACAAAUUCCCAUAUCAACUACCUAAACCUCACCAUCCAUGUCAAAAAGCAUUACCCAAUUUGAUUGUCGACAUUAAAGAAUCAAAAGCAAAAGAGUAAAGGCAGAGCUAUAUGACCGACAUUAACCAUUCAAAACCAACAAUUCUGAUUAUCAAACAAGGCAUUAAACUAUUCGAGUCUCUGUCUAAAUGCAAGCCAUAUAAAAUCAUAUUAUCAAUGCCAUAUUAUUGAGUGUGGCCCCUUGAAAAAUCAACAUUGGGGAGAUUUAAUGUAAGAAUAAAAAAAAACCACCAAAAUUAAAGUAUAGAACCAGAAAAGAAGAACUACUUAUACAUUAUCACCGGAGAUGGAGCACAGUGUGGAGGUGAACGGAGUUCAAUGCGUUGUCGGCGAUGGCAAGUGAGUACGAAUGGCGGAUGCUAACUUGGUAUACCCUUCGUUGGUGCCGAUCUUUUGUGAUGGUGAGUGCAUACAUGGAAAAGUGAUUUGGGAGGAAUGAAAGAAAUUUCUUGAUAGUGCUUGGAGGAAAAUGGUUCAGACGGAAUGGGAGAAAUGGGAGAGAUAGUUUGGGGCAAGUUUUGGGGGAAAUUUUUGUAGUGGGUUUCUUUAUCUUUUUUUUUUUUAGUUUGUUUGUCUUUUUAUUUUUUAAUUAAUAGGCCAUGCCGCCUCAUCAAAUUUAAAAUCCUUUACCCAUUCUGUAGUGCCUUUUCUGUACCCAUAGCUAAAUUGUACCUCAUAUGCUUCAUAUGAGAUGUAUAGCACACUUUCCUCAAUAAUUAGUUAAUUACUUUACUAGUCUUCUCUCCUUAAUAAUUACUUUACUAGUCUUCUUUCUUCAUCCGUUUACAUUUCCUUCCAUUUUUUGGUUCAGAGCUACAACCUCCAUUUCCAUGGCUUCUAUGCUAUAAGCUAAUCAAACCUUUCUGCUUUUGCUUCAGUGGUAGCGCUUAUUGUGUUUUAAGCAAAAAUUUAGAGGGUAGACAACAUUCGCUUUCACUAUCUUUCUUUUUCCCUGCAAUUCGACCAUCCUUUCCUUUCCUUGCAAUGGAUAUCUCAUUCACUGAUCCGUUUACUAGUCCUAUAAAUCUCCUUGAAAUUGUGAUCGAGCAUAUAUCACGUGUCUCCUCCUCACAUGUACAUAUAAUUUAUAUGUUAACUGUGCUUCGAGAUUUACUAUACCGUAGAGACUUUGAAGAUAUUGAAGAAUUCAGAAACUUUUUCCAAGUAUUAGUGUCAUUUGGGCAAGAGCUUAUGGUGCUCUUUACAGUCCCUAACCAGCAAAUCUUGUUCAAUUUAACUCCUACUCUCAAUUAUAAUGAAGUUGGUGUGGCCUUCAUCAACUUUUACCUCUUAAUGGUAGAAGUUAUCAUACAUUUUGAGGAAGAGUUGAUUGCUUGUUUAAAGGGUACGUUCCAAAAUCUCCGGACAGAGCUUGGAUUUCUCAUAAAUUUUCUUGGGGAUACAGCAAUGCAUUUGCAGCCCACCUAGACUAUAUUGAUAGAUAUCGAAGAUGUGGUCAAUGAGGUAGGAAUUUUCUUGUAUUCCUUACUUUUGGCCAUUGUUGUAUUUAUUCUGAUCAAUAAAGAAGAAGAAGCCUGUACUAGAAUAAUGGAUUUGGAAUUUGUGGUUGAUGAGGUAAAAAGUCUAAUUCAUUCCAAAUUUUUCCACUUACCAUUGCUAUCCACUAUGGUGAAGUGAAGAAAAAGAAGAAAAAAACAGAAAAAGGCAAUGAUGGAUAUCAAAGCUCUGCUCCCAAAAAUAGGAAGUUUAUUAUAUAUCUUUAUUUUCACCGAGGAUGAUCAAGUUAUGGAGACAGGAAUCUUGGAUCUUGCUCUUUCUGAUUUAUUUACAAACUUUGAGACCUUGAAAGCAAAGAUUAAAGAGCACUGCAUCACGGUCUCAAAGAUGCCAAGUGAUAUCGCUCCAAAGACUAGUGUGCUUUCACUCUUCAUUAUUGAUUCUGUCCUUGAUGAUCUCAUAGAUCUAAUAAAUAACAAGUCUGACUGGAUUGUUGUUGUGAAUGAUCAAAUUGUAACACUCCACGAGGAGCUAAUGUUAUUGGGAUCAUCCAUCACAGAUAUAGCACUGCAGCACGAAGUAGAACAUGAAGAACUUGUGACACGGAGCAAAGACAUAGUAUAUGAAGUUGAAUUUGAAAUCAACUCAUUUCCUCAUGUUUGGUAUCUUAUUCUCCGGCUCCCUCAACUCAUCGACAAGAUUCGGCUUAUUGUGAUGGCUAUCAAAGAAAUGAAGAACAAUAUUGAAGUAGUCAGAAUGUCAAAUGUUUCAAAACAUCCACAUGAACACGUAGAGCCACAGUCAAAAGAACCUUCCAUUUUGGAAGACAUUGUUGUGGGAUUUGACAAUGUAGUAAUUGAAAUCACAGAACAACUUGUUGGAGGAACAGGCCAGCUGCAAAUUAUUUGCAUCUUUGGGAUGUCUGGACUUGGUAAAACGACCUUGGAAAAUAAAUUAUAUAAACAUCUCUCCAUUUUAUACCAUUUUUACAAGCGUGCCUAGUGUGUUGUUUCUCAAAUAUAUACUAAGAAAAAUAUAUUGAUUGAAAUUUUGGGCUCAAUGAAUAACAGUAAGAGGGAUACAUACAUGAAAAAGGAGGAAGAAAUCUUGGUUCAAGAUCUUUACAAAAACUUAAAAAGAAGGCGAUUCCUCAUUGUGAUAGAUGACAUUGGGAUAUCAGUGUGUGGAUUGAUUUGAAAAGUUGUUUUUUAGAUGACGGAAUUGGAAGCAGAAUCUUAUUCGCUACUCGAAAUAAAGAAGUGGGUUUGAAGGCUUCAGCUCGCAAUGUCAUAAAUGAACUUCCUUUUUUGUUAGAAGUUGAGUGUUGGGAAAUAUUACAAGGGAGUGUUCAAAGAUAGAAAAUGUCCUCAAGAAUUGCUAGAUACUGGCAAGCUAAUUGUAAAAAACUAUCAGGGCCUACCACUUGCAGUGGUGGUAAUAGCUGGAGUUCUUGCAAACAUGGAGAAGUGAAAAAAACCUGUGGAAAAAAAUUGCAUGAAAUUUAAGUUCACAUAUAUCCGAAAUACGAGAGAAGUGCAUCCGAACAUUGCAAUUUAGCUACAAUCAUUUACCAAUGCAUUUGAAACCACGUUUUCUUUACUUUGGAGCAUUCAAAGAAGACAUGGAUAUCCCUGCACGGAAGUUGAUAUUUCUAUGGGUUGCAGAAGGAUUUAUAAAGAAGGAAGAACAGAAGAACAUAGAGGAUGUGGCACUAGAAUAACUAAUGAAACUGAUCGAUAGGAGCCUAGUACUUGUUGCUGAAAGAAGUUUUGAUGGAAGAGUCAAAACAUGCAAGAAUCAUGAUCUAUUGCAUGAAAUGUGCUUGAGAAUAGCUGAAGAAAAUAACUUUUUGAAGUUGAUCAAAGUGUAUUUCAAUGUUUUUCUUCUAUUUCCUUUCUUUUCUGUCCAUUUUUUUUAUUUUAGCUUACUAAGAAUGGUUAUUAUAUUUGAUGAUCGUAACAUGAUGUGAUUCUGUUUUUUUUUUUUACCAGUAAUGAUGAUGAUGAACAACGGUUCUUCAGUCAAGUAUCGACGUAUCAACAGUACCAUCAUCUGAGUAUCAACUAUGCAAAAUUUCUUAGUUCACUACCUGUUGGUCUACACGUACGCUCUCUUCUAUUGGAUUUGGAUUUUAUGAGUUCCAUCAAAUUAAUCUCAUGCAGCUACAAAGUUUUUAGGGUCUUUUGUGGAUGGUCACUGUAUGACUUUCUAAUAGGACUUGAAUAUCUGGUUCACUUGAGGUAUUUGGAAAUUUCAUGUACACUGCCACAAAUGGAAAACUUCCACAUAUUAGAAUUUCGUGUUGUGUACAAUGAUGAUGAAAUUGAAUUACCAGAGAUCCUUCUUAAUAUGGUGAGUUUGAGACACAUGGAGUUUAAGGGUGGUGCGUACUUCAUUGAAUCUAGUCGUCAACUUGCAACUAACAAUAAGAGCUUCCAAAUAAAUAACCUACAAAGUAUUUUUGUACUCUCAAUUUAUGAUGAAAUGGAUGAGAGUAUUUUGAGAAGUUCACCCAACCUUUGCAGAGUGGAAGGCAGAGUUGAGAAUUCAUUAAAUUGUUCCUUCAACUUCCUUAAUCAGCUCGAAUCACUGAAGCUAUCAACAGCACAUGGUACGCUUUAUUGGCGUUCCAGUUUGAUUAGUUGGCCCUUAAAUCUAAAAAAAUUAACUCUAGUUGGUGUAUAUCUGUCUCGAAAACAAAUGGAGAUAAUUGGAAGAUUGCGUUGCCUUGAGGUUCUCAAAUUAGUGUCUGCUGCCUUUGAGUGGGAACAAUGGGACACAAGUGAAAGUGAAUUCCCACAACUUAAAUACUUGAAACUUUGUGCCGUAAAAAUUGCAGAAUGGAAUGCCUCAAGUGAUAAUUUCCCAAGGCUUCAACGAAUAGUAUUGGAACAUUGCAAGAAUCUAAAGAUGAUCCCUUCCAAUUUAGGUGAUAUUCCAACGUUACAGAAGAUUGAGUUAUUUAUGUGUGGUCAAACUGCCAACGAAUCAGCAAAGAAAAUUGAGGAAGAGCAAAAGGAGAUGGGGAAUGAAAAUUUUGAAGUCACAAUCUGUAGCACAUUUGGUGAUAUUGAAGCCAUUCUUUCACACAUUUCCCCGCAGAUGAUGAAGGAAUUCAACAGCAGGGAAAUUCAGAAGGUAAUAAUGAAAGAUAAUUUCUCUUUUAAUUCUCUUUCACGUUCUCAUCUUGGUCCUGUUAUACUAAAAUGAUGUUGGAUAUUGGUUAAAUAAAUUGAGAAUUGAAAAUCGAUUAAAGUUCGUAUCGAAUUCGGCCAAAUACUCAAAAGCUCGACUCAAUCCGUUUAGGCAAAAUUGUUUGCCACUUCGCCGCUUCGGGGCGCACAAACGGGGAUCGACCUGCCCGGUCAGGUCGCGAGGGUCGAGGGGGCAGCGCCUCUCGUGGGGGUCGGGGGCAACGCCCCCGAAAGAGAAUUUUGAUUUCUCUGCAUGUAUUGAAGGGUAUAUUUGGCAUUUCGAAAACCAAUAUCGGAUGAAUGAGAAAUUACGAAAAAGACCUCAACCAUUAGUCAAUAGACACCUUUUCAAAAGGUGCAUUGUUUGGAAAGGGUGCAUGGUUUGGCCUCAACCAUUUCGUCCACACCCUUUCUUGGUCUAUAAAUAGGACCCUUUGGGUGUCCUAUUCCACACAAUUUGAUAUGCAAAAACGUCUCUCAUCCUCUCUUCUAUCCAAAAUCAAAAUCAUUUUAUUUAUUUUGAUUUUCUUUCAUUUCAUCUGUGGAGUACAUAAGUCUACAUUUGGUUCGUUGUACUUGUGUUUUGGAGUGCUACAAACACAAGUGUAGCCGUUGUAUCUUGGGAGUCGAUUGCCGAAAUCCGUAGGCACCGUUGCGGGGCAAAUUCGACUUAAGGACAAAGAGUCCAACUCUUGCCUCGGCUUUGUCACCAUCAUUAUACUUAUUUCGGCGUCACUAUUCACAAAAUUCUUCCAACAAAUGAAACAUCAAAUAAAAUUUUUGGCUUAUAUUGAAAUUAACCCCUGUUUAGUUCAAAUUAAAAUCAGAUUUUUAGUAGAUUUUCAUAAAGGUUGAUAAAAUGUGUGAUUGAAAAGUUAAUAAAAGUUACAAAUCUCAUAAAAUGUGUGUUGAAAAUGAGUUUGGGGGGAAAAAUGAGUUACAAAAAAUUGGGACCAAACAGGAGCUAAGGUUGGCUCUAUUUUAUGAGCCUCUUGAUGUUAUUUUAGGAAUUACUAAACCACAAGGUUCUAUGUUUUGGCAUUGCUUCUCUAUUAUUUCAGCUUUUCAUAUUUUUUACUAUAAAAUCAUGUUGACAUAAAAUCACAACGAUCACAUUUUCACUUCUAGCUCAUUUUAGUCCUCAAAAUAAUUUCAUUGUUUAGCUCAAGUCCUCCAUUAAUUGCAUGGGCAGUCCUUCAAUGCCCAAACUUGAUAUCUUUGUCCUAGAUUCUAGAUUCCAUCCAAUUUCCAUCCUUCUUGAUCAAAUAUCGUCCCUUUUUAUUCUUUCUUGUUCAAGACUAGUUUUUCUCUUAAAAUAAUCAAUAAAAACACAAAAUUAAAUAUCUGGCUCAUAAAAUUACCCCCAAACACCCUCUUUUGGUGGCUUGGAUAAGUCUAAAAUCACACUUACCAGCUGUCAUAGAUAUGCAACUUCAAGAGUGGAAUGAUAUUUCUUCGAGGUAAAUAGCAACUUACUCAAUUGUGUUAUAUGUUUAUGUCCGUAUAAUUCAUCUUCUACUUUGAAUGAGGACAAGUUAAUUCAAUUGUGUGAGUAAUAUUCUAAAGAUUUUAGGGAGAAUUACAGUUGGGGUCUCAAACUUUUCAAAUUAUUGUAGAUCACACCCAAACCUUGUGUUUUUAUUGUAGCUAAAGGACAUGUGGACAGAAUUCAUCAAUUUAAUCAUCAGUUUACCAAAAAUACUACCUAACACAAUUUUUUUAUUAUAUUUUUUAUGUAAUUAUUUAAAUUAUUUUAUAUGGGAUAACAUGGUUAGAUCGUUGACUUUUGGUCAACUAAUGGUCAAAUGAAUGGAUUCCAUCCACAUGUCGGCUUGGGUAUAGUUUGCAACAAUAUAAAAGGUUUGGGACCCCAGUUGCAAUUUCUCCAAGAUUUUAAACAAGUAGAGAUCUUGGCACUUGAUGAGUAAAUUUACACAUAUUAUUGAUAUACACACAAGAUUUUAAAGGGUUAGAGACGUUAGUGAUCUUGCAGAAAAGUUGACUGUGAUAAAAAAAAAUGUGUACCCAUUAGUUUACAUGUUUGUAACAUUGGCGCUAAUUUUUUCAGAUGUCCAUUCUCGAUGAUUGAGAUUUUCCAGAAUUGAUUGCGUAAUUGGAAGGGAGAUCAAUGGUUGAGUGACACAUUGGUGGCAUAUAUUGAGAGCGAUGUAUUUGACAAUAUUGAUAAUGAUGUAAUUAUAUGAUGUUUCCAAAGUAUUAAAAUUUGUAUAAUGCAGUUAUAGUAAUGUAUUGACUUAUUUUCAUAUAUAUAUAUAUAUAUAUUUUUUUUUUUUUAAAGAAAAUUGUACCUUAAUUUUUUAUCCUACAAUGAAAAUUGUGUGGCUCCACCAAUGAUAAUAGGCUUGAUAAAAACAAUUAUCUUUGGUGGAAAAUCAACUUCUGAAUGUCGUCAUGGCUAGUGGAUUAGAGGGUUUUAUUGAUGGCACAUAUACUUUUCCAUCAAAGAUUGUUGAAGAAAUGCUCAUCCUAAACCCCCACAGUAAGCAGCAUGGCAGAGGUUUAAUAGGCUUGUAAUGAGUUUGAUUUACAACUCACUAAGGAAUUAUGUCUCGAAUAGUGAGUGGAUUUGAUUACUGCUGAUGAUAUCUGGACUUCGGGUCGAAAUUUUUAUUAACUUUUCAGAAUUAUGACUUCAAGGUCUUAAUUUCCAAUCUCUUGUUGUUCUUAGUUCUUACAGAAUUUGCUUCACAGAUUCUUAGAGUGCUUGCUCAGACCCUCUGCCAGAGAACUUUCCCGAUCAAUAAUUUGGUCAGGAGUUCUUGUAUGUGCACCCACCACCACCAUGUAGUCGGCCAUUUCGACCGGCACCAAAGAAGCAUAUGAAUCAACUCAAACUCCUUUACCGAAGCAGAGCUCUGUAUCGAGAUUUUCGCUGUGGUUUCUCUGUUUUACUAGACUCCAAAAUCCAGCAUCCUUCCAUAUUUUCCUCGCAUCUGGGAACCAAAAUAAAGCAUGUGCCACAAUGAAAUCUCUAAGUGAUUAACAUAGGAGGAGCCAUUGUAAUUCUUCUUUAAAUAAAGUCAUAAGAUUGUUGGUUAAGGGAUUCCUUCAAAUAUAAUAGAAGAAGAGAGAUGGUAGAUUUUCAUGUAUAUCAAAUCGAAACAGCAAUCUCUCCACAUAUGGAUGUUAGUAGGCCUUUCAUGGGCGGACCCAAGAAGGGUCCCCUAGGGUUACUUGAUCCUCCAGUUUUUUCAACACUUUUUUUUUUUUUUUUUUGUCUUAGUUUUCGGGCUCACUAUGAAAUUUCAAAUGAAAUUGAAAUACUAUAUUUUUAAUAUCAUUUUGAAGUACUCACAGUCUAGUAUUUUCAUAUCGUUAAUGUUGUGUGAAAUAACCAAUCGUAGCAAAUGUUAUGACGCGUCAAAAUAGACAAUUUCAAAUUAAUAUUUCGAGAAUUUCGAUAACGAACUAACUUUAAAAAUUUUUCGACAACUAUACACUAGUCAUAUACAUAAAUCUUCUAUAUCCUCUUGAAGCUCAUUUCUAAAACUAUAUCAUAAACACAUUGAAUAAUCUAAAUAAAUAUCGAAAAUAGUUAAACGUACGUCAAACGUGUAUGCUAAAAAGAAACGUAUAACUUGUCUUUUUUGAAAAAAAAAUCAAUUAUUUUAUUAAUGCUUAUUAUUUUUGUGCGAAAAAUUUCUCAAUAUAAUUUACAUCAUUUAAUUAGGAAAUUUUAUAUGUGGUAUGAAGUCAAAUUUUUUUUUUUUUGACGUAAAAAUUCUUUAAAAAUUUUUUAUUACUUCAUAGGGGUUAAAAUUAUUAUACUACGUUUUCUUGGUUAUUUUUAUUUCUGAAAAAAAAUUUACAUGUAAAAAAAUUCAAUCAUUUUUAGGAAUUUUUUUAUAAUUGUUAUCUUUUCUUCUCGAUCAAUUUUUUUUUUCAAAUGACUCAAAAAUUAUAUUAGGAAAUUUAUUAGAUUAAUUUUUAAAAAAUUAAUGAUUGAGAGAAAAAAGUAACAAUAAUAAUAAAAAAUCCUAAAAAUGAUAAAAAAAAUUUAUAUAUAUAUAAAAAAAAAUUAGAUAUAAAAAUAAUCAAGAUGAAAAAGUAGUAUAACAAUUUAUAACCAAUAUAAAGUAAUAAAAAAAAUUCGUCUUUUUUUUUUUUUAAUUUGAUUGUGACCCCCUAAUAUAAAAUGUCUACGUCCACCUCUGACGCCUUUCCAAAGCGUUGCAAAUCUAUUCAUGAUUACAAUCAUAUAAUGGUGGCUGCUGGGUUUAUAUAGUACACACAAAAGACAAUGGAAAAGGGAGGCUGGAAGAGAAGAAAAUAAAUGGCGGCUGCUAUAGAAGAAAGUUGUGGUUGCCAGAGAAAGUUUUUCUUUCAACUCAACUUUGGGUGUGGAAUUCACGCAUGCUUUUAUUUUUAUUUUUAUUUUGCUUCGCUACAUAGUACAAAUUGUGAAUUGCUCUAAAGUAUAUUUUGGUAAUUCUAAAGAUGUAGUAUUCAAAGUAGGUAUCUCACAAAUUUCAUCAAAGUGAUUGUUUGUGAUGAGAUUAUUUCUUGUCCUUGGAGAUUGAUUAUUGUGGUAUUCUCCAAUUUGUUGACAAUUCAAAUUUUUGCUUAAAUUUGAAUAUUGUAAUAUAUAUUUAUCAAUUUGGAUUUGGCUUGAGUUAUCCCAUGAUUUUUUCCUGUACACUGGAGGGUUUUUCCAUGUAAAAAUUUGGUGUUGCGUUCUCUAGUUUUUUGCUUUGAUAAUUUACUUUCAUAUUUAAUCAUUGUAUUUAAUUGCUUGGAUUGUUGAAUUUAUUCUUGAAAUAUGCGAAAUUGCUUGGAUUGUUGAAUUUAUUCUUGCAAUAUGUGAAAUUGCCCAACACCUUGGUCCUUCUCAGGUCGCUGCAUCAAUCAUCACUAUACGGAAUUUUUUAGUAAUUGCUACUUGCUAAGUGAUAGGAUAAUUGGUAAUCUGUGAGUUUUUAAUUCCUUUGUUAGCUAAGCAUCAUUCCUAAAUUCAUGAACAUGCCUUGUAGCAUUUUUCUGUGUAUAUAUUCAACAAGACGGGAUGAAAAGAUUCAAGCUUCCCUUCUCAAUUUCUGUUCGACUUUUUAAUUUGCUAUAUGCAUAUUUCCAGAAGCCACUAAGUUAAUACGAAACAAAUAGAAAAAGGAAAUUUUUCUAUUACUAAACGUUGCAAGCUAUACAAUGGACAUAACAUUGCAAGUCAUGCAUUUGGAUGUUUUUAAAGACCAAAACAAACUGCUCCAUUGGAUGAGUAUCACAAGUUAAAAAUUCUACAAUGAAUUUUUGAUGUGGUGCAAAAGGAAUUGGACUUUAUGGAAAAGUGGGAUCGACGCAAGCAAAAAUAGAUAACUUCUCAAUUUUUGGAGAAAUGUUGGGGUUGUCCAUUUUUGGCUAAAUUUUAGUCAAAUUUGAUCGAAAACAUGUCAAUGAACAAAACUCAGCAGUUUUCCAUCUGAUGUAGGCCCAAUUUCGGCCCAAUUCUUUUGUUUAAGCUUUUUUCCUUUUUUGGUAAAUUUUGUUUUGGUUAUAUUUUUUUCAAUUUAAGUCAGAUUUGAAUUCCAUUUGUUGGAGGAUAAUCUUUAUGAUUAAAACUUUCAAUUUUAGUCAUUAUCUCGAUUUUUUCAAGUUUUGAAAAAAAAAUUAUUAUUAUUUUUUAUUUUUUCGAAUUUUCCUAGGGUUUUUCCUAUAUAAAAGCAUUGUAAGCCCUUUAUGGUCACGCUUUUGAGAGAAAUAGAUUUUUUUCAUGAGUUUUUUUCAUCUUGUUAGAUCUAUUCAUCUUUUCUAUAAUUUUCCGCUACGUCAAUUUUGGAAACAAAUCAACUUAUUCCAAAAUGACUAGGCCAAAACAUCGAAAUAAGUUAAAUCAUAGUCUACGUUAUUUCUUUCACGACGUAUAUCAUAUACUUCAAAUGAGCCAUUAUAUGUAUUUUAUGUUGGCGAAACUAUGAAACUGUGUAGAGUAAAUUUACAACAAUUACUAUUGUUAGGAAAAGUAUUUUAGUGCCACUGUUUCAGAAGUUACAUGACAUAUUGGCCUCUUAUUUGGUGAAACAAGAUUUUUGGAAUUGUAUGUGGAUCACAUUAUAGGGUUGCAACCAAUUGAUCUUGCUUUAUUUGACUCUUGCACUACAAUGGAAUUCAUUGAUUCUAUAUGUAGAAUUUCUAUUCAAAACUGGCUCAAUUCGGCUCGAUUCUGAAGAAAACCAGACCAAACAAGGUCGCUUCAUAGUUAACCUACAUUCAUUUUUUUCAAAACCUCAUUCAUUUUUUUCUGUAUUUUUUCUCUGCUCAUGCAAUUUGGAUCAAACAAAAUAUUUGAGAUAAUCUUUUCAAGAAAAAUAAUAAAACACAGCAUUCACAAAUAUGUAACUAAUGCCAAGAUUUCUAUCUGUGAAAGUUGUGACAGUAGGUAAUUCAAAAAUUAUUAUGAAGAUAGUGGAACUUAUUGAUGGAUACAGAUUUGUAUUAUUACCUCCGUCGUUUGUUGACUACAAGUUCACCAAGUUGCAACAUCAAAGGUAAUGCUAUCAACAAUGAGCAAUAAUGCUUACCAAAACAACAUCAAAUUUAUUUGUUAUCUUGCUCAAUCAUGCGCAUUAAUCUAGCAUAUGAAACAUACAAUAUAUUUCCCUAUGCAUAUAAACUGUCUCGAAAUUUUACUCUAAUUUACGAUUUAUAAUCAACUUUUGUGGAAUUGGCACUCUAUUAUUAAAAUUCAAUUGUGUGUAUCAUUUUUAUACACAUAUCUUGAGGUUUGUGAGAACCUAAAAUAUUUUGAGAAAAUGCUUCUUUGUGAUAAAAUGGUUAUGACAUGGGAGAAAAAAGAGGAGUGCGUCUGUGUAGGGGUGGCGGUGGUCAUGGUUGGCAACUAGGGGCGGAAUUAGAGGUGGGCUAGGCUGGGCUAUACAUUUAUUUUCUUAUAAAAAUAUAUUUUAUGACUAAAAAAAAUUAUGUGAAAUUUUUUUCUUUUACAGUUAGCCCAACAUAAAAGAUAUUUUAGUUCAGUCAUGGCUCCGUCUUUUAACAAUGACGACGUUGAUUAGGAAGGAUUUGUUAGGUGGAGUUUGGGGUGAAAUGUAGAAGAUAUUGAAUUUAUUUUUCUCUUUUUCUUUCUUUUUCAUUUUGGCUAUUUAGUUAUUUUUUAAGUGGUUUAAGUGUGUGGACUAUUUUUGUCCUUCCUUAAAAGUCAUGUGCAAGUCUGCAUACUUCACUUAACGGCUGCUUUGGAUGAAAGUCGUUUAGAGGGGAAUUAGUCCUAUUUGGUAUUGAUUAAAAUCAAAAUUUUAAUUUAAGACAAUGUCAACAAACAAUUUUAAUCGCUUAUCUCAUUGAUUUCACAGCUUUUCAAUCAUUUAUUUCAUCAAUUUUUAUUAAAAUAUUCUAAAAAUCUUAUUUUAAUUCUCAUCAAAUAGAUGCUUAAGUUUGCUAAUUUUUCAAAGAUCAAGGGCACAAACCGAACAAAACAUGGUUUGGGAGUAGGUUUGCUACUUUGCUUAAAAGUUGGGACUAAAAUUAGUUUCAUGUGGUGCGUGUUGGGAAAGUGAUUAGAUAAAUAUUUGAUAAUUAUAGUGGUGAUAUCUAUAUAAUAUAUGGACAAUAAAUGAACGAUGCAUAUGAAUAUUAUGACAUACAAAAAUAAAAACAUAAAUUUAAUCCACUUAAAUUAUAAGAGCACUGCUACAUUAACAGGGUCACAGACACCUUGUCAAUAGGAGGACAUGUAUCCCCUUGAAAAAACAAGGCCCAUGUGGCCUUGUUUGAGAAGAGUUAUACAAGUUAUAAUUCAAUCACUUGUGCAAAAUUUGUAAAAAGUGACAUUUUUCAAAAUGUGCUUAUCACAUCAGAUGGAAAUUCAUUUCCAACUUUGAUCAUUCAUUAUUUGGCGCACAAUACCAUGGAACUCCGAAGUCCAAAGUAGUCAACGAAGUUGGAAAUUAUCAUAAAUGAAUAUCAAUUCUUUCAACAGUGCAUUUCAAAUUUUCAGUAAAGCCUAAAGUAGUGAUUUGAAGGUUUUUGUAAUUUACUAAUAAAUUAGGAGUAAAAGAACAAUGGAUCUUGAUAAAAUGGUUAUGACAUGGGAGAGAAAAGAGGAGUGCGUCUGUGUAGGGGUGGUGGUGGUCAUCUGAUACUUUAGGUUUGUGACAACCUAAAGUAUUUUGACAAAUGAUGAAGCGUUUUCUUACCAUGGGCUCGUAAUGUGCAAUUCAAGUCAUUUUUCCUCUAUAUAAAAUUAAAAACAAAUACCAAAUUUGCAAAAACCAAAGUUUAAAUUCAUCACUUUUAAUAUAGUGUUACAUAGUCUAAAAUCAAACACACACCUAUAUUUAACAUAGAAGAUUUCGAAGAAUAAAAGUCACAUGAUCGAGUUAGGAACUUUUCAAUGGUAAGUUAGAAUAAAAGAAAAGAAAAAAUAGUAAAACAGUGUAGGAAUUUGUCAAGAAAAUGUCUUUCCAAAUGAAUCUUUUGGAGCUCUACAUUUUUUAGAUAUUUCAUUUUAAACUAAUUUCACUAAGAUUGAUCAAUUUAAUCCCAAAUAAUUUAAAAUAUUACAAUAUUCUAACAUAACUCUGCCAAACACAAAACAAUAUAGAUAUAUAAAGAUUUUUUGUCACGUACUCAUAUUGUAGCAUUCAAGUUAUUUCGCAACAUCCUUUAAAGAAAGGAGAAUUUUUUUUUUUUUUUUGAAGUGAUUGUGCUAAAUAAUAAGAAACAAUAAGUGGAUAUUAGAUAUUAAAUUGUAACGGACAUUAAAAUUGAUAAUAUUUUAAAGGAUGAAAGUUAAAUAAUGCAGGUAAAAGAUCACUAAGCAAUGGGGGUGAUAGAAAUAAGAAACAGAAAUUUCUAUUAAGCAACAGAAAUAAGCACCAUUGCAGUUUGAAAUCUAUCUUAAUUUGAACUAUAUCAAUAUGAUACUAAACUAACAAGGUAGUUGAUUAGUUUCUUAAGGGAAAUUGGCACAAAACGUCCCUACCUUUCAAGUGUAUUGUGGAAAACAUCCCUACCUUUCAUUUUUUGGCACAAAACGUCCCUACCUUCCACUUUCUUGGAGCUGAACGUCUUUUUCAUCAAUUUUUGACGAUUUUACCCUCCAUUCAAAUAAAACAAAAAGAAAAGAAAGGAAAAAAAACAAAAAACUAAUUGCAACCACAUUCCCAAAUUUUCUAAAAAUUGCAAAUGGUAACUUGAUAAUUACCGUAUUAAAUAAAUUGAAAAAAAAUAAAAAACUUCAGAAAAAAAUUUAAAAAAUGGGUUGUCUUCUUCACCCUACCCUACUAUUCAUCUUCUUCUUUGUAAGAAAAAAAAUUAAGAAAGAGAGACAGAGAGAGACUUUCCCCCAAAAUAAUUAUUUUGGUGCACAACAAAUCCUCCAAAUCCGAAGCCCCAUUACAUCUCUCUGCACUUCCCCUCUUUGUACAAGCUCCUUCAUUUUCAUAUCCAGUAUCAAACCCCAUUGUGCAGAGAGAUGUAAUGGGGCUUCGAAUUUGAAGGAUUUGCUGUGCAGAGAUAUUUUGUAUGGUGGGGUGGGGUGAAUAGUAGUGUAGGGUGAAGAAGACAACCCAUUUUUUUAAAUUUUUUUCUUAAUUUUUUGAUUUUUUUUUCAAUUUAUUUAAUAUGGUAAUUAUCAAGUUACCAUAUGCAAUUUUUAGAAAUUUUGGGAAUGUGGUUGUAAUUAGUUUUUUGUUUUUUUUCCUUUCUUUUCUUUUUGUUUUAUUUGAAUGGAGGGUAAAAUCGUCAAAAAAUGAUGAAAAGGACGUUCAGCGCCAAGAAAGUGGAAGGUAGAGACGUUUUGUGCCAAAAAAUGAAAGGUAGGGAUGUUUUUCACAAUACACUUAAAAGGUAGGAACGUUUUGUGCUAAUUACCCUUUUCUUAAUUAUUACAUAUCAUUAGCAUUAAGCUAGCGGUAAUUAAACAACAGUAUAGCAUUUUUUAUGCCCCGAAAUAUUAAGAUUCGGCACAUGUAAUUGCUUGAUUAAAAUAUAUAUGAAUGAAAAUAAUUCGAUAAAUAAGCUAAAAUUUAAUGGACAAGGUCUUGAAAUCGAAAAUCGAGCUAAUCUUUAUCCAAAAUCAAAAAUAAACUUAAAAGAAUGAAAGAAAGAAGACUUAUUCACGAAAAUUAAAAUAUUACCGGGGUUUGGAUUGAAAUCGACGAUCAGAAAUUAAUUUGACUAGUUAGUGAUUUUUUUUUUUUUUUCGAUUAUAAAUUUAUAUGGAAGAAAGAAACUAAAAUUUGUCUUUUUUGAAUUUAAAAAAUGGUUGGAACUAAUAUAUCAAUGUAAAAUACGUUAUCCACUAGCUUUUAUAAAUAAACGACGUCAAAAUAAGAACUCAUGAUCUUUACUUACUUCGAAAUCGUGUUGAACGAAAAACGUAAUAUAUAUUAAUGACCUGUCUCACAUGCCUUUUGUUUUUGAACCCUAUAGAAUGAUUUUUGAAGUUACCUUAAUUAUUAUUUGAAAAUUAAUCUUUAAAAGAGUUUCCUAAUUUGAAUGUACUUUUGGAGUAAGUCAUAUUAGACCAAAAUUCUCUAAAAAUUAUUAAAAACCAUACCUUCAUCAUCCGAUAGUCUAUGCACAGUUGCUGAAGUGCGGGCAGGGAAUCAAAGAACUCAAUGAAGUUAUAUUUUCUAUGAAUGAUAGAAUUGUAACACAGAGUAGUUAAGGAUUUCUUAAAAUAAACAUAUGCACGGAAACAUUUCAAUUUAACGAGUUUUAGCUUAGGAGCAUCAAUUGUUAAGUGGUGAAAUCCACUCGGACAUGCAACGCCAGUUGCUCCAGUUCUGGUGAGCUAGAUAUCAAACUUCCUAAUACAUCAGUAUCAAUGAUGACAUCAAGCAAUUCCAGUGUAAUCAGCCUAUUUAAACCUUUGAAGCUUGGCAGAGGACUGAUCGAACAAGUAGAAAGUUUCAAAUGUUUCAAUAGUGAACACAUAAACAGUUAAGAAGGCAAUUUGUACGCUUCAUACUUGUUCAUUUUCAAAGUGAAUUCUUCAAUACCUUUCUUCCAUAAGAUAUAUAUCAAAUGGUCAAUUUCAGAACCACCUGUGAGUUUUGGAAUAAUGAGGCUCGACUUAGUUAGGAUCCUUGGUGAAGUCAAAGAAUCUGGUAAAGGAUCCCUGCAAACUUCAUUCUAGCCAAUUCUUGGUUUCUCUCUGAUUCUUGCCAUAACGUAUCAUCAAAUAUCAGCUGUGGCAGUUUGACCCAUUUAUACCUCCAUUGCUUUGACAAGACACAUUAAUAUGAUCGCUAUGACAUUAUCAGGAAGAUCACUUAUCAUAUCAACAGGUUGGAAUUGGUCAAUCUUCAUUCUGCUAUGUAAUUGGCGAACAAAAUUCUGUAAUAACUCACAAUUAAUGAAAAUAUCAAAUUGCCUUAACUAACUUGCAUGCAUGCAGAAGAUAUUAACAAAUUCAACAUGAAGUUUACACAAUUUUGUUCGCUUUAUUUUAGUUUUUUACACCAAUAUUUUAAUAGUUAAAUUGGUCAUAUGACUAAGAAAUUAGAGAUAAUAUUCACAGUUGAUAUUUACAUUUGCUUAUGCUUGAAAUAUAAUUUCGAAAUUGCAAUAGCAAAAAAUUCAAGUGCUUAUUCACACCAAUCUUUAGUUUGUUGUUAUUCUUAGUGGUGGACAAGGGUGGCCAACUGCUUAAGUGCAUUCUUAGUAGUGGACAAGGGUGGCCAACUGCUCAUUCUAAUAAAGUAUGAACAAACAAUAAAAUAAGCACCUCAUAUAGAUUAUUUCAAGUUUUAUUGAAUUGUAUGCAUAUUAUAAUUAACUUUAAUUGGCCUGUCAAUGGCCUUGGACUUUCAAGGUAUAAUCCACUACAAUAUCUUAUUAAUCACAAUGAUUAUAAUUAACAAUAAGCAUUAAACAUAUCAUUAGGCAAUAUUAUAUUUUCAAAAAUUAGGAAAAGAGAAAUGUGAUGUUACAUGUUAAAAUUAAUUUUUUUUUUUUAAAGUUAAUUUUGAUAAAAAUUGAUGCAAUAUGUGCUUAGAAAGUUAUGAAUAUUAUAAAAUACGUGAACUAAAUGAAUUAUUGAUUUUCACUUUGAUAAAAAUCUAAAUUUUAAUUCUCAUCCAACAUACCUACUUACCCACAUAUGCUUCAUAUGAGCUGUGCAACACACUCUCCUUAAUAAUUAGUUAAUUACUAUUACAAACUGAAUCCAAGAAAACAUAGAUGAAAUCAUAAAUUCGCAGAUUACACCAUAAAUCCUAAAUCACAACAUCAAGGCUUAGAUCUUUCAAUCGAAGGCUCAGACCACACCCAUUUACCAUCACAGAGGCACCGGGACUCAAAAACGAACCCUCACAACCCAACACACCAAGGUCACUUCACUGGACUCAAGAAAUCAAACUGCCUACCUUCGAUCGAUCACUCACACAAAGGAAAAUCACACAAGAACAUGAUUAUCACAAAGAUAAUCAACCAGAAAUCUCACAAAGAGAAGAAGGAAGGGUCACACAGACAAAGGAACUCGAAGGUUCCAAACGGCAGAGAGAAAGAGAAAAACAGAAAGUGACGAUCCAAGAGCCAAACAGGGAGUAAGGAGGAUAUUUAUAGUAAAUAUCAUCAACCGUUGAUCAGCGGGUCAAUCCAACGGUCCAAGAGCGACUAAUGGUGUGUGGGCUGGAUAUUGGGCUCGGUUAAGUGGGCCUUCUAGGUAUAUAUUUAAUGGACCAAGUAAUAAAUCCAAUUUGGGCCUUUUCAUCAUUGCCUAACGUUGGACUGGAUCAAAUGGCAUCACAGCCCAACAAUUACUUUACAAGUCUUCUUUCUUCUUCCGUUUACAUUUCAUUCCCCUUUCUGGUUCAGAGCUACAACCUCCAUUUCCAUGACUUCUAAGCUAUAAGCUAAUCAAAAUUUUUUGUUUUUUGCUUCAGUGAUAGCGUCUAUUAUGCUUUAAACAAAAAUUUAGAGGGUAGACAACGUUCGCUUUCACUAUCUUUCUUUUUCCCUGCCAUUCGAACAUCCUCUCCUUUCCUUGCAAUGGAUAUCUCGUCCACUGAUCCGUUUACUACUCCUAUAGAUCUCCUUGAAAUUGUGAUCGACCAAAUAUCACGUGUCUCCUCCUCACAUGGACAUGUAAUUAAUAAGUUAAUUGUUUUUCAAGGAUUACUAUACUGUACAGACUUCGAAGAUAUUGAAGAAAUCAGAAACUAUUUCGAACUGUUAGCGUCAUUUGGGCAAGAGCUUAUGGUGUUCUUUACAGUCCCUAACCAACAAAUCUUUUCCAAUUUAACUCCCACGCUCAAUUCUAAUGAAGUUGUCGUGGCCUUCAUCAACUUUCUCCUCUUAAUGGUAGAAGUCAUCAUACAUUUUAAGGAAGAUUCGAUUGCUCGUGUAAAGGGUUCGUUCCAAAAUCUCCGGACAGAGCUUGGAUUUCUUAUCAGUUUUCUUGGGGAUACAGCAAUGCAUUUGCAGCCCACCAAGACUAUGUUGAUUGAUAUUGAAGACGUGGUCAAUGAGGUAGGAAGUUUCUUGUAUUUCUUACUUUUGUCCAUUGUUGUAUUCAUUCUGAUCAGUAAAGAAGAAGAAGAAGCCUGUACUAGAAAAAUGGAUUUGGAAUUUGUGGUUAAUGAGGUACAAAGUCUAUUUCAUUCCAACUUUUUCCACUUACCAUUGCUCUCCACUAUGGUGAAGGGAAGAAAGGGAAAAAAGGGAAGAAAGAUAAGAAAAAAACAGAAAAAGGCAAUGAUGGAUAUCAAAGCUCUGCUCCAUGAGAUAGGAAGUUUAUUAGGUUUCUUCUUCAUUUUCACCAAGAAUGAUCAAGUUAUGGAGACAGGAAUGUUGGGUCUUGCUCUUUCUCAUUUGUUAGCAAAGUUUGAGACCUUGAAAACAAAGAUCAAGGAGCACUGCAUCACAGUCUCAAAGAUGCCAAGUGAUAUGGCUCCAAAGGCUGGAGUGGUUUCACUCUUUAUUAUUGAUUCCGUCCUCGAUGAUCUCAUGGAUCUAACAAAUAACAAGUCUAACUCGACUGUUGUUGUGAAUGAUCAAAUUGUAAUGCUCCAUGAGGAGCUAAUGUUAUUGGGAUCAUCCAUCACGGAUAUAGUAUUGCAGCACGAAGCAAAACAUGAAGAACUUGUGACACGGAGCAGAGACAUAGCAUAUGAAGUUGAAUAUGUUAUCAACUCAUUUCCUCAUGUUUGGUAUCUUAGUCUUCGGCUUCCUCAACUCAUUGACAAGAUUCGGCUUAUUGUGAUGGCUGUCAAAGAAAUGAAGAACAAUAUUGAUGUAGCUAGAAUGUCAAAUGUUUCAAAACAUCCACAUGAACACAUAGAGUCACAGUCAAAAGAACCUCCCAUUUUGGAAGACAUUGUUGUGGGAUUUGACAAUGUAGCAAUUGAAAUUGCAGAACAACUUGUUGGAGGAACAUGCCAGCUGCAAGUUAUUUCCAUCUUUGGGAUGUCUGGGCUUGGUAAGACGACCUUGGCAAAUAAAUUAUAUAAACAUCCCUCCAUUUUAUACCAUUUUUACAAGCGUGCCUGGUGUGCUGUUUCUCAAAUAUAUAAUAAGAAAAAUUUGUUGAUUGAAAUUUUGAGCUCAAUGAGUAACAGUAAGAGGGAUACAUACAUGAAAAAGGAGGAAGAAAGCUUGGUUGAAGAUCUUUACAAAAACUUAAAAGGAAGGCGAUACCUCAUUGUGGUAGAUGAUAUAUGGGAUAUCAUUGUGUGGAGUGAUUUGAAAAGAUGUUUUCCAGAUGACGGAAUUGGAAGCAGAAUCUUAUUCACUACUCGAAAUAAAGAAGUGAGUUUGAAAGCUUCACCUCGUAGUGUCAUAAAUGAACUUCCUUUUCUGUCGGAAGUUGAGUGUUGGGAAAUAUUACAAGGGAAAGUGUUCCAAGAUAGAAAAUGUCCUCAGGAAUUGGUAGACAUUGGCAAGCUAAUUGCAAAAAACUGUCAUGGCCUACCACUUGCAGUGGUCGUAAUAUCUGGAGUUCUUGCAAACAUGGAGAAGAAAAAACACUUGUGGAAAAAAAUUGCAAAAAAUUUAAGUUCACAUAUAUCUGAAAUACCAGAGAAGUGCAUCCAAACAUUGCAACUUAGCUACAACCAUCUACCAAUGCAUUUGAAACCAUGUUUUCUUUACUUAGGAGCAUUCAGAGAAGACACAAAUAUCCCUGUACGAAAGUUGAUAUCUCUCUGGGUUGCCGAAGGAUUUAUAAAGAAGGAAGAACAUAAGAACAUAGAGGACGUGGCACGAGAAUAUCUAAUGAAACUAAUUGAUAGGAGCCUAGUACUCGUUGCUGAAAGAAGAUAUGAUGGAGGAGUCAAAACAUGCAAGAUUCAUGAUCUAUUGCGUGAAAUGUGCUUGAGCAUAGCUGAAGAAAAUAACUUUUUGAAGUUGAUCAAAGAGUAAGUUCAAUGUUUCUCUUCUAUUUCCUUUCCUUUCUGUCCAUUUUUUUUUUUUUUUUUUUUUUUUUAUUAAAAAAAAAAAAAAAAAACAAAAAAUUGUCCAUUUUUUUUUUUUUUUUUUUAGCUUACUAAGAAUGGUUAUUAUAUUUGAUGAUCGUAAACAAUGAUAUGGUUAUGUUGUUUUGUUACCAGUAAUGAUGAUGAUGAACAACGGUUGUUCAGUCAAGUAUCAACGUAUCAGCGGCACCAUCGUCUGAGUAUCAACUGUGCAAAAUAUCCUAGCUCGCUACCUGUUGGCCUACAUGUACGCUCUCUUCUAUUUGAUUUGGAUUUUAUGAGCUCCAUCAAAUUAAUCUCAUGCAGCUACAAAGUUCUUAGGGUCUUUUGUGGAUGGUCACUGUAUGAUUUUCUAAUAGGAUUUGAAUAUCUGGUUCACUUGAGGUACUUGGAAAUUUCAUGUACACUGCCACCAAUGGAAAACUUCCGCAAAUUAGAAUUUCUUGUUGUGUACAAUGAUGAUGAAAUUGAAAUACCUGAGAUCCUUCUUAAUAUGGUGAGUUUGAGACACAUGGAGUUUAACGGUGGUGCAUACUUCAGUGAAUCUAGCCGUCAGCUAGCAACUAACAGUAAGAGCUUCCAAAUAAAUAACCUACAAAGUAUUUCUGCACUCUCAAUUUAUGAUGAAAUGGAUGAGAAAAUUUUGAGAAGUUCACCCAACCUUCGCAGAGUACAAGUUAGCAUUGAGAAUUUAUUAAAUUGUUCCUUCAACUUCCUUUAUCAGCUCGAAUCACUGAAGCUAUCAACAGAAUACAAUACGCUUUAUUGGCGUUCCAGUCUGAUCAGUUUGCCCUUAAAUCUAAAAAAAUUAACUCUAGUUUGUGUAUAUCUGUCUCGAAAACAAAUGGAGAUAAUUGCAAGAUUGCCAUGCCUUGAGGUUCUCAAAUUAGUAUCUGCUGCCUUUGAGGGAGAACAAUGGGACACAAGUGAAAGUGAAUUCCCUCAACUUAAAUACUUGAAACUUUGUGGUGUAAAAAUUGCAGAAUGGAAUGCCUCAAGUGAUAAUUUCCCAAGGCUUCAACGAAUAGUAUUGGAAUAUUGCGAGAAUCUAAAGAUGAUCCCUUCUAAUUUAGGUGAUAUUCCAACAUUACAGAAGAUUGAGUUAUUUAUGUGUGGUCAAACUGCAAAUGAAUCAGCUAAGAAAAUUGAGGAAGAACAAAAGGAGAUGGGGAAUGAAAAGUUUGAAGUCACAAUCUCUAACACAUUCGAUGAUAUUGAAGCCAUUCUCUCACCCAUUUCCCCGCAGGAGAUGAAGGAAUUCUACGGGAGCGAAAUUCAGAAGGUACAAAUGAAGGAGAAUCUCUCCAUUAAUUCUCUUUCACGUUCUCAUCUUAGUGUUGUUAUACUAGAAUGAAACAUCAAAUAAAUUUUUGGCUAAUAUUGAAAUUAAUGGAUUAAAAUCAUAUUUUUAGUAGAUUUUCAUGAAGUUUGAUAAAAUGUGUGAUUAAAAAGUUAAUAAAAGUUACAAGUCUCAUAAAAUGUGUGAUUGAAAAUAAGUUUGGGAAAAAAAUGAGUUACAAAAAAUUGGGGCCAAACAGGAGCUAAGGUUGGCUCUACUCUAUGAGCCUCUUAAUGUCAUUCUAAGAAUUACUAGCCCAUAAGGUUCUAUGUUUUUGGCAUUGAUUCUCUAUUAUUUCAGCUUUUCAUAUUUUUCUACUAUAUAAUCGUGUUUACAUAAAAUCACAAUGAUCACAUUUUCACUUCUAGUUCAAUUAAGUCCUCGAAAGAAUUUGUUUAUUUAGCCUAAGUCGCCCAUUAAUUGCAUAGGCAGUCCUUCAAUGUCCAAACUUGAUACCUUAGUCCUUGAUUCCAAAUUCCAUCUAACUUCCAUCCAUCUUGGUCAAAUAUCGCCCCUUUUUAUUCUUUCUUGUUCAAUACUGAUUUUUUUCCUAAAAUAAUCAAUAAACACACAGAAUUAAGUUUUCUAGCUCAUAGUGAUCUUGCAAAAAAGCUGACUGUGUUGAAAUAAAGGUGUACCCAUUAGUUUACAAGCUUGUAACAUUGGCGUUAAUUCUUUCAGAAGUCCAUUCUCGGUGAUUGAGAUUUUCAAGAAUCGAUUGCAUAAUUGGAAAGGAGAUCAAUGGUUGAGCGACACUUUGAUGGCGUAUAUUGAGAACGAUGCAUUUGCCACUAUUGAUAAUGAUGUAAUUAUACUAUGUUUUCAAUGUAUUAAAAUUUGUAUGCGGCAGUUAUAGUAAUGUAUUGACUUAUUUUCGUUAAUAUAUUGUUUUUUUAGAAAAAAAUUGUAUCUUAAUUUUUGAUCCUACAAUGAAAAUUGUGUGGCUCCGCCAAUGUUAUUAGGCUUGAUUAAAACAAUUAUCUUUGGUGGAAAAAUCAACUUCUGAAUGUUAUAAUGGCUAGUGGAUUAGAGGGUUUUAUUGAUGGUACAUAUACUUUCCCCCCACAGUAAGCAGCACAUAUACUUUCCCCCCACAGUAAGCAGCAUGGCAGAGGUUUAAUAGGCUUGUAACGAGUUUGAUUUACAACUCACUAAGGAAUUAUGGCUUCAGUAGUGAGUGGAUUUGAUUACUGCUGAUGAUAUCUGGACUUCGGGUCGAAAUUUUUAUUAACUUUUCAGAAUUAUGACUUCAAGCUCUUAAUUUCCAAUCUCUUGUUGUUCUUAGUUCUUACAGAAUUUGAUUCACAAAUUCUUAAGAAUGCUUGCUCAGACCCUCUGCCAGAGAACUUUCCCGAUCAAUAAUUUGGUCAGGAGUUCUUGUUUGUCCACCCACCAUCACCAUGUAGUCGGCCAUUUUGCCCUGCACCAAAGAAGCAUACGAAUCAGUUCAAACUCCUUUACCCGAGCAGAGCUCUGUUUUGAGACUUUCGCUGAGGUUUCUCUGUUUUAUUAGAAUCCAAAAUCCAGCAUCCUUCCAUAUUUUCCUCGCAUCUGGGAACCAAAAUAAAGCACGUGCAACAGUGAAAUCUCUAAGUGAUUAACAUAGGAGAAGCCAUUGUAAUUCUUCUUCAAAUAAAGUCAAAAGAUUGUUGGUUAAGGGAUUCCUUCAAAUAUAAUAGAAGAAGAGAGAUGGCAGAUUUUCAUGUAUAUCAAAUUGAAACAGAAAUCUCUACAUAUGGAUGUUAGUACGCCUUUCCAAAGCGUUACAAAUCUAUUCAUGAUUACAAUCCUAUAAUGGUGGCUGCUGGGUUUAUAUAGUACACACAAAAGACGAGGGAAAAGAGAGGCUGGAAGAGAAGAAAAUAAACGGCGGCUGCUGUAGAAGAAAGUUGACUGUGGGUGUGGAUUUGACGCAUGUUUUUUUUUUUUUUUUUUUUUUUUUUUUUUUUAAUUUAGUACAAAUUGUGAAUUGCUCUAAACUAUAUUUUGGGUACUCCAAAGGUGUAGUAUUUCACAAGUUCCAUCAAAGUGAUGGUUAGUGAUGAGAUUAUUUCUUGUCCUUGGAGAUUGAUUAUUGUGGUAUUUUCCAAUUUGUUGACAAUUCAAAUUUUGGGACAUAAACUUAAAUAUUAUAAUCUAUAUUUAUUGUAGUGGAUUUGGCCAGAGUUGCCCCUUGGUUUUUUCAUGUACACUGGAGGGUUUUUUCCACGUAAAAUUUUGGUGUUGCUUUCUCUAGUUUUUUGCUUUGAGUAUUUACUUUCAUAUUUAAUCACUGUAGUUAAUUGCUUGAAUUGUUUAAUUUAUUCUUGCAAUAAAUGAAAUUGUCCAACACCUUGGUCCUUCUCACUUUUCAGAUUGCUGCAUUUUUCAGUAAUUGCUACUUGCUAAACGAUAGGAUAAUCAAUAAUCUGUGAGUUUGUAAUUCCUUUGUUAGCUAAACAUCAUUCCUAAAUUCAUGGACGUGCCGCCGUAUAGCAUUUUCUUUGUAUAUAUUCAAUAAUACUAAAUAAAAAGAUUCAAGCUUCCCUUCUUAAUUUCUGUUCGAAUUUUUAAUUUGCUAUAUAUAUGCAUAUAUUUCCAGAAGCAGCUAAGUUAAUACGAAACAAAUAGAAAAAGAAAAUUUUAUUAUUCAAAAAUCUUUCACCCUAUCUAUCCUCAAAGUUCAAAACAGGAGGGGGUGUUUCUCCUUUUUCAGUAUUAUUAUGCAAUUGACUCUUCGUGUAAAGAGUUGAUAGAACUGAUUGACUCAAAAAGAUAAUAUAUAUGGAGGUACCAACAAUAAAUGACAACGUCAUUAUAGUUGAUGACGUAAAAUAAGUAUAACUUUACUGAAAUAAAUGACGGGCAUCAUUUUUUACCGCUAUAUCAUCGACUUCCAAGUGACAGAAUUAGACUAAGAGCAUCUAAGCAUCUGAAUUCCUGAACCCACCAUUCUUUCAAAAGAUUUUUGAUAGGUCAAGUUUGAAUAAAGUUCAUUUCUAUUCAUCAAAUUAAACUACUAGCUCUAUCACAUUUAUCGACCUUUAGUUCAUUCUUAUAGACAUACUCCAUAAGUAUUAGUUAACAUAGUAGGCCAAAAUUGUAGAUUACGUACUUGUCCAUGUAAAUUGAUUUAUCAUAUGAUCUUUUAAUUGUCCACCUCAACUCCUCCAGUAAUUUGUCUUGAAUGUCCAAUAUUUUAAAAGCAUUAAAGCGUCCUUUGUGAUAUCCAAGUUCGAACAAGUAGCUAUAGACAUGUCUUCGAUGUGAUAUUGAAGUAUUAAGAAAUAAAAUUAAAUUGCUUACAAACUAAUUAGUUCACAUCUACCCUUCUACAAUAUAAAGAUAGCUUAGUUGAGCUUGUAUAGAGAGCACAAGUUUUUUGAAAAAGAUAUUUUUCACAACAUAUUCCAAGUAAUCCAGUUUUGAAGUCAACAAAACUGCAAUAUUGUGAUGUGAUCCAAGAAGCACAAGUAACAAAGUCAAGUCCAGAGUCGAGCCCAAGGAAAGAUCCGUUGAUAGUCGAGGGGCCAAUGAAUCUCAGUCUCAAAGAUGCCAAGUGACAUGGCUCCAAAGACUGGUGUGGUUUCAGUCUUUAUUAUUGAUUCCGUCCUCGAUGAUCUCAUGGAUCUAACAAAUAACAAGUCUAACUCGAUUGUUGUUGUGAAUGAUCAAAUUGCAACGCUCCACGAGGAGCUAAUGUUAUUGGGAUCAUCCAUCACGGCUAUAGUAUUGCAGCACGAAGCAGAACAUGAAGAACUUGUGAUACGGAGCAGAGACAUAGCAUAUGAAGUUGAAUAUGUUAUCAACUCAUUACCUCAUGUUUGGUAUCUUUCUCUCCGGCUCCCUCAACUCAUUGACAAGAUUCGGCUUAUUAUGAUAGCUGUCAAAAAAAUGAAGAACAAUGUUGAUGUAGUUAGAAUGUUAGUUGUCUCAAAACAUCCACAUGAGCUGGUAGAGUCAGAGUCAAAAGAACCUCCCAUUUUGGAAGAAAUUGUUGUGGGAUUUGACAAUGUAACAAUUAAAAUUACAGAACAACUUGUUGGAGGAACAGGCCAGCUGCAAAUUAUUUCCAUCUUUGGGAUGCCUAGACUUGGUAAGACGACCUUGGCAAAUAAAUUAUAUAAUCAUCCCUCCGUUUUACAGCAUUUUGACAAGCGUGCCUGGUGUGUUGUUUCUCAAAUGUAUAAUAAGGAAAAUGUUUUGAUUGAAAUUUUGAGCUUAAUGAGUAACAGUAAGAGGGACACAUACAUGAAUAUGGAGGAAAUAAGCUUGGCUAAAAAUCUUUACCAAAGCAUAAUAGGAAGCCGAUACCUCAUUGUGAUAGAUGAUAUAUGGGAUAUCAAUGUGUGGAUUGAUUUGAAAAGAUAUUUUCCAGAUGACGGAAAUGGAAGCAGAAUCUUAUUCACUACUCGAAAUAAAGAAGUGGGUUUGAAAGCUUUACCUCGUAAUGUCAUAAAGGAACUUCCUUUUCUGUCGGAAGUUGAAUGUUGGGAAAUAUUACAAGAAAAAGUGUUCCAAGAUAAAAAAAUGUCCUCAAGAAUUCCUAGACAUUGGCAAGCAAAUUGCAAAAAGCUGCCAGGGCCUACCACUUGCAGUGGUCGUGAUAGCUGGAGUUCUUGCAAACAUGGAGAAGAAAGAACUCUUGUGGGAAAAAGUUGCAAGAAACUUAAGUUCACAUAUAUCCGAAAUACCAGAGAAGCACAUCCAAAUAUUGCAGCUUAGCUACAACCAUUUACCAAUGCAUUUGAAACCAUGUUUUCUUUACUUUGGAGAAUUCGAGGAAGACAAGGAGAUCCCUGUAAGGAAGUUGAUAUCUCUCUGGGUUGCCGAAGGUUUUAUAAAGAAGGAAGAAAAGAAGAACAUAGAGGACGUGGCACGAGACUAUCUAAUGAAACUGAUUGAUAGGAGCCUAGUACUUGUUGCUGAAAGAAGAUAUGAUGGAGGAGUCAAAACAUGCAAGAUUCAUGAUCUAUUUCGUGAAAUGUGCUUGAAAAUAGCUGAAGAAAAUAACUCCUUGAAGUUAAUCUCAGAGUAAGUUCAAUGUUUCUCUUCUUUCUCCUUUCCUUUCCAUCCAUUUUUUAUUUUAGCUUACUUAGAAGGUUAUUAUAUUUGAUAAUCGUAACAAUGAUGUGAUUAUGUUGUUUUUGUUGCCAGUAGUGAUGAUGAUGAUGAAGAUAAACAACAGUUCUUCAGUCAAGUAUCAACGUAUCAGCAGCACCAUUGUUUGAGUAUCAACUACAUGGACUAUCCUAGUGGCCUACACGUACGCUCUCUUCUAUAUGAUUUUGUUUUUGAGAGCACAGUCACAUUAAUCUCAUGCAGCUACAAAGUUCUUAGGGUCUUUGAUUUUAAGAACAGGUCAACAAUCCUAGAUCUAGUGAUAGGAUUUGAAAAUAUGGUUCACUUAAGGUACUUGGCAAUUUCAUAUAAAUGGCAACCAUUGGAUUUGGAAAGGUUCCACAAACUAGAAUUUCUUGUUGUGGACAAUGUUGAUAAAGUUGAAAUACCUGAGAUCCUUCUUAAUAUGGUGAGUUUGAGACACAUGGAGUUCAAGGGCGGUGCAUACUUCGGUGAAUCUAGUCGUCAACUAGCAACUAAUAGUAAGAGCUUCCAAAUAAAUAUCCUACAAAGUAUUUCUGUACUCUCAAUUUACCAUGAAAUGGAUGAGAAAAUUUUGAGAUGUUUACCCAAUCUUCGUAGACUGAAAAUCAAUGUUGAAAAUUCACCAAAUCAUUCGUUCGAUUUCCUUAAUCAGCUUGAAUCGUUGAAUCUAUUUUUUUAUUCUACCAAUUUGAUCGGUUUGCCCUUAAAUUUGAAAAAAUUGAGACUGCAAUUUGGAGAUGUGUGAAAAGGCUAUAGUUCGACCCAAAUAAUACCUAGAGGGGGGGUGAAUAGGUGUUUAUGCGAAAUUUAACAAUUUAAUUAACUUAUGCAACAUGUCACAUAAGUACGCUUUGUCCAGAUUCAUUCACAUAAUUUAGCUACCUAAGUUGAAUUGCCGCGUUGAAAUCAAAACAACAGAAAACAGUAGAAACGCAACAAAAUGUUGAUGGAGAAAACUCAACUGGGUAAAAACUCUGGGCACAAGCCAAUAGAGAUCCACUAUAGAAGAUAUUGACUUACAGUACGCCAGACAUAAUUGAAUCUAACAAUACUUUGACCUCCUUACUGUAUCAACCAAAAUUCUCCUGGAUUUUGCAGAUCUGCGCCAAAAUCCCAGCCCUGAAUUUCUUCUAUCUCCCGUGAAUCACCAAGCACUCCAGUUCUUCAAGCAGUUUCCUUCCCGGAUCUUCAAACAGAUGAUCUUUUGGAAGUUGAUAUGGAGAUUUGAAUGGUGUUUUGGUUUUGUGAAGGUUGAUGUUUUUCUCUAAUAGAGCAAAAGAUGAAAAGAAAGAAUUUUUUGGCUCUAAAUCCUUUGGUUGUUGAGAGAAAUUUUUAUUUGUGUGUUUUCCCAAGGUUAUAAAUGAAAAACGGAAUUUUUGUUUAUAUAGUAGGUCGUUUUUGGUAGUAUGGAGCAUUUAAAAUUCGCGAGGAAGGAAAAUUACCAAAAGCUAGAUAGCACUGUCGCUCGAGCGAAGUGCUGGCGAAACUCGAGCGACGCACCUUCGCUCGAGCUACCCCUCAGCGAAACUCUAGCGACAACAGUUCUGUUAUUUAGGCUCGAGCGAGGUCAGGGUGAAACUCUAGCGAGAUCAACGCGUCGUUUGCAUCUUCAAAGCAUCCAACUUUACCCUAGACAUAUGCUAUAAACUUUGCAAAAUUGCAACACAAGUCCCUGAACUUUUUGGACCUUUACAAUGUAGUCCUUGACUUUACAAACUUGACAAAUUGGUCCUUUGGUCACAGAUUGCCAAUGACAACAUUUUUCUAACAAUGUGUCUCGAAAACAAAUGGAGAUUUGGAAGAUUGCCUUACCUUGAGGUUCUCAAACUAGAAUCAGUUGUCUUUGAGGGAAACAAUGGAACACAAGUGAAGGUAAAUUCCCACAACUUAAAUACUUGAAACUUGUAUGUGUAAACAUUGCAGAAUGGAAUGCCUCAGUGAUAAUUUCCCGAGGCUUCAACUAAUAGUAUUGAAUUUUUGCCGGAAUCUAAAGAUGAUCCCUUCCUGUUUAGGUGAUAUUCCAAUGUUACAGAAGAUUCAGGUAUAUAGGUGUGGACAAACUAUCAAUGAAUCAGCUAAGAAAAUUGAGGAAGAACAAAAAGAGAUGGGCAAUGAAGAGCUUGAAGUCAUUAUCUCUGAAUAGGAAAUUGACAUCGAGAAACUUCCAAAGGUAAUAAUGAGAGAGAUUCUCUUCUUUAACUCUCUUUCAUGUUCUCAUCUUGGUCCGAGGUAUUAAACAUCAAAAACAUCAAAAAUUAAUUCUACUGUAAUUUUGCCUUCUAUUGAAAUUAAGCUCAUGUUUGGUUUGGAUUAAAAUCAGAUUUUUAAUAGAUUUUCAUAAAGAUCAAUAAAAUGUGAUUGAAAAAUUAAUAAAAGUUGCGGGUCUCAUAGAAUAUGUGGUUGAAAAUGAGUUAAAGGGAAAAAUGAGUUUUAAAAAUUGGGGACCAAAUAGGCUAAGUUGGCUCAAUUUUAUGAGCUUCUUGAUGUUAUUCUAGGAAUUACUAAUCCAUAAGGUUCUAUGUUUGGACAUCGAUCUCUAUUAUUUCUGCCUUUCACAGAUUUUACCAUAAAAUCGUGUUUAAAUAAAACCCCCAAUGAUCACAAUUUCACUUCUAGUUUGAUUCAGUCCUCGAAAUAAUUUCAUUGUUUAGUCCAAGUCCUCAAUGAAUUGCAUGGGAGGUCCUUCCACUUCUAAACUUGUUAUCUUGGUCCUUGAUUCUAGAUUCCAUCCUUCUUGAUCAAAUAUUGGCCCUUUUUAUUGUUUCCUGUUCAAUACUGGUUUUUCUCCUAAAAUAAUCAUCAAAUACGCAAAAUUAAAUAUAUGCUCAUCAAUGUAUUUCCAAACAUCCUCUUUUGAUGGCUUGGAUAAGUAUAAAAUCAUACUUAUCAACUGUCAUCGAUAUGCAAUUUCAGGAGACGGGUGAUCUUUUUUUAUUUUUCCAAGGCAAAUAGUGAUUUACUCAUUUGUAUUGCAUGUUUGUGUUUGCACAAUUCGCUAAAGGACAAGUGAAUUCAAUUGUGUGAGUAAUAUGCCAAAUAUUUUAAACCAGUAGAGAUCUUUGCAUUGAUGAUCAUAUUUAGACAUAUAUUAUUGAUAUGCACACUCAAGAGAUUUUAUUAGGGUUUGAAGACCUUAAUGAUCUUGCAUAAAAGUUUGUUCUGACUUAAAAAGGUGAACCCAUUACUUUACAGACUUUUAACAUUGGUGUUAAUUAUUUCAGAUGCUAGGGUUGGUACGUUCUUGGCAAACAAGAUGAUCAAAAAUCGAUUGCAUAGUUGGAAGCAAGAUCAACGGUUGAAUGACAUUUUGGUGGCGUAUAUUAGAACGAUGUAUUUGAUGAUAUUGAUAAUGAUAUAAUUAUACAAUGUUUUCAAAAUAUGAAAAUGUGUAGGCUACAAUUAUAGUGAUAUAUUG